AAAAAAAAAAAAAAAAAACUCUCCCUCGGAACAAGAAUUAAAGCAAAGCACAAAGGUACACCACAUGCAGCAAAAGGUACCAUCCCGGUGAUGAAAGAUUGAGAGCGAGUCCUCAAAUUAUCCGAAGCGCUAAAAUUUUUGUGACUACCAAAGCUUAAAAGUGUCCACUAAACAAAUCACUCGACCUCCUCUUACGCGGUCGUUUUUUCAUGCCCAGCCCAACAAAAAUGCAAAUUCCUCGAACUUCUUACGUCGUCGUUUUCAACGUCUUCUAAAACUAAAGGGCAAAAAAAUAAAAUGAAAUAAAAAAGAGUUAAAAGCAAUCGAAAUUCACAAAGAGGGAAUUCAUUUGAGUGACCAGUAAUACUCCACAAAAGCUAGAGAGAGAAACUGAGCAGUGCUGAGGGGGGGAGAGAAACAGAGAGAGAGAGAGGGAGAGAGAAUUCCACAUUCUCAAUCUCUCAUUAUUGUUUCUUUUAUUUAACUUCAUUUGUGAAUUUUUGAUUCGAAUUUGUAAAUUAUUGGUGUAAAUUAGAACUGGAUUGGAUGGCGGAGCAGAAAGGAAGGUGGAACUGGGAGGUGACGGGGUUUGAGCCGCCGAGGAAGUCACCGGAGCGGGAGGAUCAUUAUCAGAGACCUCCGCUGUUGGCUCGGAGGUACUCGAUUUCUACGUCUUCAUUUUCGACGCAUUCUGAGCUCUCCAAGCAUGCUCUCAGCUCCAAGCUUUUCAAACUGAAGGAUAAAGUCGAGGUCUCACUUUUUUAGUUCAACUUUUUUUGUUUUCGGUUGUUUUUCACGUUCAAUAAUGGAUGAAGAUUAUGCGAGUUUUAAUGCUUUUAUGACGAUUUGCGGCAAUGUACUUGGAAAUUUGUGAUUUUGUUGCUGUUUUUGUCCAUCUAGUGAGUUGUUGUGUUGACAAAUUAGUAGUUAACUCCGUUAUGCUAGUAGUUAUUUCUAGGAGUUCUUGUACCAAAGAUGCGUUUUUUUUUUUUGGGCUAAUUUGGAGGAGAAGUCGUUGAGAAUAGAGGUUUUCAGUUUGUAGCAAGAAAUUGAUUAUCUUUUUGAUAACAGUGAGGAAAAUAAAACUUGUUAGUGGUGGUUUGAUACUGAACAGUGUGUGGGCAUAUAGGAUUUGACAACGUUAUUAGAAUUCUUUCUUAUUGAGAUGAAGUGUAGGGUGACGAUUAUCCCAAACAGUGAUGGGGCAACUGGGGAAGAUUUUAGAGUUCUCUUUAAGGCGCCAAAAUGACGAACUUUACCUGGUUUUAGUUGUGAAUUUUAGUUUCAGCAUGGCUGCAGUAGGCAGCUGGAGAUAGUUUAGAUGCAAAGGGACUGAGGCAACUGCUUGUGAAAUACUUUUACUAUUUUUGUUUCAUGUAAUUUUCAUAGCAAUGGCUGUAGCCCUGGUAGUCUUAGUAAAGAAUUAUAGUACGAGCAACCUUGUAUAGCAAUAUUGCAUUAUCAAAACUGGCUGGAGAUUGUAUACUUGGGAAUAGCAGUCACUGGGGAGUUGUAAUUCUUUUUUUGCCUUAUCUAUUUUGGCUUUCAUUUAAUGCUUAAAGGUUGUUGUGAGCUGGGGGUGUCCCAUUUGUAGAUAGUUGCUGCUGAAUUUUGCAGGAUUGGAUGGUUGCCACCUCACUUCAAUAUGCGAUUGUUCAUGGUUAAGCCAUGAGAUGAUCUUGGCGGUGGCAUAUACUUUUUCGGUUAGUUGAAAGGACUGCAAUGUUUUUAAUAACCAUUUCAAGAAAAAAUUUGGCAAAAGUUGCUGUAUGGUCAGAAGACAUUAUUUUUCAAUCUGGACAUGAGUCAGAUCUGGCAAAGUUCUACUUGAAAUGUAAUUGAUCUUCAUUGUGGUAUUUGUUCCAGCAGCAAUCUUUAAUCUAUUUCCUUGCUGGGUGACAUAACACAGCGCAUCUCUUAUACUAUAGAGAAUCUGCACUCCAAAUUAAAUUGAAUGGCCCACUCAUUAGGAAGAUUACAACUAUAUGGAUAUUCCCUCUCUUUUAGAUUUCUGGCGGGUGUUGGAUAUAUCAUAUAUGUAAAGAAUCUAACCAAAGAAAGGGAGAGGGAAGAAAUUGCUAAAAUGUACUGCAGUUCCUAUAAGAAAAAUACUUUAUUAAUAAUAGAAUUUGGUACUAAAUUCUGAACUUCUUAAAGGGCAAUGCUGUGUUGCAGGAUUGACAUUCUCUUCAAUUUUUUUUUUAGAUAUAGUUGAACAUUCAAAGCUUGGCAUGGUAAAUAUGGUGAAAAGCAUGCAUGGGUCCUUUCACAAUAGAAAUUUCUGUUCUAAUUGAUUUGCUGGAGUGAUAGCUCAAGCAAGGAUUGCAAAUAUCAGAAAACUCCAACAAGAAGAAAUAGGAAUACCUUUGCACUACUGUAGUUUCAGCUAAGUGAUUCCAUAAUACAUUCAGUCUAGUAUUCUUAAAGAAUGGAAAGCCAAGAUCACAGACAAGUCCAUACCACUGAUAAUGAACCAGUAAACAUUGGUUAUUAUUGUGUAAUUUUGCAGUUGAUACGAUACACACUCCACUGAUGCAUUAUUGAGAGAUAUAGAUGUUCUCAGCCUAAUAACUUUAGACAAUUGUUGUUAGUCUUUUUGAUCAUUAUGUCUCAUCAACAGAUUUUUUUUCCCUUUCUUCUUCUUGAACUUGAAUGAGGCUAAACUAUACCUUACACCAUGAAAAGACUUGUAAAAAAGAAUAGAAGGGUGUGGUGAAGGAGUUUGCCCAUGGUGGAAUAGAUGAGUUUGUGACAUUUCAUUUACUUUUAAUGCUUAAAAUCUAUAAGGUCAUACAUAUCAUCUCUAUUUUACUGUGUCACACACAAAGAUGAGAGAAGAGGUUAUUGACCUGGAACAAUAGUUUUUAAUCAUUUUUGUCCAACCCUAGUAGCUGUCGAGAAAAUCAACUAAGUCUGUACAUACUAGAGAAAAUCAACUUCCUCUUGAGGAAGUUGAAUAUAAGUUGUUGGGCAGUAAUGGUUGUGUUGGAAGUCAAAUCAUCUAACCUGCUAUAAGCUUUUGAUGACUUGUUUGCAGAAACAACAAAUGGAGAAUUUUUAUGACUGGUGAGAAAGGAAAUUCAAAGUAGGAAAAUCAUACUUCGUUUUUGUUCAUAGAAAAACUAUAGCAAAUUAUAACAGAGAAAUUCAGAACAAAUUAUAACACAUUGCCAGGUAGGCAUGAGUUAUAUGAUUUUUUUUCUGUCAAUUUGCCUUAUCUAGUUCUCUAUAAUUGGAAAUUUAGGCUAUAAUGGCAAUAUCUAUUUCUUGCAAUCUUUGCUUAUUUUCCUUUCAGCAAAGAAUUUUACUUUUUCUGUGGUUGCAAAAGAAUAAAAUAGUUUAGAUCUGCUUUACAAUGUAGACCAUAUUUGAAGCUUGGCAGAAGGAAAAAUAUAAGUAGCUCUCUCCUUUGCAAUAUCAACUUUACCAAUUGGAGUUUUAGUAUGCAUUCAGCUGGAGUUCGACUUGGCAAGACCUGUUAAUAUUAAGCCAGUAAUUUAUGGCAUGCAUUGAUGUGGACUAGUACGGACAUUCUAGUUUGUAAUAUUUUGGAAUUCUGGUUUUUUCUCUUUGUUGGCAUUCAAAACAGCAUUAAAGACUCUAAGCUAAUGCUAGUGUCUGUUACUGCUGUUGAGGAAGUAAUAUACCUUCUGUCAGGCUUGGAAUUUAGUUAAUGAAGUGCAUGUUUGAAACAAUUAUUGGCCUAUCUGUGAUGUUCUAAAAUCUUGCAUUUCUGAUUGUGUUGUUUCAGCUUGAAUAUGUUGUUGGCUUCUGCUAAUAUUCUAAUACUUUCUGUUGGCAAUCUACAUAAACAUUUUUGAGCAGCAUGUGAGAGAGGAUUACAUGGAGCUUAGACAAGAAGCCGUUGAUCUUCAAGAGUACUCAAAUGCAAAAAUGGAUCGCUUGAUGCGAUAUCUAGGUGUACUUGCUGAUAAAACUCGUAAACUAGGUAAAUGGUUAUUCAUAGGCUUUGGCAGGUCUUGUUUCAUCUGAUUGCAUAUUUUCUACAUCAGAGCUGUAGCUUAUCCAUUCUUGUUUGCCUGCAUAUCUUCGUGGGUGAUUUGGUUUCUUAAUCAUGAAUUAUUUUCAGAUCAGGCUGCGGUUGAAAUGGAAGCUAGAAUGUCUCCUCUGAUAUAUGAGAAGAAAAAAUUGUUUAAUGACUUAUUGACUGCUAAAGGUAGGAUUUUGAGUGGCCUCUGGACUCCUUUUGUCACUGACGCCUAUGCACAAAAUCAGGGGAAGAUGGGCGAAAAUGAUAAAUACAGAGAGAGUGGCACAAACAUGCACACGCGUGCACAAACAAUUUCGUCCCCUGUGGGUACAUAUGAACAACAAAAAAAGCGAAAAAUGGGAAAAAGACAGAAAAUGAGAGAAGUGUUUUACUAAAUUGAUGUGAGAUUUGGGCUGGAUGUACUGUUUCAGGAAGCAUUAAGGUAUUUUGUCGUGCAGACUCCUUUUUGAGAUAGACAGGCAAACAGAGAGAGAGAGAGAGAGAGAGAGAUGUCAUUAUUCACAAACAAUUCAUUCCCUGUGGGCACACAUGCACAAAAAAUGGGAACAAGAAAUAUAAUAGGACGAAUAUUUUACUAAAUUGAUGUGAGAUUUAGGCUGGAUGUACUGUUUCAGGAAGCAUUAAGGUAUAUUGUCGUGCAAGACCACUUUUUGAAGAUGAAGGUCCAUCAGUUGUUGAGUUUCCGGAUGACUGUACUGUUCGUGUCAAUACUGGUGAUGAUAACGUCUCCAAUCCAAAGAAGGAUUUUGAGUUUGACAGGGUUUAUGGUCCUCAUGUUGCACAAGGUAGUGGACCUUAUUACUAGCUUUUAUUUGUUUUCGUCUAACACUCUGGAAUGUUAAGUCACUGUGAUGUUCCUUUCUGCAGCUGAACUUUUCGCUGAUGUUCAGCCAUUUGUGCAGUCGGCAUUUGAUGGGUAUAAUGUUUCUAUAUUUGCUUAUGGACAAACGCAGUCAGGAAAGACACAUACUAUGGUCUCUCUCUCUCUCUCUCUCUCUGUGUAGGGUAUUGCAGUUAUGUCUCACCCUGUGUUUUUUUUUUAAAUCUCGGGUUAACGGGUUCUUCAUCCAUACAUGGUACACAUCAUCAUUAAAUUGCUUUGACUUGUAAAUAAUUCUAUAAGGACACUUUCUUGAUUAAGCAUACUGUUGUAUGCUUAUGUUGAACAAACAUGACCGCAUAAAGAUGUUUGUAACCUGAUGUUUUUGUGCUGAAAAGCACUACCUGGGGGGUUAAUACUAUGAUGAACUGCUUUCUGAUUGCAAGGUCUUGUCCGCAGGAAGGAUCUAGCCAUGAUCGUGGCCUAUAUGCUCGAUGCUUUGAGGAGCUGUUUGAUUUAUCCAACUCAGAUACAACUUCUACCUCAAAAUUUAAUUUCUCUCUCACGGCUUUUGGGCUUUUCAAUGAACAGGUUCCUUGACCAUUCUGGAUUGCUUAUUUUAAAUAUUGACUUCUAUUUAGCAAUACUUGACAUUCAGUAACCAUUAUUCUGUAGAUUAGAGAUUUGCUUUUGGAAUCUCAGAGUGGUCUUCCAAAGAUCCAGAUGGGCUCCACAGAUUAUGUUGCUGAACUUGUGCAGGAAAAAGUUGAGAAUCCAAUUGAUUUCACCCGAGUCCUCAAAGUGGCAUUGCAGAACCGAGGAACCGAUGUAUUAAAGUUUAACGUCUCUCAUCUGUAUGGUCUAGCUUCAAAUUUGUGAUAGUUCUAUUUCCCUACCAAUGCAUGCUCCUUUUAUGGCUUGAUUUUUUUACUCACCAUGGUCUUCCCCUUGCUACCCUUUUUUUGAAAAAAGAAAAAAAAAAAAUCAAAGAUCAUCUUGAAUGAUUUGUUAAAAGCCAUCAAUUCUCUUUUGGCAUAAAUUAUGGAAAUCCUGGAACGAUUAGUGACCAAUGAUUAAAUAUGCACUUUAAGACGCUUUUACUAUUGAAGGAACAGCACAAAAUUGAUACAUUGGGUAUUGUUGCUUGAUUUCUAUGUAAUUCUUUGACAUCUGGUAGUUAGGGCAGGUCUAGGAGCCAAAACUCUCCACUUUUAAGUGGCUAGGGGUAUGGGAGUGGUUGUUGGUCUCUGCAUCAGGGCUGAUUUUCCUCAUUUUAUCUGUAUGUAGAAAUAUUUAACAUUUAAGUUGUACAAGUAACGGUUUCACUCUAUUUGUUGCAUGUUUGUGUUAAUAUAUGCUUUCUCGUUAUUUUAUGUUGUUUUUCAUUUUGAGUUAAAAGUUUUUCAGUUCAAAUUUGGCAUUAGAUCUUCAGAAUUUUUUUUUUUAUAUUUGACUCACAUUUGGAAAUAUUAAAUAAUCAUAUCAAAUAUUCAAAACUGUGAUGGUAUCUAGCAACCAAAACUCAGGGGUUGUUGUCAACUCUGAGUGCUUUUUUUUUUCCCUUUGGGAGGGGGGGUUGUCUAAGUGGUGUCACGCACUUUACUAGUAGGGAAAGGGAUUCAAGAAGGCUCCCUGCCCAUUAUCAUCCCUUCUGAUGAGUAAUUGGUCAGCAGCAAUAACGUGUUACUCAACCAGGAUUCGUUUAUUUCUCCACUUAGACAGUACUUUUGGAAUAUGGUAUGUUAGGGUCCAAUUUCCUUCUACUGAUAAUCCUGAGGUAUUUUGAACAUUUUCCUUGAUAUGUUGACUAAAUCAUUCCCUUUUUGCUUCUUAAGUAAUGAUUAAGUGUAGCACUCUUUGACUGGCCUGAAGAAACUUCUUGGACUUACAAAAAGCUGUCUUUCGAUCCUUAUGCAAUUUUGUUGCUGUAUUUGAUGUAUGAAUUACGUGGGGCUUCAGGAAACAUCUAUGUUCAGUUGUAUUCUACUGUCUAGCUUUCUCUUGAGAAUUCUCAUUUCCUUCCUCAGGGUCAUCACUGUGCAUAUAUAUUAUGACAACUUGAUUACGGGUGAGAACUUAUAUAGCAAGCUUUCUCUUGUUGAUUUGGCUGGAAGUGCAAGUUCCAAUGUUGAAGAUGAUAGUGGAGAACGUGUGACAGACCUGCUGCAUGCCAUGAAAUCACUCUCCGCGUAUGUACUUCGUAUAUUUAGUUGCCUUGUUUUCAGCAUAACCUCAUUGUUUCAAUUCUCCCUUGUGAAAGAACAUCUAACGUGCAACCUUGCUGCUUAUCAACUCUGCCAUGUAUGGAUCAAACUAAAAUCAAUGUUUUACAUUAUACUUUCAAAAUUUUGAUGUCCUAAACUAAUUCCUGCAUUCACUAUCUUUAGUUGUAACUAGCUCCUUCUCUCCUUUUUGUUGUUUGUAUGUUGUCUGGUGAACAAGUGCACAUUUCAUGGUAACUUAAUUCUUAGGUUGAGUUCUUUUCAGUGUCUGCAUGUAUUGUUGGUCACUGGGUUAGGCAGGACUCUUGAUAACUGGUGAUUGUUCUGUUUGGUGCUUGAGAUAACAAAGACUGUUGUUAGUUAGCGUAUGUAUUAUUUCUUACAGAGCAGAGGGUUUAUUGGUUGUUACCAUAAAUUUAUUUUUUCUAGGAAAACUGACGCAUUUCAGCUUUUCUUAUGCUUGUCCUUGUUUGUGCAGUUUGGGAGAUGUUUUGGCUUCUUUAACAUCCAAUAAGGAAACAGUUCCUUAUGGAAAUUCAGUGCUCACAAAAUUACUUGCAGAUUCACUAGGUAUUUUUUCUCUUUUGUAUAAUACAUUUGCUUGUAGCAAAGUCCUUAUUUGGCACAACUGAUAAGCCUGGGCUGGUAAACAGCUGUUCUAGUUGAAUUUGGCAGGGUAUAGAUUGCAUCUCAGAAAAAGUAAGCAGAAUACAAUCUGUUCACUUAUGAGCAAAAAGAAUGUUGUAUUUGGAUAACCUCCAUGCCAAUUCAAAACAACUAGCUUCUGACUGUACCAAUGGCAAAUGGUAAUCUCUGUUGCCCACUUCUGCCAUCUCCAUUGACCUCUGCCACCAACCCCUAAUUUUAAUUUCCACUCCAGAAAAGGUCCAUGAGGAGAAACUUACUCCAAAAGGCGUAUCUGAAAGCAAGCAUUCUCUUUAUAAUUCAUAUCAUUCAAUUAGAAUUCUUUACAGGGAUAUAGGGUUCCUGCUGCAGACUAGAAGACACCAAUUCUGAGAACUGUUUAAUGACAACCUCAUAAAUGCCACACAACCUGCCUAAGCAUACUUGGAGAACAUAACUGCCCCCCAAAUUGCAUAACUUUUUGAAAUCUCAUCAAACACUUUGCUGGACUGUCUAAAUUUCUGAAAGUUAUUCAGAAGCAUUGCCUAGGUGGAAGAGAUGGGUAAACCAAUAGUAUUCAUACAAGUCAAUCAGAGAGAUGGAGGGAGAAAGGGAGGAUCUUGAAAGAUAUUCCUUUAUCCUGAAUCAUACAGGAAACAUAAACUUGGACGGGAAUUAACAUGGUAUACUGUGAUAUAACACUUGGAUACUCCUGGGACACAAUAUUGAGGUCAGGGAUUAUUGUCUGCAGUCAAACUGUUGAAUAAGAUAUGAUGAUGACGAUUUGUACAAGGCAUGAAUGUGGUAGACGUGUUUUUUCACUACCAUGGGGCUGGUAAUUAUCACAUAUAUAUACAUGAAUGAGUAGCACACCAAACCGCUCGCCAUUCUGGAGCCUUCAAAAAGGAAUAGUAUUAAGAGGCUCAUCUUAGGUGUAGAGGUUGUAGGACACUUAUGAGAAGUACAAAUAUAGGCAGGAAACAGGAAGAGCUCAUGAAGCAGAAAAUGACAUCUAAAGGUAUAUCUGAAGUGUGUAUAUGGAAAAACAUUUCAGAAUGAAUGGAAGAUUUGAUCCAAGUGCUUUUGGGACUUCUACCAUGACAAGCAUUUAAGUGUCACUCCAGUGAUUGUUUCAGAGUCAAGUAGAGCCUUUUGAGAAAAAAUUGCACAAAAUUGCCUAAGUUUGUACCACAUCAUAGCGGAUAAAAUAAUCUGGAGAGUACCUUUUAAUCAUUGUUGUGGAACUAAUUUGGUGAAGAAUUCUCACUGCAUGACAAAAUUGCCUGAUGGAUUUGAAUAUAUAUUAUCAAUAUUUUCUACUUUCUCUUUCUCAUGAUGGUUCUUCCUGGUUGUCCACAAGAGAACCAACAUCACUGUAAAGACACCUUUUUGUUUCUUAACUUUUUUCCACCGAUGUGUCUUGCACAUCUUAAUUAUUCUGCUAAUAUUUGAUAACCUUCUCAGUUACUUGACAAUAUGGAUAUCCAACAUUUUGUUUGUGACUUUUUUUAUUGGUAAUUAAUAAUAAUUUAGAUACUUUGCACAAUUGUACAUUAUAGUUAGCACUUUUGUUUACUGGGCUGCAACAAUGAGUUCUUAUCUGUCUGCCCAUGAAAUAUCAAUGUUAGACCAGCUCUAACUUAUGUUAUGUUGACAAUCUAGGUGGAAGCUCGAAAAGCUUGGUAAUUGUUAACGUCUCUCCAAAUGCUGCAAAUUUGACUGAGACACUGUCAUCCCUUAACUUUGCUGCCAGAGCCCGAAACUCUAUUCUCAGCCUGGGAAAUCGAGAUACGAUUAAGAAAUGGAGGGAUAUUGUAAGACAUCUUCAAAUAUUUUUUUGUUUUCUGAACUGACAAAGUGUUGCUUUUUAACAUUGCUUUAACCAUUUAUUAGUCAUCUUUGAAGAUGGGAGAGGUAGAGAAUGGGAAGGCCUGUAGUUAGAUUUUCAUCUGGUAACCCAACGGGGGAGGGGAGAAAGGGAAAAGGGAAAACCUUUCAUGAUACAAAGACAAGUUUGAUCACUCCAUGCCUAAACAGAAGCAUGACCAUACCAUGAUCUAAUAGUUGUGGUUUGUACAAGAACUGGUAUCAGGAUCACGAUAAUCCAUAUUUAUACAGUUUCUUCUUCUGAUCGCCAAUGUGCAUGCAGGCAAAUGAUGCACGUAAAGAAUUGUAUGAAAAAGAGACGGAGAUCAGCAACUUGAAGCAAGAUGUUUUGGGACUUAAACAAGCUCUAAAACAUGCAAAUGAUCAGUGCGUCCUUCUUUUUAAUGAAGUUCAGAAAGCUUGGAAAGUUUCUUUUACACUUCAAUCUGAUUUAAAGGUUCAUUCUCAUGCUUCCCCACAUUUCUCCAUUCUCUAUUUAAGACUUCUCAUUGCCAUUUAGCAAUAACUUUGGCUUAUUGUACAAAAUGAGCUAUUUAUAACUUUCUCCUUUUGGUGACUACUAUCUGCAAAAGUGAAAGCACAUAAAGGGACUGGUUGGAAGUUUGUGGUUUGUUUUGAUGCAAUCAAGUGAAUGUCAAACUUAUUAGGAAGAGCUAAAUAACUUGGUAGGCGGAAAUUGCUUUUCCAUGGCAAGGUGUUUUUGGUUUUUGGUCCUUAGCAAAAGCUCGUGUAACUCAAACACCAAAAUACAACAUGAAAUCUUUUUCUUGCCAAAAGUCCUCAAUCCUGUACACACUCUCAGAAACCGUAUUUGGAAGAGUAUUCAACCUGUUGAGAAAUCAUAAAAAAUGUCAAAUGCUAAAAUGUGCAGUUUAUUUCUUCAAAUGUUAGCAUCAUUGCUGUUAGCAUGUCUUAUAGAGCUUCUCAUCAACCUGAUCUUUGAGGAACUCAAGUGUUUUUUACUUGUAUAGUUGGUGGAAUUUUUGGUUUUUGGAAAAUUUUGGCUCACAUAGAAGGCUUUUAUUCCUGCCAGUAGCAUAUUGCUAGAGCUUUUUUAAACAAUAUGGAGAUUUAGUUGUCAGAUGUCCAUAGCUCUCUUAUUUCAUAUUCCUUACUGAAGAUAAUCAUUUUCUUUUUCAAUAUCAUCACACAACUGAGAUGUACCAUUUCAUUAGGGAUUAAGCCUGCUUUGCAUCAAUACUGUGUCACUUUUAAAACUUAGCAAACCAAUUUCUCGCUAUUUGCCUCUUAAAGUGUACUUGCUUCCAAGUUGACCUGAUUCAUAAGAUUUCUUGUAUUUGGAUUAAUUGCUACACUUGAUUGUAGAACUCAUUCUAGGGAGAGACUUAUAUGUGGAAAGUGCGAUGGACUAAAUUUGAUAUUUUUGUACAGUUUUUUGGUUCAUUUUGAAUGAUUUGUCCCACUUGAUCUAAGUAGAUAUCGUAUGUGCUGGUGUUAUGUUGUCACUGAUCAGGAUUCAUGGUCAGUGCAACAAAGAUGCAGAGGAAUUAGUCCAAGUUAAUCUUUUCUUCUUUUUUUCCCAAAGAAUAGGACCCAAAAAAAACAGUGCCACCUAUAUUCAGUUUUUUGUCUUUUUUUUGGUAAGCUUCCUUUUUUUCCAUUGAUCAGCAAUAAAGAGUAUACCCAGAAGGGGGAGUACCCCAAUCAAUACAUCUAGUUCUUACCAGGAAUACAAUAACAAACCCAAACAUAUACAGAACCUACCUAGCUAACUGGAAAACAUUAAAGUGAAUCCCAAGUGCAGUACACAAGUCCACAUUUGGCUGUAUCCUUGCUACACGAUUCCAUCUGGCUGCUAUACCUCUAAUAUCAGCAAGCACCUCAUGAAACACAUGCUCGGUAAGAACAAGCACAUCCCUGAAUACCUUUUUAUUCCUCCACGUCAACAAAUGAUAGACUGUUGCUGCAAGUGCAGUAACACAAAACAAAAAGAGUUUGCUGAGCAAUGCUGCGUGAACCAUGCUAACUCUUCUCUCCAAUGAGCUGCAAUCCUAUAAAGGAAACAGCUUUUUUGAACACAUUCCCAUACUGCAUAAAUAUUGACAUAGAAAAAUAAAUGAUCUGUAUUUUCAGGAGCAGACCCACACAAAACACACCUAACAUCCACUUCAAUACCCCAAGAGAGAAGUCUAUCCUUUAUGUUUAUUCUUCUUUUACAUGUCAACCAUAGAAUAAAGGAGAGCCUAGGCACAUGCUUUUCCCCCACACCAAACUAUACCAAGGGACAGCAGGACCAAGAGGAUCAAGAGUUUUUUUUUUCUUUUUUGGAAAUUUUUUUGCUCAUAUGGACGGCUAUUAUUCCUGUCAGUUGCAUAUCGCCAGAGCUUUUUUAAACAAGAUGGAGAUUUACCACUCAUUUGGUCACUACUAAGGAAUGACAAUGACAAUCAUUAUGGAAGACAUCCUCAAUUACAAUGGGUUUGUGAAGAUUCCUUUUGAUGGAAUCUUGUGUUUGGUGGCAAUGAUUUUUUGCAUAAGAAAAGGAAAUUAUUGUCCUUUUCUUUCUUUUUCUUCAUCUCCAGCCCAUUUGACCACCACCAUUUUUUUUCUCUGUUUUUGCUUCUUGCAUGCUGCUGACCGAUCUCCCAAUCUUUGUUGUUCAUUUUCCUGCUCUUGUUCCUUUUCUGUCUUCUUCUUUCCUUGUUUUUUGUGGUCCUCUUCAUCCCUUUGCCCUUGCCACCUCCACCUAUCCGACCUCUCAUUGUCUUCAACACUGCUAGAUACAAUGAUCUCUGGUAUUACACAACAAUCCAACAAACUUUAAAUUCAAAAUUGUUACUAAAAAAUAAAAAAAUCUCAUCACACCAAAACUUCUUCUGAGAGAGAAAAGGGGGAGAAAUUGUAUGGUAUAGAGAGGGAGAAAGAAGGCUGGAGAGAGAGAUUAGGAUGAAACAAAAGGGGGGAGGCAAGAUAGGAGAAGUUGGAGAUUAGAUGCUGCUGUUUGUCCUCUUCCUUCCCUAUUUUUUAGUUUGUUUUUGUUUUUAUCUUGAUUGGUAAUGGGAGUGAAAGUGCCCAAAUAAGUGGAUAGUGAGUAUUGGGUAAUGAAAGACCUAAAGUGGGUAAUGAAAAAACCCAUAGCGGUGUACCAAACACCAUCAAUGCCAAUCAUUACCCUCUCAUUCCCAUUGAAAGGUGCUAAACCCCCCAACCAAAUGGGUGGUUAGUCGUCAGAUGUCCAUAGCUGUCUUAUUUCAUAUUCCUUAUUGAAGAUAAUAACUUUCUUCUUCAAUGUCAUGUCACAAAUAAGAUGUACUGUUUAAGUAGGAAUUAGUCCUGCUUUGUGUCAAUACUCAUGCCACUUUUAAAACUUAGCGCCCUAAUUGCUGCUAUUUGCCUCUUGAAUUAUACUAGGUUCCAAGUUGACCCAAUUCAUAAGAUUUCUUGUAUUUGGAUAAAAUUGCUGCACCUGAUUGUAUAACUCAUUCUGGGGAGACUUAGAUGUGAAAUAUGCAAUGGUAAAAUGACUAAGUUCAAGACUCUUGUUCAGUUUUUUGGUUCAUUUUGAAUGAUUUGUCCCGCUUGAUCAAAGUGGAUAUUAUAUAUGCUGGUGAUAUGUUGUUAUGAAUCAGGAUUUAUGGCCAGUGCAACAAAAUUGCAGAGGAAUCAGUCCAAGUUAAUACUUUCCUUUUUUCAAAGAAUAUGACAAACAGAAAAAUGCCACCUGUUACUCUCCAGGGGGUGGGGGUUCUGGCAGGGAGCCUUACCUGUUCUUAACAAAUCGAAUGAGAAGUUACAAGGUGGGGACGAAGGGCCUAACCUCCUAAAAUAUGCUCUUUAACAUAGUAACAACCAUUGCCUUCGCCUAAUUGGUCCGUUGAACUCCUUUGGGAGCUGUAGAUAUCUUUAAAAACUACUGUUUGCUCAAAACCGUGAACCAGUUCUUCAAGAAAAUCAGCUGCUGUUCUAGCUUUCUGAAAUGUUUAUGCAACACGUCCUAAUUGAUCUUGCAAUAUAAAAGAAUGAUCUUGAUUCACUUAUGUUUAUCCUAAUAAAACAGGAAAGGUAGUCAUGUAAUCUGUUGCAUUAUGUUAACUCAUGUUCAUAUAGAGUUUACAUUAUGGGCAUAGGAGAUUUGUAUCUGUUACAAUAAUUUAACAUCCGGUCGGAAAGUGGUUAGGGUUGGCCAUGGGAUGGUGCUCUUCUUCUUUCGUUCUAAAUACAAUGACUUCUUAGAAGUUUAUGAUUUCCUUUUCCAAUGUGAUGUUUUCAGCCUGUUAAUUCUGUUGAAAUGACCGAUAUGAGUUCAUUUAGUGGUGUGGGAAGUAUCUUUCUUAAUUACGUACUUUUUAAGUUCCAUUUUGAACUAUUCUUACUAGCUUUUUUUUUUUGUUCCAUGCCAAAAAAUUCUUUCACUGAACUGCUUCAUUUUUCCUAUUUCUUGCAGUCAGAGAAUAUUAUGCUUGCUGAUAAGCACAGAAUAGAGAAAGAGCAAAAUACCCAGCUUAGGAAUCAAGUUUCUCACUUGUUAGAGUUGGAGCAAGAUCAGAAGUUACAGAUACAGGAACGGGAUUCUACCAUUCAAAAUUUACAGGUCGAUGGAUUAGUCCCGUUUAAAUUUCCUCUUUCCCUCAAGGCAGUUGCUUUUCACCUGGAAUUUGCCUUCAAUUUUCAUGGAUUAUGGCCGACCAGAAUGCUUUGUUUUUUGCCUAGUUCUUUAUGAUUUGGCAUCUUAGUUGAAACAGGGGCUCUACGGUUUCUUAAUUUUUCAGUAACUCUGUGUCAAUGAUUUGUUUUUGCCUCAUAGCCAAGUCUGCUUAUUUCUGAUAUUCUGACUCCAGUUAUGCAUAGACUGGUUAAUCAUCUGAUUUCAUGCAUACAGAAGCUAUACAAAUAUUGGAUGCUGCUGAUUUUGCUCUGUCUUUCUUGUAAUUGAUUGUUUUAGGCCAAAAUAAAGAGCAUUGAGUCACAGCUGAAUGAAGCACUCCAUAACCGUGAGGCUAGGCCAACAAAUGGUGCAGAAUCAAAGUCCAACAUGCAAACAAGUCCCCAAAUGACUGGAGAGAAUAUGGAUUCUGCAGCUGUUACUAAAAGACUUGAAGAGGAACUUCUGAAACGGGAUGCACUUAUUGAGGUAUUUCAUACUUUUCAAAUCUGUAGAGCUGAUGUAGUUUGUUCCAUUUGCUUUGGCAUGGUAAUCAUUUUAAGGCUUAUUUUUAUCAAGUCACACGAAAUGGGGUCGAGAUUGGGAACUUAAAUUUGUUUCAAUAUGAACUUUGUGUGCGAACAUAGGGAAGUUAAAUACAAAAUGUAGUUCCAUGGCUAAAUACUUCUGAGCUGUGUGCUAGUCAAAAUGUCCAAAAUGGUCUAGCAUAUUGAAACUUUAUAUUGGCUAACAGAUAGCCAUCAAUGUAGGACCUGUCUGCUGCUCUAGCUCUUAGGAAAGAGAUGCCUCCAAAACGGGGAAAAGUGGAAGUAUGCUGAAUGUUGAGUGAUGGUGAAAAGAAAAAUACAGAAAUAGGUAAUAGUGAGAUGCAUGGUUAAUAGAAAGCUACAGAAGUCUAGGUUAAUACUGAGAUGCAAAAGAAUAAAUAUGAGAAAUUGAGUUUGAGUGUCAUAGAAUGUAUUCUGGAAGUUUGAAUUUUGUCUCCUUGUGCUGUUAUUGACACGAUUUAUUUAUUGCCUCUGGACAUUUGACACAAUUUGGUUUAUACUUAUUUCUUGUUUCGAAUGAGUGAUCCUCUUUCUUGUUGAAAUCACGUCACCUGCAUAUUGGUUAAAUUCUCUGGUUUUGCAGAGGUUGCAUGAAGAAAAUGAGAGACUUUUUGACAGAUUGACUGAAAAAUCGACUUCAGCUGGUUCACUGCAGGUACUGAUUCAUCUUGCAAUUUAAGUUGAAUUUUCCAUCCUUUAAUUUGUUAUUUUGGGGGUGGACUUCUAUGACUGAAUUUUUUUAGCUUGAAUUCCUGCUUCUUGAUACCGAGAUGGAUUUUUGUAGUCAUUGGCUGAUCAUCAAACUAGCUGUUAUUAAUUUAUGUUAGUUUUGAGCUUUAAAUGGGACAGCUAUUUUGAAUGGCUGAAUGCUGCCCCUUUCAGAAAUGGAAGUAAUCUUAGCUGCCUGACAUGCUAUAUCCUAUUCACUGAAAAAUAUUUGGACCUCUGGACAUCUAGUGUUUGCUACUCUUGACGCCAGAAAAUCUUACCUCACCUCAUUGUCCAUCUUUGUUAGGUUUCAAGCCCAUCCCCUGGAGGACAAGAGGUUACAUCUCGUGACAUGGCAAGGUACUUGUCUGAAACUGGUUUUCAGAGUUAUUAUGUAAUUGACUAAGCAUUUUUUGUAACUAAGCUUGUUGAUUCUUGUCAUUUUAAAAAUUUUAACUUUUCCUAAAUUUUCCUGCAGAAAUGAUAAUAAUAAUGUUAAAGGGCGAUCUGUAGCUGUUCCUUCACCUUUGGCCUCAGAUAAGACUGAAGGCACAGUUGCUUUGGUUAAAUCAGGUGUUGAGAAAGUAAAGACCACGCCAGCUGGUGAAUAUCUUACUUCUGCUUUGAACGAUUUUGAUCCUGAACAGUAUGACAGUCUAGCUGCAAUUUCAGAUGGCGCAAAUAAACUUUUGAUGCUGGUAAGAUACAAAUCAUUUUGCCAUGACUGCUGUCUGAAGUGGACUAUGGAGUUGGAGGAUCUUUUACAUUCAAGAUGAUUACUUAAUUGUCAUUGUUGUGAUUACUUUCUAUUGAUUCAAAACCAGUCAGGCAAUUGUAUUGUUCCGGCAGCUAUCUUUUGGGUGUUGUAAAAUGUGUUAUUAAUCCUAACAAAAAUGCUAAAACCUGGGCAAGCAUUUUUAGUAAAAAGAAGAAAGUAUUUGAUAUGCAGUGUUGUUGAUAUGUGACUAUAAUAAGUUUUAAAUCAAGUAUCUUACUAAAUACUCAACCAAUCAUUCCUGGGCCUAUUGGGUCUAAAUACAGAAGGAUGCCUCAGAGAAUGCAUUACUAUUAAGUUAUAAUAGGAGAGGAGGCAAAUCAUGAAUUUUGUUUAAAUUCUUUGGUUCUGCUGGCUUGGAAUGAGUUGUGUUAAGAGAAGCCUUGUUCGAGAUUGUUGGGACGAUGCAGAAAAAAUGGGAAGUUGCUGGAAGGGUGUCCUGUAUCUGGUCUCUUGCUGUGUUCAUCUUCAUACACUCUUGUCUGUCUCUGUAGCUUUUGUUGAAUGCUUAUGAAAGGAGUAUAACAUUGUUUUGCUUUGUGGUCAUGAAUACAAAUUAUUUUUCUAUGAGCAUGCCUGUGACUUGAAAGAUGUGUGUAUUCCCCUGCUUCGUUAGGUUUAGUGUUUAGACACUUCACUAUUUCUGUGUCUUUGCACAUCUGAGGCGCUUGAUGCUGGUCGUCAACAUUUAGUAGUGUGCCUUAGCUUUGGAUUGGCUAUGAUAAGCUAUCAAGUUAAAAGUUUUUAUCUGUUAGCUGAAUUGAGAAGUAUAAUAUUAACCAUGCAGAUGCUGAAGCUGAUAUUGUUGCGACUUUAUAUGCAUUCUUUGAGCGUGAAUUAGAACUGAGUGCAUUGAGAAGCUUUUUGAUGCAUUGAUUGCUCCUUGAUUCUCUUUUUGGAUAUCUUAUUGCAUGUUUUCCUUUCUGAACCCAAUCUUGAUGAUGCAACUCAGUUAUUGUAAUUAUUGUACUGUGGUUUAACUCUCCCAUGAUGUUGAAAACUUUCCUCGGGUUAGUUAUAAUUUGCUGAAUUGUUGUUUGUUUCCAGUAUUUUUCUUUAUCUGCGCUAAUGACUAUACGUUCAACAUUGCAGGUUUUGGCUGCUGUCAUUAAAGCUGGCGCUUCUAGGGAGCAUGAAAUACUGGCAGAAAUACGAGAUGCUGUUUUUGGUUUUAUUCGUAAAAUGGAGCCAAAAAGGGUGAUGGACACCAUGCUGGUUUCUCGGGUUAGAAUUCUGUAUAUCAGAUCUCUGCUUGCUAGGUCACCUGAGCUGCAGUCUAUCAAGGUAUUCAAGAAUUUUGCCUUCACCUUUCAGAAUUCUUACACAAAUGUGCUAGAAUCUGCAUUUUUUUUGAAGGUUUUUCCUGUCUAAUUGUACCAAACUGGUGUUAGGUUCCACCAGUUGAGCGAUUUCUGGAGAAAGCAAAUAGUGGAAGAAGCAGAAGUUCUAGUCGUGGUAGCAGCCCUGGAAGAUCUCCCGUCCGAUAUGAUUCUGGUUCGAGGAAUGCUCUUGUAGAGGAUCAAAUUCAAGGGUUUAAAGUAAAUAUUAAGCCAGAAAAGAAGUCAAAAUUGUCAUCAGUAGUUUUGAAGAUACGCGGUAUUGAUCAGGUGAAUACUAUCUGUUUUUUUUUUGGGUGUUUCUGCUUUUUACUUUGUUCUUAAUUAUGAUCAAUUUUGAUUCCAACUUUUAGUUUUCCUUGUCCAGAAGGGGUAGUAGGAUGUCGGGUUUGGCCUGUAAGUUAUACAGCAUAAUGGUGCCAUUAUGCAUAAAACCUAUGCCUGUGUUUGGGUAGGAGAUUAUUUUGAAAAAAUUAUUUGGAAUAACAGUGUAGCACUUUUUGUGAUGUGAUGUAUGUGAGGUAAAAAGGUGUUUGGAAAUUGUGUUUAUGAUGCAAGCUACAUAACACUUGAAUUAUUUUUUUUUUUGGCAAAUUAUGCUAGCCAAACGGAUGAUUGUGUUGGGUGAAUUGUGACCUUGCACGAUGGUGUCGGGUGAGCAACAGCCGCUUCGUUACAGUACUUACUUAUGGGCUAACAGGUCACACUUUGGCCAAGUAUCCUACAAAGAGACUCCCAAGAGCCAGAAGUAUUAAAGGAAUGGCCAUAGGAAUGGGCGCAUCAUGACAUCAUAAGAUGUCUCGCCUGAAUGAAUUAGUUGGUACUAGAAAUGUUAGAAAAAGUGAAUGAAAAGAGUAAUAAGAAGUAAAAGGGACAGAGACACUUCCCAACCAGAAAGCAAAGUUCCCACUGAUGGUAUACUUUUAUGUGAGGUAAAAAGGUGUUUGUAAAUUGUGUAUAUGAUGCAAGCUGCAUAACACUUGAAUGAUUAUUAUUUUUUUUUGGCAAAUUAUGCUAACCAAACGGAUCCAGUGUGAAUGCUUUGUUAACAUGAUGUAUACUUGGUUUAUGUUUCCACUAGAUCUGACAAUUUUAGUUGGUGUAAGUUCAAAUCAGAAUUCCAUCUGGCACUGUUAUACAUCCUCUUCUUUUGAUUUUGGUAAUGGUGCUUGGCAAUCUUGUCAACUCUGUCUUGCUUUUCUUUUCUAAUUGGAACUGUCAUUGCCAAUUAACCUGUUGGCUUGGUGAAAUGAUGCAUAAACACCUACAGAUACCAAUUGCACAUCCCUUGGGACAUGGUGUGUCGAUAUCUCUUCUCGUGGAAUAGGUGAUAUGCUUCCUGACCAUUGGUGGCCAAAUCUGCCAUCAAGUAGGACCCACAUGAUUAAUUUUGCCAUCAUUUAUUAUACUUUGUAGGCAUUAAAGGCCUCAUCAAAAGGUUAUACUGUCUUUGCUACUGUCCAUAAAUUGCUAAUAAAUAGAAAUUUGGUGCUGCAACUGAUAACAAGACAUCAUAGAGCUAACCUCUCUUACAAAGAUAAAUAUAAUCCUGAUUUCCAUCAAAUGGGGGCUCUAAAGGUUGUUCUCCCGGUGCACCUUUUACAUAGGCUAUGCAUUCUUUAUGCUAUUUAAUUGUUAUGUUUUUGCUUAUGAACACAUUUCAGAUUCAGCUAUUUGCUUAUGAUCCAUGGGCUUGAUUGACAUAAUUGUGCAGGAAACAUGGAGACAACAUGUAACUGGUGGAAAGCUGAGAGAAAUAACUGAAGAAGCCAAAAGUUUUGCUGUUGGAAAUAGGGCUCUUGCAGCGCUUUUUGUUCAUACUCCAGCUGGUGAGUUACAGCGUCAGAUCCGGAAUUGGCUAGCUGAAAACUUUGAUUUUCUCUCUGUGACUGAUGAUACGGUUGGAGGAGCAACUGGUCAGCUAGAGCUUCUUUCUACUGCAAUAAUGGAUGGUUGGAUGGCUGGACUUGGUGCUGCUCAACCUCCUAGUACUGAUGCUCUGGGGCAGCUCUUAUCUGAGUAUGCAAAACGAGUUUAUAAUUCUCAACUGCAGCAUUUGAAGGUGUGUAUUGAGCAAUUUUCUUUGUGUCAAGUCUAUUACCACUAGUUGCUUGCAUUCGAACUCAUGAGAGUUAUGGUUACUCUUAUGAUUCACCGCUAAUUUGUAUCAUCCCUGCACUUUCUUUUGGUUUUUGAGAGUUAUGAUUACUCUUAUGAUCCACUGCUAAUUUGUAUAAUCCCUGCACUUUCUUUUGGUUUUCCUCCCCAUUUCUGAAGUACUUUUCAGAAUCCCAAUGACAAAUUAAUGGACUAAAAGCGAUGACCUAACUGCAUGAGUAAUUUUCCAUUUCCAUUAGUUCUUCUCGCCAUAUAAGUUUGUGACUUGCAUGAGCAAAUGCUCUUUUCAAAGUUACCAGUUCUGUGCCAUGGACAAAGCUGGAUUAUGUUUUUACCACUAUUCUGCCUAUGGUAGCCAACCAAUCUCUUGGUCAGCUCAGCUGUGUCAGUUCCAUUCCUUGGCUUGUAAAAUUUUUCCAUCAUAGUCUAUGAUGAGAAAUUUCCUGUUUUCUCUUGUGGAUGCACCUUUUAAUGGGGUUGCUGCUGUUGAUUGGCAGCUAAGAGUGUUGUUGUUGUUUUUUUUUUUUUGUUAAUAAAUUCCAGUAGAGCAGAAUAAGACCAUGUUGCAUCUCUUCUAAAAUAUUCUUGGUACUUGCUUAUGUAACUUUGAUCCUUGCCAGGAUAUUGCUGGUACCUUGGCAACUGAAAUAGCAGAGGACUCUGCUCAAGUAGCUAAAUUGCGAUCAGCCCUAGAGUCCGUUGAUCACAAGAGAAGAAAGGUAGCAGAAAUUCAAGUUCUGUAAUAUAUAUAUAUAUAAAACCUUACUGAACUACUUAGCUAGUGUUCAGUGAUUAGAAGCAUUUGUUUAUCAAUAAAUUUUGAGAGUAAAAGUUGUACUUAUCCCAUUAAUUUUCGGCUAGAUCUAUACCAAUUUUGACUAUUUUAUGGCAAUUUAACAGAAGGUGGGUCUGUAUUUAAAAAUGAAAAUUUCUGGGGAAAAUCUUAUAGAAAAUUCAAAAUUCUGAGGUUUUUUUCUCCUUAUUUUUUCUCCUAUUGCAAAUAAGUAGAUAAACUCUAAAGUCAAUUUCUAAAAUCUAUGGCACCUCUGCAGACUGCAGUUCAUUGUCAAGUUUAUACAAAUCUUAACUGGCUCGUAGUUGUAAAGGAUGCUAAUAAUCUUCCCAAUCACAAUUUUGGCUGAAUUUACAAGCUAUAUGUAAUUGUCCUGUGUUACAGUGCUUAAUUUUCAGUUCCUAAGAACCUAAUAGCUCAAAAGUGAUGUUUCUGAAACUUAUUUUUCUUGUUCAUAUCAUGGGUAGAAUAGUCAUUUCAUUAUUGUUUAUGGUAUCUUCAUUUCAUAUUCUUGUUUGUCCCGCAUUUAAUCAGUUAGCCAUAGAUUUUAUCCUACAGAUUGUUUACUGCACUAAAAGAGUUAGGCCCAUCUAAUGCAAUGUUUUGAAUCUGUAGGAUAUUGAGGUUUUACAGUCGCUGGUUCUGAUUUAAAUUGUGCUAGUAUAAUGUUAUGUCAUUUCCAAAUUACGUGAACAUCGUGGGAAAAGAGGGAAAUUUAAAUUGAAAAAUUGAUAACUUUUAUGUCCCAAGCACCCCCCCGUUGAGGAAAUGUGGAAGUGUUAGGCCCAUUUCAGAGUGCAAUGUUUUGUUGAAGAGAAUAUAGAAAUACAUGGUGCCCCAACUUCAUUCUCACUGACAGUGUCCGUCAAAUUACUUGUCAGCAUUUAGUCACACUAGGUUUGUCUUUCUAUUGUGUUCAUCUAUAACAUGGAGUAUUUGGAUGUUUAUUGAUGUACAAGAUCAAAAUUGAAAUUAGAGGACAUUCCUUUCGAUUUAUAAAUUUGGUUCCCAGAGAAACUUCCUUUGUCAUCUAAAAUCUAAGUGACUUGCAUUGUUUCAUUUGCUAGAUUUUGCAACAAAUGAGAAGUGACAUAGCAUUGCUGACUCUAGGGGACAGUGGUUCACCCAUCAGGAAUCCUUCAACUGCAGCUGAGGAUGCACGACUAGCUUCUUUAGUCUCCCUUGAUGGCAUACUGAAGCAAGUGAAGGUUCUUAAAUUCUUUCUGCCUCUCUCUCUCACACACACAAACACACAUAACAGAUUCAGACAGGCAUGUGCCUCCAGUAUUCAGUGAUGAAAGGCGAGGUUGCAGUGAAUGAAUGAGGUUGCAAGACUAACAGGCUGUGUUUUCACAGGAUAUAAUGAGGCAGUCUUCAGCAGGAAAACUGAGUAAGAGUAAGAAGAGAUCGAUGCUUUCAUCUUUGGAUGAACUUGCAGAUCGGAUGCCUUCUCUACUUGAUAUUGAUCAUCCUUGUGCGCGAAAACACAUUACAGAGGCUCGUAAAGCUGUAGAGGUGCGGUAAAAUUAUAUCUUUCUAGUUACUUCUGGAAGCCCAGCCUUUGAAUUCUGUGGUUUGUAAAUCAUGCUGUGAGGGAACAUGUGAAUUUUUGAUGUGUAGGUUUAAGUAGUUUGGAAGAUGUCUUUUCGAGUAUUUCUGUUCAAAUUCAAACCUCAGUUGGUCUGCAGUUGCUCAGCUACAAUAAUUACUUCUUGUCAACCUGAUUUUGAUGUUAGAUUAAAGUCUCUCUCAAACCCCCCAAACCUCUACCACACAAAAAAAAAAAGAAAAAAGAAAAAAGAAAAAAUCUGUCUGCCGCUUCCAUACAUGCAUGUGUAUGCAUGUUUUUCCGUUUUAUUUGGGACUGAAGAUUUCUUUUGGUUUGUUUUUCUUUUGAUGUUGAUAUUUGGUUAGAAAAACCGCUUGUUACAUUUGUCUGAGAGUGCCAAAUUAACUUGAUAGCACUCGUUUUCAAGUUUUGUUGGGAUUUCAUCCUUGAUCAGAAGUUGAAGUUUGGGGUAAAUGCUUUUUGUGAUGCGAUUUUUGUUUAUAUGUUUCUUUUGCUUGAUCGACAGUGUGUUGCUGAGGAGGAUGACCAGCUUCAUCAUGCGGCAAAUGCUUCAAAACUUUCAGCAGACAUGGGGUCUGCUGUUGAAACAGAUGUGGGACAGUGGAAUGUUUUGCAGUUCAACACGGGCUCAACAACCCCAUUCAUCAUAAAGUGUGGAGCUAACUCGAGUUCUGAAUUGGUGGUUAAAGCUGAUUCCCGGGUUCAAGAACCCAAGGGCAGCGAGAUAGUUAGAGUUGUUCCAAGACCAACUGUUUUAGAGAACAUGAGCUUGGAGGAAAUGAAAGAGUUAUUCGCUCAACUUCCCGAGUCUCUGAGCUUGCUUGCUCUUGCUAGGACAGCAGAUGGUACUCGAGCUCGGUAUUCUAGAUUGUACAGGACUUUAGCUAUGAAGGUUCCAGCUUUGAGGGACCUAGUAAACGAACUGGAGAAAGGGGGAGUGCUGAAGGAUGUAAAGUCCUGAUUAUCUUUGUGCUGCUGUCUUUUCACUGCAAAAUGAUUCUGAAGUUUGAAUUUUGAGUGGUAUUUAUUGGAUGACGUCAUUUAAGCCGGUGUUUUUGGUCUAUGGUGUGCGGCUUAUUUGCAUUGAUGGUAAGUUGAUGGAUAUUAAGCCAGUUUUGUGAUUUACUUUGUAAAUAAGUAUUUUGUCUGCUACAUUUUCAAGUUAUUUUCCUCUACCCUCAUUUUUUGGUUCCCUUCCCUAUGUCGUGCGAAUCACUUAAUAGUUGAUAAUCCUGCCCGUGUUUGCCACUCCCUCUAACAAAAAUGUCUUCUACGUCUCCUGGAUCCAGACAAUGUUUCCUUUAGCCUGCUGUCGAGGAAGCAGCAUGAGCAAGAACAUUUUUUAAGAAACAAAAUGAACCGAUACUUCUAAUGACUAAUUUGAUUACCCCGCAGUUGAUCCUAAUCUGCCCGCCUUCCCCCGUGUGGGGGCUGAGGCUGGCCAUCUCUACUUAUCACGGCACACGCGAAAUCAUUCAAGAGCGUCAGAGCUUAUAGUAGUAAUGAAAAUAUGAAACUUUUGCAAACGCUCAACAGUAGUAAUGAAAAAAGGUCAGGAUGGAUUGUAGUAGUAGAAAAAAUAUUUUAAAAGGUGUGAUUUGGGUAACAUCUUGAAAUAAAUUUUGGUAAUAAUUUGUCCAAAAAGACUAAGAAAAAAAAAAGGAGAGAGAGUAAUUAUGGUGAAAAAUAUGCUUGGAGACUAUUAUACAAGACUCUUAAAUGAUUCUCAGUCAUCUCAUUGAUUUUGGGGACAAUACUAAGAAGGCACAAAAAUGCUUUGUUGAUCAAAGACUUUGUUCUAAAUAACACAGGCUUAGGGGUUUCCUGCUCUUCAAGCAUAAGUAGUCCUUCCUCAUCUGAUGAUAUAAUUAAUAAAUAGUUUCAAAAUUAUUAAAACCAAUAAACCGCAAAAUUCAUAAAUUUAAGAACAUUUAUAGACAUGAUCUUCCACAUUUUUAAAGAUAUUUAAUCAAGUUAAGUACUUCUUGUCACAUAGAUGGAAUUGAUUUUUAGUUCACGCAAUUACCUAAACAAACUCACAAAACCCUAAAAUCUAAUGGUCAACAGCUAUUUGAUUACAAACAUGUUUAAGUAUUUCCGAAACUUAGCUUGGGUUGGGUGUGCCAAUUAAGUGAUUAAAAUUUUCAACUACAUGCCUAAUUAAAAAUGUUCAGUCCGAACAAAACAGGUACACUUAUUUCCUAGACUAUUCAGCUUUUGGUACUUUACUAGGCAUAUGGCCACAAAAAAUGUACGUCUCUUAACCCUAAUAAUAAGUUUUGUAAUUUAAUAAGUAGGUUAGUUUCACCGUUUAAGAAAAAUAAAAAAAAAAGUAGGCUAUUUUCAGACUUUAAGGUAUUCUAAGUUGAAGUAUUAAUUCAAAGGCUCUCUCUAAUUGUUAUUUUCUUUAUUGCAAAGAGUGCUAUGAACUAGAAUGGCAAUAUUCAGAUAGAAAUGAAUUUUGAUUUACAAAAUUAAAAGUGUAGAAGAUUUUUUUUUAAAAAAAAAAUUUGAUUAUAGACAUAUCACAGUUUACAAGAUUAAAAAAAAUGAAGAUUGACUUUAAAGGAAGAAAAUUAGUAACUUAGAAAUUGAUCUAGCCUUUUAAUUGGCAAGAAGCUUUAGUAAUUUGCUAAGGAGAAAAAAAUAUUAUUAAUAACUUUGCAAUGAAGUAGUAUUUUUCCUGUCUAUGAGCUAUUAUAUAGUUUCUAAGAAUAAAACAAUGUAUUUUUUAAACCUCAAUUAUCAACAAUUGCUAAUUUAACUCCAAGUUGCAAGUAGCCCAAGUUUCAAUGACAUAUCCACCAUUUUUUUUUGCCAAUAAUAGCUUAAAGUUCCUAUUUUUCUUUAAAAAAAUCCGAUAAGGGAAAUUCAUACAUAUUUACCUUUUUAAAAUUCUUUUCCUAAAUACAUUGCAGUGCCUUUUAAAAAAAAAAUUUCUUCUUUAUUGUUCUCGUUUUGAAUUAAAUUCCAUAAACCCCUUCCUUGAUCUUGUGCUCCUUGCUUCUGGGGUUUUACCUUGCCUAUACAUUCCUUCCCUUUAUUCCCACUCCGAUUCUUUGCGAAAAAUCUUGAAACAAGCUGGAUUAGAUUCUCUCUCGUCAAGUAAAAUGAUGGGCUCUUCUUCAUCUUCUUCUUCCUUAACAUGUAAAAGAUUAACAAUAUUGACAAUAUUAGCAGUUGUAAUGCAAAUUACUGGAUUAUUUCUCUUCGUUAUAGGCUUCUUCCCAGUAAAAACCACUCUCUCAGGGGCCAGGUAACCUUCCAGUUUUCCCGCUUGAUUCAUUUUAGUUCUGUUCUUCAUCCUGUAUCAAGGAUUGUCCCUUUUCAUUUUUAUUCUUGUUUGUUUUACAUCUUUUCUUUUAACGAAAAUUUCAGUGGUUUGGAGAGUUUUUAUCCACCUGGGUUCGAUUCAAGUGAUGAUAGAAAUGCUAGUACAACUUUACCUCCUCAUCAGCUUAAAUCUCUAUAUCAGGUGACUACCACUGUUUACCCUGUUCUUUACUCUCUUUUUUUUUUUCUUUUAAAUUUGGAUUUUCAAAUUUGUUGCAAUUGGAAAAUAUUUAGUAGCUUAAGACUGGUAAUGUGCUUCAUUGUUGGUUAGGAUAAUAAUUGUUGAAAGCUUUUUUGGGACCCUGGUGAAAAGAUUCAUCAUUUACAGCACACUGGAUUAUGGAAAAGAAAAUACUCACUUAAUUUUUGCUAUAUAUUUUCUUCUCAUUUUAGCUAUUAAAGUUUAUUUCUUCAUGCAAAGUGGGUUAUUUUUGUCUUCCUUUACAGCAACUAUCUGGUGUACCGCCUUUGUUUGACCGGCUAAUACUAAUGGUACGCUGCUCAAUUUGUGUAAAAAUUGCUUCUGCUGAAUUAGUUUCGUAAGGGAGAACCCUGUUUGUUGUGAUGUUUGUUCUAGGUCAUUGAUGGUCUGCCAGCUGAGUUUGUGCUUGGGAAGGAUGGCAAGCCUCCUCCUAAGGUUUAUAUGGAAGCUAUGCCAUAUACACAAUCAUUAUUGGCUAAGGGAAAGGCAAUUGGAUACCAUGCUAGGGCUGCUCCUCCUACCGUGACAAUGCCUCGCUUGAAGGUUUGUAAACUGGUUAUUUGGGUGAAAUUUGAAGCUGCUAUUUGUGUAGUCUGACUGUUCUUAGUCCUGUUUUUGUGUAUAGUAGGCCAUGGUUUCUGGUGCAAUUGGAGGAUAUCUGGAUGUUGCUCUCAAUUUCAACACACAAGCCUUUCUAGAUGAUAAUCUUAUUGGUCAGUUGGUUAUCCUUGCUAAAGUGAACUCACUAAUUAUAUGAGUGUUUUUAGCAACUUCUGCAAUUUUCGUCCAUCUCUUUUUCAGAACAAUUUUCUAGAAUUGGCUGGAAAAUGGUAAUGCUGGGUGAUGACACAUGGCUUAAGCUGUUUCCUGGGAUGUUCACAAGGCAUGACGGUGUUAGCAGUUUCUUUGUGAGCCUCUUUUGCUUUCACAAUUUAAAGCAUUUUACUUGAAUAUGUUUUAGUUUUUCUGCCUUUCUGGUAUCUGUAUUUUGAUGAUGGGUGUUACUUUGUUACACAUGCACUUUUGGUUGAAUGCCUUUGAUAUAGUACCUUUCUAGAAUGUUCAACUUGUCUUCACCAGAACAAUGAGGUGAAGAUUUUAUAGAUUUAACGCACUGUCUAAAUACAUUUUAAUUAAUGAACAUAAUGGAAAUUCUGUUUUGUGCUAUUUCCCUGUAUCAGAGGAAUAACAAGUGAAGUUGCAAUGGAAUUACAUAUUUUGCAAGAGCUGUUCCACUAAAGUAGGAACUCUGCAGGAAAUACUUUUUGUUAAUGUGCAUGCCGAGGGAAAGUUUUGUCUAUCUUGUUUAUUUAUGCAAUCAUAGCAGAUAUUACUGAGAAACAUAAACAUCCUUGUAACAAUUACUCUGAGAAAAUAUUCUAUAGGCUAACAUCUGUCAUUUGUAAGCUUUUUUCUUGUGAAUAGAGUACCCUCUGUAUAAUGUCUCUGAUCUGUUGCUUGAUUCCUGUGUUGUUCAAACUUGUAAACAUUAUACUGCAUACAUUAAUCCAAACAAAACUAGAAAAAACAAAAAAUCAAGAAAAUUACUAGCUUAAGCUUUGGCUUUUAGUCAAAAACUACAAAGGCAUUGAGUGUACAAAACUGGCAGCAAUUUCUUGCUAGAUGAAUUGGAUUCUCUGUUUCUUAGUUUCAGUUACGUGAACUUACAAAAUAGUUGCUUCGCUUCAGGGGAAUGUGUGCAAAAUAAACAUUGAGUGCUUCUGCCUCCUCAUAAGAGGCAUCUUUAUUUUCUUUGGUCUAUAGAUGGGAACUUUUCUACCCUCUGAGCUAGUUGGAUAAAAUCAUUUCCUAUUAGAAUAGAAAAAGUAAGUGAAGAAACAACUUAAUAUUUUGAAGCAGAUCUGCAUCUGAUAUUGAUACAAUAAAAUUCAGAAGUCAGAAAAACAGAUGGGAAAGAGAAGCUGAAAAUAAGUGCUUGUAAAACUCAAAGGUAUAAAAUUUUUGUCUGCAGCAUGAAAUCAGAAAACUAAUAGGGGAGCCAACAAGAUUUUGACACGCCUAGAUGACAAUAAACUUUUUUUUUUUGCAUGGUUUGCAGUAACAAUCUUCUUCAAUUUCCAUUUAAUAGGAAAACUUAGAGGUGGCAAAAUGGGCGGGAUUUGCUUGGGUUUGAGAUGGAACCGAAUCAUAUGGGUUUGGGUCCAACCUUACCCAUGUGUUUUGGGACUAACUUGGGCGGGAUCACUUUGGGAUGGGUUUAGAUUGAUCCCGCCCAAUACCCAAAUCUAUUUUCUACAUAUUUUUUUUCCUUUAAUUCAUUUUUUAUUUUUUAAAUAACUUUAAUAUUUUUUAUUUAUUAAAUUUCUUUUAGUCUUAUUGUGAAUUUAUAUUUUCAUGAAUUCAUUUUACACUCUAGAAUGAUUUACACUCUACAAUAUUUUUUUUCAAAAAAUUAUUUCAAAUAAUCAACCAAACCAAAGUUUUUGGUUAUUGGAACCCAUUUAGGCCAUUCUUUAGCUUUGGUGUGAACCUUUAUAUUAAACUAUAUCAUGCAUUCGCAUAUGGAACAUAUGCAUUCAUCUGCUACACAAAUUGUUUCCCCGUCCAAGGUCUAGCUUUAUUUUUGGAGUCUUUUCCUUCUCAAUCUCUACCUCAAUCAUCUGUUCAGGACGAGCCUCAUAUGCAUUACUCACCGGCAAUUGCUCCUGAAGCGUCUCAGGGAGAGGAGUGGACCAGGUCGGAAAUGAAAUUUUUUGGGAAGAUAUUUGGGCCCAAUGGGUACCCAAGUAUUUCCCAAUAUUUCCCAUCAAUUAAUGGGUACAAUUGGGAUAUGUCCCAUUUUAAACCCAAUAUCAAAUUAUAAUACCCAUUCCGCCCAAAGUCCCUUUGGGCAUGGGUAGCCCAUUGGGACUUGGGACAAAUUGCCACCUCUAGGAAAACUCCAUUUUUUUGGAAGCAGGGUGUAUGAUAGUUCCUUUAGCAUGCUCCUCUCUAAGCACUAUUUUAUUUGGUUCUGAUAUUCUUGAUACAGGUUAAAGACACUGUGCAAGUGGAUCACAAUGUCUCUCGCCAUCUGAAUGUUGAGCUCAACAGGACAGACUGGAAUGUUCUGGUAUUUGCUUAAUAGUUCAUAUUUGGAUGUUUAUUACGGCACUAGCUAGAGUUUGUAUGCAUCCAUAUGCUAUAUGAUGAUUCAGAGUCUGUGAAUGUUUGCGGAAAGGUUGAGCCUUUACUUUCUGGCUGAAUGCCUACCUUGGUGAAGCAGUUUGGCUUUUACUCCUUUGUUUCCUGCCCCUUUUUCUUUACAAUUUUAUGAUUCUUAUUUAGGUCUAAACUGCGUGCUGGGAUCCCGUUUUCUUUACAAUUAGGUCUAAACUAUGUGCUUGGAUCCCCUUUUUUGGCACUUACCAUGCAGAUUCUUCAUUUUCUUGGUUUGGAUCAUGUUGGACACAUUGGAGGUCGCAAUAGGUAGGUUUGUGUUUCUUUGCUGUUAUUUCGGUGAAGAAGAACAAGCCUUAGCCAUUGAUUUCAAUCACCUGAUGAUUCAGUUUGUUGAUGGGACCAAAACUCAAGGAGAUGGAUGAAGUGAUUAAAAUGAUUGAUUUGACUACUCUAAAAAGUCAAAAAUACAAUCAAGGAAGGACACUUCUGGUUGGUGCUGCUUCAUUCUAAUGGUAGUGCUGGUGUCCUAUUGUUGUUACCAAGUUCAUUCCUCUGACAGAGUUUCUUGGGAAGUGGGUUUCUAGUCUAAUUCCUGUUGCUUAGACAUUGUUUGACUUUUACUUUUAAUAUCUUAUUUUAAUUUGGAUAUACAUGGGCUGUUAUGCUUGUGAAUUAUAACAAUCCAGUGGACUCUUCUCUGUUUAAGAUUUACUUCAUUAACUUUUUAACAUGUUUGAGUUUGUUUUUGGGAUGGAGUCAUUUGAUCUCAAUAAUCCUUGUAUUCAACUUUUAAGAGAUUGCCUUUAGGUUGACAGCAAUUUGACUGUGAGAAAUGACACUAUGUAUGAUAUCAAAUAAAGUAUUGAAAUUGUAAUUUUAUCCAAUUUUUUCAGAAUUGCAUAGUAAUAGCGGGUUUGUAAUGAGAGCGAGUGUUCAAUAAAAUGCCUAUUGUUGGAAUACCAAAUAUGUUUCAUAGCAGCAGUGAUGAUAGCUAUGAUUCUACUAAGUUGUCUUGUAAUAGACUUGCUUUAUUAAGAAAAGUACUUGAGAAAAUGUUGUGAUUUAGUUUGUUUUUUGAUUUUUGUAAUUGCAGAUGGUUGUAAGUGAUCAUGGCAUGACAGAAAAUGGCAAUCAUGGGGGAUCAUCCUAUGAGGAAAUUGACUCUUUGGCACUCUUUAUUGGGCUGGGAGAAUUUACUGAUUCUUCAACAACCAAUAACAUAGCCAACCAGGUUGGGCUCUGAAUAUUUCUUGCAAUUGAUGUUUAUCCAGAUUUCCACCGUAUGGGUGUCAUUUAUCCCUUUUCAUAUUUGUCUGUUUUUUAAAUUCCUUUUACAGCUGCUUGGUUGAGCAACGAAUGGAUAUGUUUCACAAAAUAUUGCUACAUAAAGGGGCUUAGUUUUGGUUUUAUCAGUAUCUUCAUUCUGGGGGCAUAUUCCAAGCAUGUUUAAAUAAACAAUCAGGGGCAACCCCUGAGAUGUUUUUUUGAAUCAUAAGUAGGACAGUUUAUCAUUUUUUAAAAUUUUAAUCAGAGAAGCAGUUUUUUUGUUUGUUGUGUUCUUCAUGGGUUUGUUGUUUCUUUAUGUGGAAUGACUUGAUUGGGCAUAUUCUCUCUCUCUCUCUUGCAGUCUCUCUUUCUCUCUCUCUCUCUGUCUGUCUGUCUCUCUAAAUGAUACUUUGGCAUCCAGAAAAUUGCAUUAUGGAUUUUGGUACAGCGUUCUAUGUUUUUUCUGCUUGCAUGCUCAAAAUAUGUUGAGAAGAUAGUUUAUAAAUGAUAUAGGCAUUUUAUGUUUUUCCUGAUUCCGUGCUCAAAAUAUGUUGAGAAAGCUUUCUGAAGUAGGCCAUUUGCAUUAUAAUGGAUAAUCAAUUAGUAUUGAUGUUCUUCUUCAUUAUGCCAAUUGAAGUUGUAAAUUUCUCUUGAACUGAAUAAGCUGCAUGUCUAGAUGUUUGCAUGUCUUGUUUUGGUGCUGUUUGCUAUCAUCAUCUAUCACAAGGGUCCCAGACAAGAUUUAGUUAUUCUCUCAGGGCAUUAGAUUAGGCUCUUUUGAAUAUGUUUACCAUCUUGGGAAAGACAGUUCACAUGGGUAGCAUUGGCUGCAACAUUUGACAACAUUAACUGCCUCCAAGGCUGAUUGAGCUUGCAGUUUGAUACUGUUAUACUUUUGAAUUUUGAAGACUGCCAUUGUAAUCAUAACCAUGCAUUUUAAUGUUUUACAUAUUAGUUUAGUGCUAUCUUUGCCAUUGGAAUCUAGAUGACUGCUAUAGGAUGGGAGUUAAGAUAGUAGUCUAAAUGAAAGAACAUUAAGGAGUUUUUGGACAGCAAAUCUGUUAUUUCCCAAAUUAUAAUGAGUGAUCCUAUAUAUAUAUUAAAGUAAAUUUCAGUUCUUGAACAAAAUUGCUUAUAUAAUUAUAUUUUGAGAAGAAAGUUUAGAGGACCUAUUGGUAUAUUCCUUGGCUGUGCUUUCUUAUUUUCUUUCUUUUUCUCCAAUUUCGUUGAAUUGAAAAAACUGUUUUUGCCAUCUACCCGGCAUUUCCAAGUUAUAAAGUACAUCAUUGAGCAAUGUAAAUGGUGAGCACCAAAUGAAGCGCCAUUUUCUGUCUCAAUUUUGCAAACAAAUGUUAUAACACAAAAUGGAAUGAUGAUCCAUAUUGGUGAAACGACAUAAUAAGAGAGAGUUGCAUGGUGGCCUAUGUCUUGCUUGCAAUCAAAGACAGCAAACACAUGUAGCUGUCAUGUGAUAAUUAUAAUUCAGUUUAGAAGUGUAUAUCUUCCUCAUCUGGGAAAAGGAUGAUUGUGGAUUGACUGUAAUCCUAUAUGGGAAUAGCAACUGAAGAGACAACAAUUUGUCAGAUUUGUGAAAAUAUGCCUGUAUUCUGUCAGAGCAUCCUUUUGGCUAUAUUUGUAUUUUGUAUAAUUUCCGUGGGUAGUGAAGUAUGUGCAUGUGUAUGUCUUAUUAUUGUUUUCUUUGGCCCCUCAAUCUUUGUUUUGUGCUCUUGUAAGACAGGUUGAUAUUGCUCCAACAUUAGCUCUACUUUAUGGAGUCCCAAUACCAAAGAACAAUGUUGGCAUCGUUAUGGUGGAAGUUUUCAAGUCAUUGACAGGUUUAACCAUGUUAAAUGUUUCUUCCAUUUCUGUUGGAAAGCUACUGGAUCAGAUGUUUGCUUUUAAAGUCUAAUAAUGACAUUGGAUUGAGAGAUCAACUGGUUUCUGUUUGAAGAAGUGCCUACAAUUUAACUGUUCUAUAAACAUCUAAUUAACUCAAGUAGCACAAAAUGUACAAAUGGUUAACAUAGCCGUUUAGAGUGCUAUGGUUCAAAUAAUCUAUGCCAAAUACACCAAAUGAAAUUAGACAAUGGGAUUUUCGCCUCUUAUGUUGGAAAGUAGUUACUGUUUGCUAAAAGCUUGUAGAGUACAGCCUUGACAAGUUACAUUAACGUAUGUUUUAUAAUCUGGAAAACUGCAAAUUCUACAAGAAGCAUGUGGGUUGGUGCAGGCACUGCUGUGUGUGUGUGUGUGAAAAUCCUUACAUUGUUUUGGUUUAUUCUUAUUCGAGUAAGAUGCCAAUUUUCUUGAACUUCUAUCAGUUGCCUGGCCUAGGUACUUCUUUACAUUGUAUGAAUUUCCUGGACUGACUAGGAUAAGUAGAGUGGUGAUGAUUUGAGAAGUUUCAUUUCCUCGUCUCAAUAGACAGCAUAAGCAAAUGGAUUUACAUGCUUUGCAAGUUCAAGCUAAUCUUUUUCUUGUUCUGGGUGUGCUGUAUUUCAUUUGGUAACAUGGUUCUCUAAUAUUGCAGAUGAUGAACAGCUGAGGCUAAUGGAGUUAAAUGCCUGGCAGUUGCUCCAAUUACUUCAGGCUCAAUUGCCUGGUUUAGAGUGUGAAAUUUCCAAAUGCAAUGUCCAUAGAGAUGGUAAUGGAUCUGAGAUCAGACAAGACUAUAGCACUGUAGAGGAGAUGUUUUGUUGUCUAUAUUUACAUGCGGCAACUGUCCACAAAUCUAUGAAAUCUGAGUAAGCCUUUAGGUGGUGGAUUUUCACUUCUCUGUAAAAUGCUGAACUACUGCUUAAUUACAUAAUUCUUGUUUUCAGUUCACCUGGGGGAGAUGAAUAUGGUAGCACCUUUUUGGCUUACCGUGAAUUUCUGAAAACGGCAGGCCAAUGGCUAUCUCACAGAGCAACUGACGUAAGUCUAGGAAUAAAUACUAUUGUUCCAUAUGAUGGUUUACCCGUUGACUUGAGUUGAUGUUCUAGGUGAAAGUUGAAUAGUCAUAACCAUUAUGCUCCAACAAACAUUUUGGUUGUAAUUAGGAUUGUAGGUAUACCAAUCAGCGCAGCCAAAAGGGUGCAAAGAGAGGGAGAGGGGGGGGGGAAGAGAGAGAGAGAGAGAGCAAUAGUAAAUUGCUGAACGUUCAGUUCUCUCUUUCACUUCUUCAAUGAUUUUUAGGACUAACAUGUUGUCUUUCAUCCUUACAGAGACCUUUCAGUCUACUUGCUUGUGGAUUUGCAGCCAUGCUGGUGUCUUGUUCAAUAAUAAUGGGCCUUCUUUUCUUCCUUAUCCGUGAAACCUAUAUCAAGGAAAGGGAGCUUCAUUCUCACCUGGGGAAAACCAAGCACGUGUGGCAGUUGGAUAAGACUUUUACACUGGCCAUAAUUUGUAUCGUUAUGCUAAGUAUGGGAUCUAGUUCUAUGGUAGAAGAAGAACAAUAUAUAUGGCAUUUUCUGACAUCUUCAUGUUUUUUGGUGUUACUCCGAAAAACUGUGCAGUCCAUCACAUUUGGAUUUGGGGUACUGCAAAACUCUUCAACUGUAUUUAAGGAACAAAGGGAAAGAGGUCUUCUUCAAAUUUUUUCUGUUAUUGUAGUUCUUGUUUCUGGAAGAAUUUUAAGAGGCUGGCAUCAAGGUGGUGUCAAUUGGGCUCAUCUUCCUGAUAUGGCAAAAUGGCUUGAGCAGGCAGGAAGCAGUUAUACAAAUGCGCUGCAGCUGACGUCUGGUGUCUUAAUUAUCAGUGCAAAUAUUUUUACUCUUCUUUUUUCAUUACGAUCAAAGAGAACUUUUGCUGUGGUGAUACUUUUGAUCAAUAUAUGCCCAUCUUUGAUGAUUGUGUACCUUAUGAUUAUACAUCAAGGUAGCACAUUAGGGACAACUGGUUUUGGUGCCACCAAAAUGGUUCAAAGAUUUUAUGCAAUUUUGGGCAUUUCUACACUUGGGACUGUUGUUUCUGUACCAAUGUUUAUGCUUUUACAGAAUUCUAAUAGCCCAGUAAAUGAUUUCACCUUAUGCCGUGAUAUCUCUUCUGAAUUUAGAAGGAAUCUCUUGCUUGAAGGGAUGAAAGAUUCUACCUUUAUAACUGGCUGGAGUUUCAUAUUCAGCUGGUGUCUUCUGCAGCUGUUGCUGCAACAACCUGUGAAUUCAAUGCCCUUAUUGUUACUAUUCAUUCAAAUCCUAGCUACCAUGUGGUAUUCUUCUGGUGGUGAUGCCCAGUUCAUUGAGGUGAGUCAUGAUGCCAAAGUUUCUGCCCAACUUUCUUACUUCUACCCACCCACUAUCAACAAUCAUGAAAGGAGAAGAAGAGUAGCAUGAGUUUAAAGUUAAUUGUCUUGAUAAGUAAGAACCUGGAAAAAUGCAGUUAAGGAAUUUUGUUUUGUUUUCUGUAGUUUGUUGAAAUAAGAUCACUGUGUAUUUCUAUACAUUUAGCUGAAGCCCUUCUUAACGGUUUCUUGUUGAUAUUAAAUGAAACUGAUGCUAGAUGUGCAAUUAAUUGAAUAUUUUUUGAACAUUCAGGUGGCUGCACUAUACUAUUUGGGAAUGGCUGGCCAUUUUGGUCUUGGUAACACCAACAAUCUAGCUACAAUUGAUGUUGCUGGUGCUUUUACUGUACUACUUCUCCCCUGAAAAGCUUUUUGAUUUCAUCCUGAUGCCUAAAGUUAUUCUAUUAGUGUGUCUGAGGUUUUUUAACUUUUUUUUUGGCUACAUCUUCAGUGACAUUGAUUUCAAUAUUGCCAGGGUGUCUCAAGCCAGUCCACCUUACUUUCUGGCAUCUUAAUGUUCAUGAUCACAUAUGCUUCCCCGAUAUUUGCUCUUCUUAGCAUGGUGCUAUAUAUAUCUGUGAAGGAUCUAGGUGGUGACCUAGAAGCCAAGGAAGUAGAUAUUGGAGAUCUGCUAAAGAGGAAUCUCAGCUUUCCUUGUCUGGUUCCGCUGGGUAUAAAUUCCAUGUUGCUGAUUGCAUACACCGUCGUCUUGCUACUAAUGAGAAAUCAUCUCUUCAUUUGGAGCGUCUUUUCUCCAAAGUAAGUCAUACUGAGCCAAUAAUGCCUAUGCAGUGUACCUAGACCACAUUCCCCACCCUAACUGUAGAUUGAGCUCUGGCAGUUGGAAAGAAUUUUGCUGUGUCCCAAGAAACAAAUGAUCUUGUUAUGCUUCAGAUUUCUUUACUGUUUAUAAAAAAAAUGAAUGGCAUCUGACAACAUGCAUCUGCACAGAAGGAAAGAUGCUCAAUUUCGUUCUAAUCAUAGGUGGAUUAACCAGAUGGAUAGUUGCCCAAAAAAAUCAGAAUCAUGAUUUUCCAGUUCCCUAACUUCCCUUUCUUUGUGCAAAAUAAAUGUCUUCAAUUCAAUCCCAGAUUCUCUUCCAGAAUCUGAACGCCACACAGUUCUUCCACAGAAAGUCUAAGGGUCUUGUGCCACUUGCUGGAGUCGAUUGCUUUCAAUAAGCACAAAUUGUAAUUUUGAAGCAUUCACUGCACUAAUCAAAUUGAUAGCAUCUAAUGGGUCCACAUGCACACAGAAAAAGGGAAAAAGGCUAGUUCAUCCAAAAUAUUUCCAAGUGGACUUCUUGAUUAGUCAUGGAAUGAUAGAAUUCUUCUUCGCAUGCCUUUUUCCCCCGUUUUGGGUGAAAGUUGUCGUUUCUUUAGCGAGCUUGUCCUCUGAGCUUAAUUUCUCCAACUGUUUUAGCUAGCUAAGGUCUAAAUGAAUUCCAUAAAUAAUCUCUUGGUUCCUGAGAUAUCAUAAACUUAACGAGGACAUCAAAGCAGGGUGCAAUAACUAAAAAAUUGCAUAGAAUGCUCUAGAUUUGAUAGAUGGAAAAAGAGUGUAAAUUAGUUAUAGUCCACUACUCUAUAUUUCAUUAUCCUGCAUGCUGUUGCAGUUGAAUGACUCAUCUUGCUUCUCCAGGUACCUGUAUGUCUGCGCCACUACCAUCUGUAUCUUUCUGGGUGUCUCUAUUGUGGCCUCAGCAGUGGUAUAUUCUUUUGGGGUUCUUGCCUUGCGAAGAAGUUGAAGAUACAUGCUGAUUUUGACUUGAAAGAGAGUGUGUUCGCCAACAGAUUUUAUCAGAUGGUUAAGAUUUCUUGCUUACUGCUCUCGUGCUAUGAGCAAAUAGAGCAGUGCAUUUUAGAAUGCAAUUCUUCAUUUCAUUUGAAAGAUGGAUCAAAUGGCAGUUUUGUAAACAUUAUUUGAUUCUGUAGCGUAGUAAAUUCUGAACAUCAGUGAUUGUAGUAAAUUCGGUGAUUUUUCCUGUGGAGAAAAUAUGAUUACACAAUAAUGGUUUUUUCUCAUUGACACCCUCACCCUUAUGACAGGGACCCAAAAUUAAAUUGUUCUACCAUGCAGUCCGAGAAUUGAUGAACAAAGCCAAAUGCUGAUUACUAUGGAUUAGUCUGUUUGUUAUUUACAUAUUAGACAGACUCGUGCAAUUGUCACAGCUAAAAAAUCUUGGUCCUAAAGACCCUUCUUGCUAGUUUCCUGUAUCCAGCAGCCACGAGUAGACUCUCAAGACUGAACCGAAAGAUCCAAUAAAACCAGACAUUUACUGGGCUAUGGCAGCAAAAAUCAAUAUGUGUACAAACAAAAGCAGAAAAACCUACGAAUGAGUUAAAAUAAGGCUGGAGGGUCCCUUUCUUGUACACUGACUAGUGUCCUCCUGUUCCUAAUCCGACGAGAGAAAUAGGUAGCCAGGAACAACUGUACCCGACAGAGUGAUUUCAGAAUAUGCCUCCAGCUACUAUUUACCCAGAAUAUGCUGUACAAGCCUGAAUAUUCGUACAUAAGUUGCUCACGUCCAAAUUCUUGCUACAUUUUAUGUACGAGGAAAUAUGCAAGAGAAGGGGCAGAAAUUAUUGUCAGGAUCGAUAAUAAUCCCAUGCAGUCAAAUAAUUCUAGUGAUCUGCAACUCUAGAAGUUAACAUGAUGAAGGCAUAAUUGCUGUACGUUGAUACUUUCAAUUUGUUAUUCCCAAUUUUGUUAUUGGGAAUGAUGCAAGAUUAAGGCCCGAGAACGGAUUCACUGUCAUAUGACUGAUCCGCGAUUACUAGCUUCAUGUAGGCGAUAACCAUCUCGAGAAAAUUACUUCACUGUUGCGGAGCGGAAAACAAUGUUCGUAUUCCAUGUAUUCUUGGCAAAGUACAAGGGGAUAUUGGCAUUCAACCCGUAAAGAAUCACUAAGAAUAGAUAAGCACCUAAAACUCCUCCAUGGACAAACUUUUUCAGGUAAGGAAUCAGAGUUACCUAGUAAUCUGGGAAUUGGAUUUGUGUUUCUUUGCUUUAGUUCAAGAAUUUUUAGGCUUAUAUUAUCACUUGCAUUUUUUUUUGUAAAGAUAAACAUUUGUGUAAUGGCAAGUAAGUUUUUGCCGAAGUUUGUCUGCUACAAGUUUUUUAACAAUUUUAGCUACAGUAACAUCAAAAAACUUAUCAAAGUUUUUAAACCAUACACUUCAAAAUAUCCAAAAAUUUACACAUUUCAAAAAUUUUUUCUACAAUUUCUACGAUAAAGUAAAAUUUUACACAAAUACCCAAAAAACUCGCUUGCCAAAUGGGCCCUAGUUCUUGGUACACUUUUGUGGAGUUAUUGGUAGACUUUUGUGGUUAAGGCAUGCUCAAUGUGUCUGCUUAUAGGGUGACUAAUAUAGGAUCUUUAACAGGGAAAAUGGAACAGUGUGGAUCUUUAAAAGAAUAUAAAGAACAAUGUGAUUAGUGAGUAAUUAAUUUAUCCAGCAAAGUGAGAUAUUAGGCGUAGAGGGAAAGGUUUAUUUAUGGCACAUUUAAUUCAGGUUUUACGUAUCAAAAGUUUCCAAAAAAAAAAAUCUCAGAGAUAGUCCCUUCCCAUUCAACACUUGCUUGUUCCAUUUCAAAAGUGGACAAAGAUGUAUGACUAUAAACGCCUAUACAUUAAUUGGUUAAUGAUUUGAUUCAGUGCUCUCUUAAUUUUCUUUCUCAAUAAAGGCAAUCGGACAUGCUCCUGUUUGAGGAAUCCUUUGUACUAAUUCGUAAAAGAAGCACCUGUUGUUGUUGGCGUUUGGCAAAGAUCCCCACCUGUUUGUUUUCCUCCUUGUUAAAAAGAGGGUCUUGGGAUAGGUACAAUUGCACCAGGUUGAGUUCUUUUAUAAGAUGAAGUUUUGUCUGUGAAUUUUUUAUCACAUAUACUAUGCCAAAAGUAAAAAUUAUCAUAAAAUCGUCCUCGAAGUAAAACCAUGUUUUGGGGGUUUUUUUUAACGAACGAGGUAAUGUAAAAGUCUUUUACAUCCCAUAAGUUCCAUUAACCUACCAAAGCUGUAAGAAUCUUAAAUUUUUUUAAUUUAUCUUUACUAAUUUUAGGCCUAAAAUUAAUCCACCUCAAGAAAACAAGAUUAUUGUGCAUUCGAAUUGUGACACAGGAAAGGCCACAAAAGUUGCAUUAUUAGUAACUCUUGAUCCAUACUCCACUAUUUAUGUGCGAGCAUCUUAAUUUUACUGUGUUACUAACAAUUAUAUAUUUUUGUAUUACAUUUUUACUGCAUUACUACAGUGAGGUAAACAAUAUAUAUAUAUUUAUAUAAACUUUAAAAUAUCGGGCAAUAACUAAUCCUAUUACCAAUCAAAUUUCAAAUCUAAAACUUUCCCACUAUCCCUUAGAUGAAUCAAUUGAGUGUUUCAUAAACCAUUUACGGUUUGUUAUUUAAACAUUAAACCCUUUUUAUUCCUUAAUUAAAGAAAAUACAUUUGUCAUGCUAAAUUCUAAGGGAUAAUUGAUUAGUCCCAUUCUAAAAUUAUUCACCCUAUUAUUCCUAUUUUUUAGUUAUUCACCCAAUUAUAUUCUAGGUACUAUAAUCAUUUGUCAAUCUCUUCUAGUGAUAUAUUCAAUUAGUCCUAUUUUUUAAUGGUUUAUCCAUAAUCACUAAAUCAAUUUUCUUGUGGGCUUAAACUCAUCUUAAUUUUUUUUUGUAUUUAGUGAGUUUAAGGCAUUUUGAUAGCUUUGCUUUUCUAAGUUUAAUAUUUUUUAUGUUAGACUUUAUUUAGUAGGUUUUUUUUUUCAAAGUUUUAAAAUUUUAAUGUUGAAAUUUAUACUCUAAUAUUAAAUUUGGAGUAUGUACCUAAUCGUGAUGACAUUUUAUUUGCACUUAGAAUAAACUCAAUAUUAAUAUCAUGCAAGCAUCUAGAUGAUUUUCAUAUAGCAUAUGUGCAUCAAAAUAUGCAUAUCAAAGUUAUGUAUAAAUUCUAAAUCAAUAAAGGCAUACUUAAAUGGUUGUUUUUGGCAGUAUUUUAGCAAAAUUUUGAUGAAAAGUGUAGUAUUUCACCAAACUCCCAAAAGCUUACUUUUUCUCGAUGAUUGCAAUUCUAACUUCUAACAAAUAAGGCAAUGCAUCCCUAGACAGUGAAAGAAAUGGAAAGAUUAUUCUAGCUGUUUAUAUGUCCAAAAACACUUAAAAAGUGAAGUAAUGAAUCCUAAAUAGUGAAAAGAGUGGGAAGAUAAGACUAUAGGAUUGGAGAGGAUAGAGGUUGGGGAAGAGCUAUAGAACUGGAUGAUUCAUGUGAGUUUUGACGAGUUAUAAUUGAGUUAACAUAUGUAUAUCUACUUAGUUAAUGGUUCAAAAUGCACGAAUCAUCAAUGAAAACAGUUUUAGAUGGGUUUGAAUUAUCUAAUUACCCAUUCACGUCCCACUACUAAAUUUUUUUUACUUUUUCUUCCAUAUUUUGUUUAGCAACAAAGUAGUAUAUCAUUGUAAACAAAAGAAAACAACAUAUUAAAUUAGUAAAUCAAUUUUUAUCGAAAGAAAGAGAACAAAUAUAAAAAAUUUCGCAGAGGAACCUAAAAUUGUGAUCAUAGUGAAUUUCAAAUUUUAUCACUUUUCAAGAAUGUAAAAAUAACUUAUGUAUUAAUGCAAUUAAUCAAUUAACACUUAGGAAAUUUAUUAGACUUCUAUGAAAUGAAGGGAGGAAGUAGGAUAAAAUUUUAAAAAAUAAAAGAAUAGAAAUUAAAAAAGAGGAAAAAUGAAAAAUAUGUCUUUGUAAAUAAUUAGAAUAUAAUUAUUGGAGUGAUUUAGAUUUACCCAUUAAUGAUAUAAACAUGUCAAAAUAAGUGAUUCAAACAUGUCAAUUUAAUACCCAUUAAUUACUGGGUUUAAUUAGGUCACUUGUUUAUUUGUUGAUGGGCGAGUCAAGUAAAUAGGUUACCAUUUACAUUUAUAAAUAAAUAAAAAUAAUAGUAGCACAGGAGGCAAGUGCAUUGCAAAAUUGAGUACGAUAUAGGGUAAUUAGGUAGGAGCAGGAUAGAGCAAAUAGAAAAUAGAAUUUUGGGGAAUAUGAAGUAUUAGAGAGUUGUGACUUGUGAGAAAGUUGGCUAAUAAGAAAGGUGAGGAAAAGGAUAGUGGAGAGUAGAGGGAUAGGGUGGAGAAAAUGGUACUAAGAGGGAGAAUAUGGGAGAGAGAGGUAUUAAUGUUGUGUUUGGUGUGUGAUGCGACAGCCAAGAACGCAGUCCGAGCUGAGCUGCUGCAGACCGAGCUGGUUGGGGGCCGCCGAGCUGAGAGGGGGAAGGCCGAGCUGAAUAUCCUGCGAAGAAGAACGAAGACGGGACUAGAAUCCCCGGAAUAGCUCCGACGAUCAAGUCAGUAGAGUUUAAGAGUAGGACAACAAUAGAGACUGUGGAUGGCGUACCUUGUAUUGUCGUGUGGUGCCAUAUUUAUAGGCUUCAGGGUAGUGGUUUCCAUAUAGGAGUAGGAGUCCCCUUAGGGUUCGGAGUCCUUCUAGGGUUUCGUAUGACAAUCCCUAAAGGUUCGGAGGCAGCGGCCCACUAGGCCUACUCUAGGGAGAGGCGGCGGCAGUGGCCGAGCUGACCUCCCUCUAAAUCGAGCUGAGGUGUCUGAGCUGGGAGACCUCUAUUGCUGACCUCGUGUGUGCCAGAGUCGAGCUGACACCUGUCACAUGUGGAUUGACCCCACUACUCUAUCCCCCUUUGAGUCUAGAGUCACCGAGAGGUCGCGUGAGUCAGGACCAAAUUACGAGGCAUCGGGUCAGUUCGGCGUGGGGUCCACGAUCCCAUAACUAUGCCUCUUAUUCGAAUAACUGCCACGUCUACUGUCGUAACUGUCGCUUCAAAGGUCAUGUCCUCUUGCAAUGGCGGUUGUCAGCUCAACCGUCUUCCAAGGUGACAGUUUUUUAGCAAUAAAUUUAAAUUUUCAAUUCGGGACUCUUCGUCUUCCCGUCCAGAUAGCCUAUAAAUAGACCUCAUCAAACGUUACUUUCAAGCUUCAUUCCUCACUUUUUCUCCUUCUAAAUCUCCAUCAGCUCGCUCCGCGCUUAGUGAGUUCGUCAGAGAGUAGCAUCUCCUUCUAAGCACCUACCAGCUCUUCUCCCUUAUCCGCUAGUAAGUCUUCUUUCUCUUUUAUGUCUUCCUCUUCCACACACUCAGACUUCAAUAGCUCGACACCUAGGCGUAGAGUAGUCCGACCUGCCCCCAUAGAUAUAAUCUCUUCUUCUUCUAGCUCCUCAUCCUCUAGUUCAUCUGGGUUUGAGUACUACCUUUCCCAAUACAUUCUCCAACCCACAACAUGGACCAACUGGACCAACCUGCCCAACCUGACACUGGAGCUGCUGCCCCAGUAAUUCCACUGGAAGCAGUCCUAGGUCGCGCCAGGGCAGGUCUCUCUAGGGGGCCUGACAUCGACUUCGGGGAAGUCGAGAUCAUCCCCCCCUCUUGGACCAAGAGGACGCAAACGAGUUGGUGGGGAAGUAUGACAUUCCUUUCCAGUUCGAGACUAGGACUGCCCGGCCAGGGGAGUACGCGUGUCGACCUCCUCCUGAGUCUGUGGCCAUAUAUAGAGAUCAGCUCGUAGCCGGUGACAGGUGCCGAACCUGUGCAAUAAUAAUAAAUAAAUCCUAACUACCACCUGAACAGUCAGUAAUCAAUUCGAGUACUGGAGCAGGGACUCUAGGUGUGCAAUGGGUUACUUGAUUCACCCUGUUCCCGAAGAGUUUGCUUAAUCCGAUAUACCUGAAUUAAUUAUUUAACUGAAUUCCCUAACUAGUAAACAGUGAUAAGCAGGGUCGUCUCCUCAGGGACUGGAGAGAUAUUUGUUUCUUUUCAAAUCAAGAUUAAUGGGGGGGUUUUGGUAUCAAAAGCCAACUGAACAAAUUAAAUGCAGAAACUAAUUAAUUAAAAGAAAUAACUAAGAGAAACUCUAGCCAAGGGUAUACUUCAGAAAUGGUUCAUGCACUGAUCAUUGAUUCAAAGGUAAUUCCAACAUUUAUUAAUAGAGUGGUUAUAGUUGUCUCGCACGCGCUAAACAACCAACCCUUCCUUAAUUUAUCGAUAGCUAAGGUACGACCGUUAACUAUUUCCCUAACCCAAAAACAACCCUAGGUACGACCGUAGGAUUUAAUUUUCUGGUUUGCAUUAGUAAUUAGAAAGGCCCAAUCCUAAUUAACAAACACGCUACGAGGGUUUGUUUAAAUUAGAUCAUAUGUUCCCCUGACAUAAAUCCAAUUACGCCAGUUGCUACUGGGAUAGAGAUAACGAACAAUUACGGAUUCAAUUAUCCCUAUUUAGCAAAAUAGUCUAUGUGAACAAUUAAUUAUUGCGCAUUAAUCAAUCAUACACAAGAGCUAUAACAGUUAAAAGCAGGAAACAUAUGAAUACCAAUAAAUGGAGGAAACAAUUAAAAUAAAUUAGAUCUCACAGUAAUUGUUGAACCAAAUCUUCAGUUGUCCCCUUGACUAGCAGUAGGAGGUUAGUCCUCCAUUAAUGGAGAACAACCAUGCGAAAGAGCUAAGAAAAGAGAAUCUAAAACUAUGAUAAAAGCCUAAACUAAAAAUUGGAGAUGCCGAGAGAGAGAGAGCGAGCCCCCCCUGAAGCCAGCGAAGGGAUUGUAUUUAUAGAGUCCUCGUGCGGCUGUCUCCAAAAGAGACCCAGUAGUCUUCCUACUUUUGUGGGCCAGCACGUUUAGUCAAAGAAGGAACCCAAUCAAGUGAAAUCCAAUUGAAGUCUUGUUGCCAAAUGACUCUUCACGUGCAAAUUGGCUAAGUCAGCAUUGUUCCAGAAUUGUCACCCGCGAAGGAAUCUCCAAAUAUUUGGAAGUUUGCACGUGGCCAACAAUCCCGCAAAUCCGGCUUUGGACAUCAUACUUAGGCGUGCCCACGUCUAACUGACAGGAAGGCUUCAAAAGUUAAUUUUUCAGCUCCUUUUGCCCCUAAAUGCUGCAAUUCGCAUAGAACACAAAAUCUUAGUAAAAUCCACCGAUUAGUGCAGUAUUUAGUCCAAAUAAAUAGGAAAAGAACGUGAGAAGACCGACUAAAUUGCACUCUAUCAAUUACCCCCACACCUAGAUCAUGCUUGUCCUCAAGUAUGAGAACAACAAAUCAAAUAAUCAAAUUCAAAUAAUGGCUAUUGCUCAAAUCUUCUAUUGCCAAAAUACAAUUAAAAUACAUGUCAAGUAUUAGUGGCAAUUUGCAAGAAAUAUCUCUCCAAUUAGCUUUCAAGAUCAAGGACUCUUUCAAUUUAUGACUAACUAAUCUAAGAAUAUAAAAUAUUCAACCAACAUCUGUAAGCAAAUGGUUCGACUAUUAAGCAAAAUCUCAACAAUAAAAUUCAUGGGUCAGCGGGCUAGCAAGUCAUUCAUAUUUUCCACUAUUAGCACCUUUUUUUUAAUAUCUCCACUUGAUUGAUUUUUUUUCUCGGGGGAAUGCUUAGUUUUCAGCCAUUCAAGCGUUUUGACGCGAACUCCAACAUUGGCCACAUGAAGGAGCCCAGUUACUCAGCCAUCAUCGCUUAAAAACCACAUACUCAUAGUUAUCGUCGCUUUUUGACGCGAAAGUCGACACUUGUGGUGAAAACCUCCGGUUACUAGACAACGAUACCAGCGGAGUAUAGCUGAAUACUAUUCAGAAAUAAGCACCAAAAAUAAAAUUAAAUACCACACAAACCCGCUUCAUUUCUUAAACAUGGAGAACUAAGAUUAAUAGCUGAACCAAUUUGCACAAAAAAAAAUGCUAGACAAAUAUUUACAAUACUUAGAAAAGUUAACCAAAAAGUGCAAAAGUCACAAAAUCUCAAAUAUUCACCAAAGAGAUACCCUUAAACUCAACCAUGUCAUACUCAACACCUUAAAGUGUAAAAUCUUAGCAAUAGAAAAAUUUGAAACAUCUAACCAUCGUUUAUCAGGAAUAAUCACAAAUAAGCACAAAGAUAGGCAAAAAUCGGACAAAAUUCGACAAAGUCAAACAAAAAUUCCAACAAAAAUGCCUAUACCUGCACUUUUUCAAUAAAAUGCCAAUAUACUACUCCCCCCACACCUAAAUCUUGCAUUGCCCUCAAUGUAAGCAAAGAAAGAGCAAAACAGAGAUAUUGGGGCAACGACACUUCCCUGAAGUCAUCAAAACAAUGGCAGCUCAGGUGGAAAUUGUGGAUCAAGACCUGCAUAGUGACGUCAAUGCGGGUCAUCCGAGUCUCUAGUCUCUCAACUCGCAUCUGGAGCUGGUGCCAUUCGCGGCUUCACCAUGAACUCUAAUAUCACUCUAAGCAACAAGAGACUACAAUUGCCAACAAAUAAUGGAAACCGAAAAUUCAAAGCAAUAACAAUUUUUAAAGCCAUCCCAAUGAGCAAAAUGCACAAUUCAAUCUCCCACAGAUCAAACCAGACCCCAACACUUAUAGCAAAUACAAUCAAUAAAUACAUAUGGACCCCAUAUAGUCAAAUUCAGAAUUGAGGCUGUCCAAAGUGCAACAACUGCUCCAAAUACCCCAAGCAAGUCAAUUAGAGGCAACCGACUUCAACAAACAAAUGCAAACGGCUCAUUCAUAUCCCAAUUCAACAAAUAAACGCAGGAAAAUAGCCACAAUACUAGAGCACAGCUCCGAAUAAUGCAACAGAACAACAACUCGAACAAACUAGGAACUGUGCUAGUGUCUUAAUAAAUCAACAACUUUCAGCAAUUAGACACAAUCGGACCCAAUAUCGUAACAACUGUCUCUAAUUGGACAGUCAAUUACCCACUUCAACCUGCUAAAAUUAGCAAUUGACCCAAGAAAAUGGCAACUCCAGCAGCAGCAGUUCAGAAGUUGACAAAAACGACUCAAUACAGGUGCCCAGUAGUCAAUGAGACAACCAACAGCACAGGAGUAACAAAUAUGCAGGAAACCACCCACACCAGUACCACUGGUGGACGCGCAGUAAAAAAAAAAAACUAAAUCAAAUGCCCAACAAAUCAAUGAAUAUCAGAGAAUGUUCCCGCACAUAGCAGCAAUUGAACCCAAAUUUCAGAAAGUGAAACUAAUUGGGGAAGAAAUCACAAUACCUCCACCUGUCUUAAUUGGACAGGUGGCGACGUGCGGCAAUGGAGCUGGUGGUGCCAAUGGAGGUUGACAUGCCUGCGGCUGCGCGUGGCGCUUGACUGCUGGCUGCACGCGCGAAUGUCAGCUGUCUCCAAGCUGUGGAAGAGGAGCUAGCAGCUGAGAGGUGGAGAAAGAAGAGCUCGCGUGUGGCGGUGGAAGAGACGCGGGCAGGCGGGCCCGUGAGCUGGUGGUGGCGCGGCUGCGGUCGUUGGCGCGAGGUGAGGCGGAGCUGAUGCAGAGAGAGACGCGCGAGCUGGUGCCUCGCGCGUCGUGGGCUGGUGCCUCGCGCGUCGUGGGCUGGCGGAGUGGAUGGGUCAACACUGGUGGCGCCCGGCUGGAGAAGGAGAUCGGCGGGGAAGUGGAGCUGCGGGCUGGACGGCGCACGUCACUGUGGGCUGCAGGUGGCGGCGGCGUCUGGUGGAGGGACAGAGACGAGGCUCGCGGGCUUGGAGGAGGAGCUAGUUAGAGUUGUGGCGACCGUGGAGCCUGGCCAAGCGGCGGCGUGCUUUGGGUGAUGAAGAGGAGAAGGUGCUGCGGCAGACAAAGAGAAAAGAAGGAAGAAGAAGAAAGAAAAAGAAAAGAAGGAAAAAGAAAAGAAAAAAGAAAAAAAGAAAGAAAAGAAAAAAGAAGUAGGGCUAUGUUUUUUUUUUUUUUUGUUUUUUUUUUGGAGUCAAGUAACCUUUGGCUAAGGCGUGGGCACGCCUAACUGCUAUGGAGUUCGCAGAUCCUAACAAAAAUUGCUUUCCCUCAGGCGUGACCACUUGGCAUGGGCACGUCUAACUGCUAUAGAGUCCGCAGAAUUUGAACGAAAAUUUCUUUCCCUCAGGCGUGACCACCUGGCGUUGGCACGUCUAACUACUAAUUUCCUGCCACCAAACAUCAAAUUAUUAAUUGACACUAACACUUAACUAAAACUUCAAAAAUGCAUGAAAACUGAAACAAAUAGUCUUGGGUUGCCUCCCAAGUAGCGCCUUUCUUUAAUGUCUUUGGCUAGACAUUGCCAUAUUUAUUCAUGGAGGAUAAAAUCGUGUAGCUCGCUUCAGUGCUUCAUCUUCUAUGUAAUCCUGAUAGCCCUCGUAAAUAGAGUAAUUCUUGAGCACACGAGCUACGGUCUUCCAUGGGCUAGUAGAUGGCGCCAAACAAACAAGUGAUGAUCUUAAAUCUUCACUCACUCCUCCAUCACAAGCAUUUACUGGUUUGAGAUAUAUUGCCAUCAUGACUCUUAACUUAUUCCUGGCAUGAAAUUCAAAAUCGUCUGGUAUAAUAAAAUCAAUCUCACUAACAGGAAUUAAAAAAUAAGAGUCAGGAAAAUAUUGAUUAAAGAAUGGAGGAGAUGUCACCGCAUUUGGAGAUUGUUCACUGGAUUCAUUCACUUGAACCAUUUGAUGUUGGGGUCUCAAUUCUUGCGCUUCAACUUUCUUUUUAACUACAUCUUUAGAUUCUUCUUCUUGAGACUCUUGCAGUACCAUGUCAUUUGUCAGAAUAAUUGCAUUCUCAUCUUCCUCAUGGUCGAUAAUAGUCAGUGAGGGCAAUUCUUCAUAAACUGGAGAAAUCAAUUUGCUCAUUUUAGAUGCCCAUUCACGCCUUCCUUCUUUCAUCUCUUCACUCAUCUUUUGUGUCUCCUGUUGAAGUUGAUAUACCUCCUGUUGAAGUUGAUAUACCACCUGUUGAAUUUGAUAUGUGUUAGUAGCUAUUAAUUCAACUAUUUCUUCAAGAGACAUACCUGACAUGGAUGACGGUUCUUGAGACUCAUACUGCUGAAAAUUCAUUGGCCCCGUUGUAUAAUUAUAACUGGAGUUAUCCCACCAUCCUUGAUCAUACCCAUUUGGAUUAGGGUUAUACCACGUUUGAGACCAUGGUGAAAAUUCUCCAUAAUUAUCGAAUGGGACACUCAGAUCAUCUUGAUAUUCGGAGCACACACCAGUUGAAUGAUCCUUGGCAAAACAAAUUUUACAUGUUGCAGCAGCCAUUCUUUUUCUAAUAGAGUUUACUGCCUCUGCAUAUGCCAACUUAGCCCAAAAACUAGUCUCAUCGCCCUCCUCGGAAGCAAAAUCCAUUAUAUCACCAAAAUACGGAGUGUUAGAAGCCAUAAACUAUAUAAAAAAAAUAAGAGAAAAAUAAAUAAUAAAAAAAAUGAAAACAAGAUGAACUCAAAAGGAAACAAAUUAAUCUGGCACCAGUCCCCGGCAACGGCGCCAAAAAUUGACAGGUGCCGAACCUGUGCAAUAAUAAUAAAUAAAUCCUAACUACCACCUGAAACAGUCAGUAAUCAAUUCGAGUACUGGAGCAGGGACUCUAGGUGUGCAAUGGGUUACUUGAUUCACCCUGUUCCCGAAGAGUUUGCUUAAUCCGAUAUACCUGAAUUAAUUAUUUAACUGAAUUCCCUAACUAGUAGACAGUGAUAAGCAGGGUCGUCUCCUCAGGGACUGGAGAGAUAUUUGUUUCUUUUCAAAUCAAGAUUAAUGGGGGGGUUUUGGUAUCAAAAGCCAACUGAACAAAUUAAAUGCAGAAACUAAUUAAUUAAAAGAAAUAACUAAGAGAAACUCUAGCCAAGGGUAUACUUCAGAAAUGGUUCAUGCACUGAUCAUUGAUUCAAAGGUAAUUCCAACAUUUAUUAAUAGAGUGAUUAUAGUUGUCUCGCACGCGCUAAACAACCAACCCUUCCUUAAUUUAUCGAUAGCUAAGGUACGACCGUUAACUAUUUCCCUAACCCAAAAACAACCCUAGGUACGACCGUAGGAUUUAAUUUUCUGGUUUGCAUUAGUAAUUAGAAAGGCCCAAUCCUAAUUAACAAACACGCUACGAGGGUUUGUUUAAAUUAGAUCAUAUGUUCCCCUGACAUAAAUCCAAUUACGCCAGUUGCUACUGGGAUAGAGAUAACGAACAAUUACGGAUUCAAUUAUCCCUAUUUAGCAAAAUAGUCUAUGUGAACAAUUAAUUAUUGCGCAUUAAUCAAUCAUACACAAGAGCUAUAACAGUUAAAAGCAGGAAACAUAUGAAUACCAAUAAAUGGAGGAAACAAUUAAAAUAAAUUAGAUCUCACAGUAAUUGUUGAACCAAAUCUUCAGUUGUCCCCUUGACUAGCAGUAGGAGGUUAGUCCUCCAUUAAUGGAGAACAACCAUGCGAAAGAGCUAAGAAAAGAGAAUCUAAAACUAUGAUAAAAGCCUAAACUAAAAAUUGGAGAUGCCGAGAGAGAGAGAGCGAGCCCCCCCUGAAGCCAGCGAAGGGAUUGUAUUUAUAGAGUCCUCGUGCGGCUGUCUCCAAAAGAGACCCAGUAGUCUUCCUACUUUUGUGGGCCAGCACGUUUAGUCAAAGAAGGAACCCAAUCAAGUGAAAUCCAAUUGAAGUCUUGUUGCCAAAUGACUCUUCACGUGCAAAUUGGCUAAGUCAGCAUUGUUCCAGAAUUGUCACCCGCGAAGGAAUCUCCAAAUAUUUGGAAGUUUGCACGUGGCCAACAAUCCCGCAAAUCCGGCUUUGGACAUCAUACUUAGGCGUGCCCACGUCUAACUGACAGGAAGGCUUCAAAAGUUAAUUUUUCAGCUCCUUUUGCCCCUAAAUGCUGCAAUUCGCAUAGAACACAAAAUCUUAGUAAAAUCCACCGAUUAGUGCAGUAUUUAGUCCAAAUAAAUAGGAAAAGAACGUGAGAAGACCGACUAAAUUGCACUCUAUCAGCCGGCCUCCGUCUCUCAAUUCCUCACUUUCUCUACGAAAUCCUGACCUUUUGGGGAAUUCGAAUAAUCCAGCUCGUCCCCAAUGCAGUCAGAUCGAUACUAGGCUUCUUCAUCUUGUGCCGCCUUCUUGAGAUCCCCUACUCCCUGGACCUGUUUAGGUCAUUCUUUCAGAUGAAGGUCAGUGGACCAGUUCACGGUUGGUUCUACUUCGCUCGUAGGAGCGGGGGAGAGCUCCCGACCCGUGAGCUGUUCACGCAAGCCUCUUCCUCCAUUAAGGGCUGGAAGGCUCAGUUCUUCUACGUGAAGAACACAGGCUUUCCUCCUUGACCUGGAGGGAGGAGACCCAGGUAUCCGACCCUACUCCUUCACCUCUGCCAACGGUCGAGCUAGACCGCCUGGUUAGCUCGGGAGCUAGGUUGAAGGUGAAGGAAUUCAACAACGCCCGAACUCUGGUCUGCGGGGCUGAUUCAGGCAGAGGUGAACGACCCUGCCCCCGAUCUCCGACCUCUCACCUCCGAGGAGCUGGCAACUCGUAAAUUCUUGUUCUCAUCUCCUUUCUUCUUUUUCUGCGAGCUCGACUAUGUUAUUUGCACUGACUUUUUUUCUUCGUCUUGUAGUGAAUAGAUUCUCCCAACUACUGAAUAUAGGGGGAACAGGCAGCUCUAGCAUACCUGCCACCGUACCGCCUGCUGCACCGGACAGCUCGGGCCUUGCCGCUCCCCCUCCUGCUCCAGCCCCCCAGGCCCCUGCUCAGUCCUCUCUUACUGAGGGGGCCAAGAAGAAGAGGAAGAAAUCCACGGCCAAGAGAGCCUGAACCGAGAUCAUCUCUUCCCCUGCCCAAGCGCUGCAACCAACGUCCACUGAUGCCCCCUGGAGCACUAUGGGGUAAACUCAGUCGAGCAGCAGGCCUCGUCAGAGUCACCGCCUGCUAUGUGGCGCCAGAGGAACGUGAUUCCUUUGAAGCCUCCCUCCCAGCUGAGUGCCCAUCCGUGACCUCGUGUCAGCCCGAACGUGAUCAAGUCAGUAGAGUUUAAGAGUAGGACAACAAUAGAGAGUACUGUGGAUGGCGUACCUUGUAUUGUCGUGUGAUGCGGUAUUUAUAUGCUUCAGGGUAGUGGUUUCCAUAUAGGAGUAAGAGUCCCCUUAGGGUUCGGAGUCCUUCUAGGGUUUCGUAUGACAACCCCUAAAGGUUCGGAGGCGGCGGCCCACUAGACCCACUCUAGGGAGAGGCGGCGGUAGUGGCCGAGCUGACCUCCCUCUAAAUCGAGCUGAGGCGUCUGAGCUGGGAGACCUCUAUUGCUGACCUCAUGUGUGCUAGAGCCGAGUUGACACGUAUCACAUGUGGAUUGGCCCUACUACACUAUCCCCCUUUGAAUCUAGAGUCACCGAGAGGUCGAGUGAGUCUGGACCAAAUUACGAGGCGUCGGGUCGGUUCGGCGUAGGGUCCACGAUCCCAUAGCUAUGCCUCUUGUUCGAAUAACUGCCACGUCUACUGUCGUAACUGUCGCUUCAAAGGUCAUGUCCUCUUGCAAUGGCGGUUAUCAGCUCAACCGUCUUCCAAGGUGACAGUUUCUUAGCAAUAAAUUUGAAAUUUCAAUUCGGGACUCUUCGUCUUCCCGUCCAGAUAGCCUAUAAAUAGACCCCAUCAAACGUUACUUUCAAGCUUCAUUCCUCACUUUUUCUCCUUCUAAAUCUCCAUCAGCUCGCUCCGCGCUUAGUGAGUUCGUCAGAGAGUAGCAUCUCCUUCUAAGCACCUACCAGCUCUUCUCCCUUAUCCGCUAGUAAGUCUUCUUUCUCUUUUAUGUCUUCCUCUUCCACACACUCAGACUUCAAUAGCUCGACACCUAGGCGUAGAGUAGUCCGACCUGCCCCCAUAGAUAUAAUCUCUUCUUCUUCUAGCUCCUCAUCCUCUAGUUCAUCUGGGUUUGAGUACUACCUUUCCCAAUACAUUCUCCAACCCACAACAUGGACCAACUGGACCAACCUGCCCAACCUGACACUGGAGCUGCUGCCCCAGUAAUUCCACUGGAAGCAGUCCUAGGUCGCGCCAGGGCAGGUCUCUCUAGGGGGCCUGACAUCGACUUCGGGGAAGUCGAGAUCAUCCCCCCCUCUUGGACCAAGAGGACAAAAACGAGUUGGUGGGGAAGUAUGAUAUUCCUUCCCAGUUCUAGGCUAGGGCUGCCCGGCCAGGGGAGUACGCGUGUCGACCUCCUCCUGAGUCUGUGGCCAUAUAUAGAGAUCAGCUCGUAGCCGCCCUCCGUCUCUCAAUUCCUCACUUCCUCUACGAAAUCCUGACCUUCUGGGGAAUUCGAAUAAUCCAGCUCGUCCCCAAUGCAGUCAGAUCGAUACUAGGUUUCUUCAUCUUGUGCCGCCUUCUUGAGAUCCCCUACUCCCUGGACCUGUUUAGGUCAUUCUUUCAGAUGAAGGUCAGUGGACCAGUUCACGGUUGGUUCUACUUAACUCGUAGGAGCGGGGGAGAGCUCUCGACCCGUGAGCUGUUCACGCAAGCCCCUUCCUCCAUUAGGGGCUGGAAGGCUCAGUUCUUUUACGUGAAGAACACAGGCUUUCCUCCUUGACCUGGAGGGAGGAGACCCAAGUAUCCGACCAUAUUCCUUCACCUCUGCCAACGGUCGAGCUAGAUCGCCUGGUUAGCUCGGGAGCUAGGUUGAAGGUGAAGGAAUUUAACAACACCCGAACUCUGGUCUGCGGGGCUGAUUCAGGCAGAGGUGAACGACCCUACCCCGAUCUCCGACCUCUCACAUCCGAGGAGCUGGCAACUCGUAAAUUCUUGAUCUCAUCAUCCUUUCUUCUUUUUCUGCGAGCUCGACUAUGUUAUUUGUGCUGACUUUUUUUCUUCGUCUUGUAGUGAAUAGAUUCUCCCAACUACUGAAUAUAGGGGGAACAGGCAGCUCUAGUAUACCUGCCACCGUACCGCCUGCUGCGCCGGACAGCUCGGGCCUUGCCGCUCCCCCUCCUGCUCCAGCCCCCCAGGCCCCUGCUCAGUCCUCUCUUACUGAGGGGGCCAAGAAGAAGAGGAAGAAAUCCACGGCCAAGAGAGCUCGAAUCGAGAUCAUCUCUUCCCCUGCCCAAGCGUUGCAACCAACGUCCACUGAUGCCUCCUGGAGCACUAUGGGGUAAACUCAGUCGAGCAGCAGGCCUCGUCAGAGUCACCGCCUGCUAUGUGGCGCCAGGGGAACGUGAUUCUUUUGAAGCCUCCCUCCCAGCUGAGUGCCCAUCCGCACCCCCUACAUUUUUGCCCUAAAUGGGGGUUAUCGGUGAAUGACCGAACUCAAUUUUCGGAAGCAGCUCGAGAGCUCCUCAGGGGCACAAUGCUCCCGCGCGAUCAUCACUACAUUCGACUUGCGUCCAACUCCGAACUGCUGGAGCACUACUACCUUAGCGCGGCUCAGGUAACUCCUCAACUAGCGGCAUUUUAUUGGUAUUUCCUUGACCUAUUGAUCCUCACCUUGAGUUUAACUGGCAUCUUAACGUGGCUGGUGCUGAGCUGUCACAGAGGUAUGAAAACAUGGGAGAGAAUCUCUCCCAAGCUGAUGCGGCCAAGGACAGGCUGUCCAGUCAGCUUUAGGCAGCUGAAACAGAGCUGGAAUCCUUGAAGAAGCAGCUCGCCGAAACCUAGUCUGCCUGCGAGUUGGAGAAGAAAAGGGCAGCGAAACUGACCUCGCAGCUAGAUACUGAGUAGAGGAAAUUUGCUGAGCUACCUGGUCAGAUCGAAGCUGCUCGUGAGGAAGGUCGCCAACUCGGCAUCAAGGACUUCAAAAAAUCUGAGGGCUUCCUGAAAGACCUGGCCCUCCUCAACGGGCCAAUCCUGCAAGUGGGGUAUGCUCAGGCAAUGCACGACGUGCAGUCCCUGAACCUGCUUGAGUUUGACUUGGGCAGGUAGCCUGAAUACAACUCUCAAGCCAUCCACCAAAUCGAUAGGCUCGUGGAGGGCUAUGUGCAUGGGUGCGACCUGACCAUCCUGAUCGCCGACCCUACUUUGGCCGCGACCUCUCCUGAGCUCGAGUAGGAGCAGCAGGGGGAAAAUUAGGGAGCGCUUAGCAUAGGCGUAGAUAGGGAUUAGAGCAGGGUAGGAACUGAACUGGCCAACUCGUUUUUGUAUGGCCCCCCUUAUGUACAUAUCUUUUUGAAAUGGAAUAGAUGGUCUUUUCAUCAAACACUUAGUAAAAAUUAUUUAUUUCUUCAUAGGAUUUUGAAUACAUUCUUACGACUCCAAGUAUCGAGCUAUCAAAAUGCCGAGCUGACCUCUUCAGCUGUUACUAAGUAAAAGACUACCUAGUUCACACUCUCCAGCUCGGGCAGAGCUCUAACGAAAGAGCCUUAAAUUUGAAUUGUGCCAGGUGCGCGGGACUUCAUCCCCAUUGAGAUGAGCUAGCUUACAGUACCUCGCACGAUCAGUUUCUUUCACCACGUAGGGACCCCUCCCAAUUUGGAUCUAACUUGCCCGUGCCCCCAACUCGACUUACGGAGUUUCUGCGUAAUACAGAUCCCUCGGUCUGAAGGAGAGGUGCCUGACUCUAGCGUUGUAGUACCGCGCGACCUGACCCUUGUAUUUAGCCAUUCUUAUGCACGUUUCUUCCUUACGGUGCUUGAGCAGGUCUAAGUUGAACCGCAUCUCCUUCUCAUUAUUCUGGGCCACAAAAUGUUGCACCCUGCUUGAGGGUACUCCGAUUGCUGCCGGGAUUACUGCUUCAAUCUCAUAUGUCAGGACGAACGGGGUUUCCAGGGUGGCUGUCCGAGGUGUAGUCCGGUAAGCCCACAGUAUGGUGGGCAGCCCAUCCAACCACCCUGUUCGAACAGAUUCUAUUCGUGUCUUCAACCCGUGCAGGUUGGUUCUAUUAGCAUUCUCGACCUGUCCAUUAGAUUGUGGGUGCCCCACGGAAGUGAAGUGCUGCUAGAUGCCGAGCUCAGAGCACCACUUCUGGAAGAAACUGUCCACGAACUGUCGGUCAUUAUCUGAGACUAGGAUCCGGGGUAUGCCAAAUCGACAGAUUAUGUUCUUCCAAAGGAAUUUCUGAAUCAACCUGCUAUUGAUUGUGCUAAGUGGUUCGGCCUCUAUCCUUUUAGUAAAGUAGUCAACAGCUACCACAAGAUGCUCAUAACCUCUUGGAGCUCGGGAAAAUGGGCCUAGCAGGUCAAUCCCCCGUUGGAAGAACGGCCACGGGAUAUGGAGAGGAAUCAUCUCGAGUUGGGCAUGGUGAAUUGGUGCGUGCAACUGACAAGACUUACAUCUGGCAUUCUGGCCACCAGCUUAGCUGAGUCUCGGAAGAUGGUGGGUCAAUAGUAUCCAGAUAACAUUUCCUUCUUGGCCAAUACCCUUGGUUCGACGUGAUUACCACAGAUGCCCUCAUGCAACUCGCGCAAGACAUGCUCCCCUCCUCUGGCGUUACUUACUUUAGCCAUGGCUGCAAGUAGGAUUUUAUAUAUAGUACUCCCUGCGUGAGCAUGUACUUCUGUGACUUGAGAAAGAUUUUGCGGGCCUCUGUCCUGCUCGGGGGAGCUCUCUAUGAUCUAGGUAUUGGACAAUGGGGUCCAUCCAAGAGCUCAUCACCUGAAUGACUGUGGCGUUUAACUGCUCAUACGCCCGACUUUUAACGACCUCCACCCAUAUCUCUCGAUUUAGAGUGCUAAACGAGGUAGAUGCCAGCUUGGACAGGGCAUCAGCUCUCUUGUUUUGGUUUCGUGGGAUCUGCUCGAGAAUGAACUGCUUGAACUGGUCCCUUAAUUCAUGUGUUUUGGCAACGUACUUCCUCAGUGGCCCCUCUAUAACCUCGUAGCUCCCCCAUACUUGGUUCACUAUCAGCUGCGAAUCGCUGUAGACUUUUAUUGAUUCAGCCCCUAAUUUUCGAGCUAUCUCCAUCCCCGCAAUCAGGGCCUUAUACUCAGAUUCAUUAUUAGAGGUUCUAAAAUCGAAUCUCAAGGCGUAGGCCAGUUCUUCUCCUGUUGGGCUGAUUAGAAGAAGACCUGCUCCACAUCCUUCCUUGCUUGAUGCACCGUCAACGUACAGCGUCCAGACUGGACCUGUUCGUCCUGCAGCCUCUAUAGCCUUUCUGGUUUGAGCAGUCCAUCUGGCCAGCUCGGCCUUGACUGCUCCUCCAGAAUGCGCGAUCUCGGCAGCUUCUCUGGCCUGUCCGACCUUAGUAGCCUCUCUGACCUGCUUGGCCUCAGCAGCUUCUUGGGUCUGCCUGGUCUCAGUUACUUCUCUGGCCUGUUCGACCUCAGCAGUCUUUCUGGUCUGUCCGACUUUAGUUGCCUCUCUGGCCUGCUCGGCCUCAGUAGCUUCUCGGGUCUGCCUGGCCUUAGCUACUUCUCUGGCCUGUUCUGUUUGGCCUCAACUGCUUUUCCGACCUGUUCGACCUCUGCUAUCUUAUUGGCCUGGGCGACCCUGGCAGUGUCUUUAACCUGCAAGAUCUCAACUGCCUUUUGGGUCUGUGUGGUCUUGGUAGUUUCUUGGACCUGUAAGGCUUUGGCUGCUCGUCUGGUGCGUGCGUUCUCAGCAGUUUCUUUGACUUUCCCGGCCUUACUUGCUUCCUUGGUUUGGUCAACCUUAGUCCCGGGAAAUCCAAAGAAAACGCAUUCUACUAUGAAGUCUGCCAAGACUUGGGAUUUGAUGGCCGUCCUCGGCUGGUAUCCGAGAUCGUACUCUGACAGCUCUACGUCCCAUUUCACCAUUCAUUCCGAGACAUCGGGUUUAGAGAGGAUCUGUUUCAGGGGUUGGUCCGUCACCACUAUUAUGGGAUGAGCUUGGAAGCACGACCUGAGCUUCCGAACUGCAUGAACUAAUGUCAAGACAUAUCAUUCUACCGUCGAAUACCUCACUUCGGCCCCCUGUAGGGCGCGACUAACAUAGUAUACAGGUUUUUGGACUUUGUUUUCCUCUUGUACCAGCACCGCGCUAACGGCCUCCUCCCCCACAGUUAAAUAGAUGAACAGGGUUUCACCAUGCUCUGGAGAAGUUAGGGCCGGCAACCGAGUAAGGUGGGUUUUUAGCUCAUCGAACGCUUUUUGGCACUCCGAUCUCCACUCGAAUUGCGAACCUCCUCUUAGAGCUUUAAAGAAAUGGGAGUCCCAAACUGCUGAUUUAGACAAGAACCUGUCCAAAACCGCCAUCCUUCCAGUCAGGCGCUGUACCUUCUUAACAUUUCGAUGAGGAGCCAUGUCUAUGAUGGCCUUGAUUUUGUCCAGGUUAGCUCUUACCACUUCUUUGGAAAUCAUGUAACCUAAAAAUUUUCUCGACCUAACCCCAAAGGUACAUUUCUUAGGGUUUAGCCGCAUCCAUGAGCUCCGAAGGACAUCGAAGAUUUCCCUAAGAUUAGCAAUGAACUGUUCUUGAGUCCGACUCUUCACCAACAUGUCAUCCACGUAGACCUCCAUAUUUCGACCGAUCUGAUCCUUAAACAAUCUAUUGACCAGCGUCUGGUAGGUCGCGCCUGCAUUCUUUAGCCCAAACGGCAUGGUGACAUAACAGUCAGUUUCGUUCUCAGUCAUAAACGAGGUCUUUUCCUGAUUCUCCUCAUCCAGUGUUAUUUGAUGAUACCCUUUGAAGGCGUCCAAAAAAUAAAAAAUCUCAUAUUCCGAGGUUGAAUCCACAAGCUGAUCAAUUUGCCGGAGGGGGUAGCAGUCCUUUGGGCAGACCUUAUUUAAGUUAGUGAAGUCCACGCACAUCCUCCAAACUCUUUCUUCCUUCUUGACCAGCACCGGAUUGGCCAGCCAUGUCGGGUAAUAGACAUCUUUCACGAUCUUGGUUUCUAACAGCUUGCCUACCUCACUUUUGACGGCCUCGUUUCGUUCAGGCGCAAAGUUCCUCUAUUUCUGUUUUACUGGUCGGACGUUGGGGUCCACGUAUAGCUUGUGAACCGCUAGCUCGGUGGGGAUUCCAAGCAUGUCAUCAGCACUUCAAGCAAAUAUUUUCGCAUAUUCUUCUAAAAGGGAUUCUAUAGAGUUCUGGGUCAACUCGCUGAGGCAGGUGCCGACCUUAACCGUACACUCAGGUCGGUUUGGGCGGACGGGCAGCUCAACCAGCCCCUUAUCCGUCUCCAGUCUCUCUCUUUUCUCCAUGGGCUCCCAGGGCUCCAAACAAGUUGUUUGAACUACCAAUUUUUCCUUGCCAUUGAGAGUUGCAAUAUAACAGGCUCUAGCCACCUCCGGAUCUUCGAGCACUUCAACUACCCCAAUAGGGGUAGGAAAUUUCAUGCUGAGGUGCAAGGUGGAGCAGACAGCCCAGAGGACGUUCAGGGUGGGUGGUCCCAGAAUCAUAUUGUACGAUGAGGGCCCUCUUACCACCGUGAAAUUCACUGGCACAGUUCGACACUUUGGUGACACCCCCACCAUGACCAUGAGAGUUAUCAUUCCCUUCGGCCUCACCGGAGGACCAACAAAUCUGAUCAAUGGAGUUCAGACUGAGAUGAGCUGUCUGUCCUCCAGCUACAGCUCUUUAAAGGUCUUGUAGUACAGCACAUCGAUGGCACUGCCAUUAUCAAUGUAUACCUUCUUCACUUUGUAGUUGCAGGUUGUGAGAACCCAUAAAUUUCUCUUAAUAAUUUUCUUAGGGUUUAUCCCCUUUAAUGGCAUGUUUUCUGCAUUUUCUGGUUUAGGAAAAAUUUUUCUGGUGAAUUUUAUGAGUAAUUAUGUUUUUAGAUGAUUUUUUAGUAUUGGAGAGUUUUUGAAAAACUAAGGAUAUAUAACGGAUGUGGGAUCCACUAGUGCGAAAAGUUCGGAAAAAUUCGGUCAAUUAGGUUAAGUUUCGGAUACUGGUUGAAAUUUAUCGGGUGUUAAGAGAUAAGUAGAGGUUGAGAUGUGAUUGAUGUGAGAGAGACUUAAAGGAUAGAAAUGCUUUAAAUAUAGUGACAAGUGUCACUUGGUGAAUGGUGGCACUUGUAGGACAACUAUUCAUUUUCUUGACUUUUUGACCAAUUGCUUAAAUAUCUCAAAAAUCACACAAAAUUCAUUCUUGUCUUCAACUUCUUGGCCGGCUCUCUCUCUAGGAAAAGAAAGAAAACUUCUCCAAUUUUCAAGCUUCCAACUAACUCAAAUCCUCCAAAACAAUUGCUUAAAUUUGUUUCUACUCCAUAAAAUCCCUCCAUUUGGUGCUAGUAAGUGAUUUUGUGGAAGUGUUCAAGGAAGCUAAGGUGUCCUACAACUCUCCCUCUCUUGUGUUCUAGGUAAGUGGUGUUUGAACUUCCUCCUACACUUAAUGAAGCUUGAGUUGUGCUUAGUGGAAGCUAAAGUGAUGACCUUUGUGAUUUAUUUCUUGCUUUUGGAUGAAAUGAUGAAGUUUUCAAUUUAAUGGUGAUUUUUCUGGUUUAAUUUGAUCAUGAGGUUGUGGCUGUCCAUGAUGGUUGGAAAUGAUGUUUUAUGACUCUAUUAGAUGUAAAUGAUUGGUAAUUGUAACCAAUUUUGGAUUUGGAAGGAAACGUGAGAAGUUAGGGUUUCAUAACCCCAUUUUCUGUCCGAUUUUGUAUCAUAUGGUUAGAGGUGAAUUGGCCUUUGCUUAAAACAUAAAAGUUAUAGGUAUUGAUGUGUUUGAGGUGCCUGUAAAAUUUCAGGUCAUUUGGAGUAGUGUAGAGUGAGAAAUGUCGAAAUUACUAUUGCUGUUCUGGGUUCAUCAGGAUGGCAGAACUGCGCCUGUAAUUGGCUGUGUUGACUGGAAUUGCUUUGGAUUUGGUUGUUGAGGCCUUCUGAUGAAAUGUAGCUUGAUGUCUUAGCUACCGCAUGCCUUUGGAAUCAAUGAAUUUGGACUUGUAUAGACUGAGUUGGACUAAUUACAGCAUAGUGUAAUUUGUAAACCUGCAAUUAAGGUUCUGGUUUGGUAUCUUGCAUAUUUGACCUGGUUGUGAUAGGAAUUGGACUGAGUGACCUUCUACAUUGUUGUAGCCCUGGUUCUUAGCUUCAAAACGGUGGAUCUUACACCCUCAUCUGAUAAUCGUAGUGAAAUUGGUACCAUUACCGCAAAAUGAGGAUAAAAACUAUUUUUUUUUCAGGACCAAAGUUAAUUGCAUUUCCGGAUUUUCUGGUUACCUAUGAUACUUGUAUAUGCAUAUGAAACCCUAUUGGGGUUGUGAUUGGCAUUGCUUUAUGACUCGUUAUCGAGUCUCAUUGUACUUGUUUACGUGUUCUAGGGCGUGACGGUGGUUCACGACAUUCUCUUGACGGAAGUGCAUGAAACAACACUUAAUUGAUAAGUGAGUAUACUACUCACUUGAAUGUUACAAUGUGGCUUUGCUAUAUGUGAUUUUGAUGCCUUGAAAGCUUAUUUGGCUAUUGGAAUUGAUUGAGGUGAGGGUGUACUUGACCGUCCUCAUCCCUUGUGAUACCGUUAAUGACUGUUUACCGCUUCACUGAUAUACUGCACUUGCUAUAUGAGAUAUUGAAUUCACUUCAUGAAAAACUGAUUUGAUGUCGUUUGGACGAGUAUCCAACGGCCUUACUGUACUACUGACCUCAACCUCGUUGGUAGUCAAUUGAAUCGAGCCGGCGAGGGCUUGGUCGUGAAAAUUGACAUGCCACGGGGACUGUAUUGGGGAAUCUUGUAGUAUUGAAACUCUUGAUUUCGGUAAACUCGAGUAUUACCAAAAGCUACUGAUUGGAGUGCGGGCCUGGUUGGGGUAUGUUUGGUGGAAGGGAUGGGAGUGAAGUGGGUUCUACGGUUGGUACUCUUAAACGUUGACGGAGAAUCAAUGAGAUUGGAUCAAGAAUGUAAGCGUGGAAAUGGGCUCUUGAGAGCCGUCCGUAUCCUUUUACCGACUUGUUUUACUCUGUAAUUGUGUACUUGAAAUGAAAGGUUAUGCUAUAUGCUCUUUGUUGCUUAUGUGGUAGUAACUCACUGAAUUUAAGCUCAUUCCGUUCCAUUUGUUUUUCUUAUAGGAAAUGACCACUUUUGGAAAAGGUUGUGUUAGUUGGUUGUCAAGUUGAGCUUAUGUAAAUGUCUUUUGAAUAGCUCUUUGAAUGAAACCCUAAUGUGCAUUGGGUUCAUUCUCUUUUGAUUGGCAAACCGAACAUGUAUAUCCAUGAUGAAUCGUUUUGAUAUGCCGCUUUGGUUUGUAAAUGUUACAUUUCAAUGUAUGUAUGUUUGGUUGAUAUUUGGUUGGAUUUCGGAUCAACUCGUAUUUCAAACGGCAAAAGAAAAAUUUGGCUACUCUCGGCCUAGUAUCCGGAGUCGGACGUGGCCGGUACAGUUCAUCAUCGGUUUCGAUUUUUUUCAUUUUUUUUAUUUUGUGAUUUUGACUUGGUUGCGCGCAUUGGUAAGUUCCGGAACGUAUUAGAUCGACGUAAACUGAUCCGUUAGUCCUGGCGAGAGUUGGGCAGGCAGUCCGCUAACCCCUUUGGUUCGCCUUAGGGGAAGGUGGGGCUGUUACACAGGUAAUGACCUCUAUCACGAUGGUUUCGUGGUUAUUAGAGGCCAGAGGGACUGCAUCUUCAGGUCCAUAAAUGAUUUUCUCGUACAUCUUUAAUCGUUUGCUUGAACUCUCCCCAUUGGGAGGAGGGCGGUUGUGACGCUGAGCUGUAUGGCUAUCCCCUCCAACCGGUUCUCCCGCAAUAGUAUUGAUCACCCCGGCCAGAUUCUGACCCUCCUGCUCGAGAGUUCGGCCACGGGGCCCCUGAGAUCCGUCACGGGAGUAGCUCAGGUGCUCUGGUUUGGGCCUUCCCCGUCGCUGGUCAGUUCGCUCAUUACGUAUGAACUACCCGAGGUGGCCCAGUCUGAUCAACUUUUUAAUGUCUUUUUUGAGGUGGCGACAAUCCUCCGUAUCGUGUCCCACAUCUCGGUGAUACGCACAAUACAAACCCUGAUCCCGCCUGCUCUUGUCCCCGAUCAAGGGUCGGGGAGGUCGAGAGAGUUCUUCUUGUUUCAUCACAGCGAGUACCCGAGUUCGAGGUGCAGUAAGGGCAGUCCAGAACUUAUCUCCUCCCAUGGGGCGACUCCUGGGCAGGCGAUCGUAGGCGUUCUUCCGUUCCUGGCUGUGUCGCGCGUCCAUCUGGUCAGUGUUCCUUCUGCGCUUAUCAUCCCUUAACUUUUCCUGCGCGCUUUUCAGGCGAUUGGCCUCCUCCGUGUUGGCUUUUUCAUGAGCUCGGUCCAGCAUCUCGCGCACUGACUUGGGAGGUCUUUCCACGAGCUUGGUGUAGAGCUUCUGUUUUCGCAGCCCGUUGAUGAAUGCGGCCAUGACCACCUUGUCAUCCUGAUCGCGGAUCUGGAGGGACUCAUUAUUGAAACGUACCAUGAACUCGCGCAAGGAUUCUUCAGGUUUCUGCUGGAUGGUCAUCAGGUGAGCAGUGCUUUUGGAGAAGGCUCGCGACGAAACGAACUGUGCUGAGAAUAAUCGUGCGAGUUGGGCGAAGGAUCGGAUAGACCUGGGGGGAAGCCCCUGGAACCAUUGACGUGCCUUUCCCUCCAGGAACAUUGGAAAAGUCUUGCACCUGACCGCAUCCGCGGCCAUUUGCAAGCGCAUUUGCCUCAUGAAGGCGAACAGGUAAUCCUCCGGAUCCGUGGUUGCAUCAUAAGAUUUCGUGCUCGGUAUUUUGAAUUUCGCGGGCAACGGGUAGUCCUCAAUAUCAGGUACAAAGGAGGAAGCAAUAUACCUAUCUGCCUCAGGAUCCAACAGCAAGUCCAACUUGUUCUGCACCUGGUGCUGCUCUCUUCGCGGGGAGAGCUCUCCCCUGGAGUACCUCCGGAAGGGCUUCGGAUGCUUGGUUCGGUAGUGCUUGUGGGAUGACUCCAUAACUUCGAUCUAUUCACACGUGAGCUCCUGGCGCAUCCGCUUGGGCCGGGGGUUGGGUUCCCUGUUCGGGAUUCUGUCAGGCCAACUCCUUCCACCCCUUGGACCUUAGGCUCCUGGUCAUGAUGACCUCCCGUCCGCCCUUUGAGGUAGUCCAUGAUUGCCUCGAAAGUAGGUAGAUUUUUCGCCACCGUUUGAACUAACUGUUCAGGUAGGAUUUGUGACGGUCCCGUUCCCUCAUCUCUAGGAGUCGAACCCCGAGUGGGGUUUUAGGGGCCACUUUUCUGGUUCUCCUUAGAUCCGUCAGCGUUCAUCUGAAAUCUAGUUCUUGGCAUGAUUCGCAAGAAAAGAACUACGUGUUUCCCAAGAACACAGUCUGAGCUGAGUUGCUGCAGAUCGAGCUGGUUGGGAGCUGCCUAGCUGAGAGGGGAAUGCCGAGCUGAAUAUUAUGCGAAGAAAGAACGAAGGCGGGACUAGAGUCUCCGGAAUAGCUCCGACGAUCAAAUCAGUAGAGUUUAAAAGUAGGACAACAGUAAAGAGUACUGUGGAUGGCGUACCUUGUAUUGUCGUGUGGUGCCAUAUUUAUAGGUUUCAGGGUAGUAGUUUCCUAUAGGAGUAGGAGUCCCCUUAGGGUUCGGAGUCCUUUUAGGGUUUCGUAUGACAAUCCCUAAAGGUUCGGAGGCGGCGGCCCACUAGACCCACUCUAGGGAGAGGCGGCAGCAGUGGCCGGGCUGACCUCUCUCUAAACCGAACUGAGGCGUCCGAGAUGGGAGACCUCUAUUGCCGACCUCGCGUGUGCCAGAGUGUCACAUGUGGAUUGCACCCACUACAGUGUGCUUUUUUUUUUUUUUUUAUCUUUUUUCAUAUUUUUUUUAUAUGCUUUAAGGUCUAGAUAAGAUAUAAAUUAGAUAAUAGUGCUCUUUUGAGUUUCUAAUCUUUUUUAAAUGUAACUAUUAUAAAUAAUUCAUUUAUUAUUAUCAUCAUCAUCAUCGUCAUCUUAGAUAUAAACUGUGCAUAACACGGGUCAGAUUACUAGUUUUAUAUGUACUCUAGAAGGAUAUUUCGAUACCUAAUUCAUUGAAAAAAAUAUUUUACUUACGUUAUAAAUAUAUCUCUUAAUUAUAUUUUAAAAUUUAAAUUAUCUUUUUAUUUCACAUAAUUACAUACAUCUAUAAUGUUGUAAUAAUUUUUUUUUUCUAAGUGAUGAGCUAUACAAACACCUUAUGCUAAUAGAAGUUGGCAACGACGAGCCACUUUCCUAUAAAAAAGUCACGUGUCAUUGAUGGACGAUUUGUAACCGUUGCCUAUGUCAAAAACGUGUUGGUGAGUGAUGUGUGUCCUAGCUGGAUAAUUUGUAACUACUGUUACUGAUGUCAAAUUUUGUAUCCUCACUGGAUGAUCUGUAAUUGCUGGUGCCGAUGUUAGAAUUUUGUUGAUGAGCGAUCUGUAUCCUUACUGAACAAUUCUGUAACUGCUGGUACUGAUGUCAGAGUUACGUCGGUGAGUAAUCUGUAUAAAUUCACCUAUAGUCCAAGAGGUAUGUUUGACUAGUAAGAGUAACCGAAAUCGAAUCCGAAUCCGUCUAAAACAUUUUUUUACCAAAAAAUAAAUAAAUAAAACAAAAACCAUCAUGUUUUAAACGAUGUCAGAGCUGCUGUGUUGAUGACUAUAAAUCUAUAUAUGAUCCUAGAGGUAUGCCCCGAAAUCGAAUCCGAAUCCCUCUAAAUUUUUUUUUUUUUUAACAAAUAAAAAACACGAACACCUAUGUUUGAAAGGAAAUGUGUGGAACUUGGGAGUGGAAAUUAAAGAGAGAUUGGAAAAGCCUCUGGGCUUUGACUCAUAGAGACUCCUCGUCACCGUGCACAGCAGUAAAGUUCCUUUCUUUCCCUCCAAGCAUCCGGCGUCUCUCAAUUCUCCAGACCGACGCGAGAGAUGGGCGGCCAGGAUAAACCCCCAGGACCCGGACUCGAACCCGACAUACAGCCAUUACUGAACGCCUCCAAAUACUUCCUCUGUCACCGGAGCUUUUCCCAGAGCUUGAAAUACGCGGACAAAGCCCAACAAUCCAAUCCAAACCACCCUGGUCCGCCCCAAAUCCUCGCUAUAUCCACUGUUCUCUCGGCCACUCCGUCCUCGACCCGACCCGAACAGCCAGAAUGGUACUUAAUCAUCAACCUCCCUCGUUUUACUCAAGACCAGAAUCUGAUUCGGACCCGUUGUGCUUCGCUCGUCAACCUCUUAAACCCUGACACAAACCCUUACCCAUUUGCAGCCGAAGCCCGUGAUUGGGUUGUCAAAGCAGAAUCUGUUUUGUUUGACCCGGACGCGAAAGCCCAGUAUGAUAACGGAUUGAAAAUGACGCAAAAAAAUAGUGGAAAUGGCGGCGGAACUUUUUGGACUUUGUGUCCGUACUGUUACUUUAUGUAUGAGUACGAGAAAAUGUAUGUGGAUUGUGUCCUGAGGUGUCAGAAUUCCAAAUGCAGGAGGGCUUUCACGGCGGUGGCGGUUGCUGCUUCAGCCGCGCCGCCACCGGAGUUGGUGGAGGAAGGAAAGUACACCUGUUAUGGGUUUUCGCCGCUGGGUCCUAACAAUGGAAGUGGUGGUGACUCUGGUGAAGAGAGAGGGAAAAGUUGGUGGGCUCCAUUUGUAUCCAUGGGUCAAUAUCCGGGUCCAGUUCGGGCCAAUGAGGAAAAGGUGGAUGUGAGGACUAAUGUGGACUCAAAGAGUGAAAAGAGUAAUGGGUUUAUUGAAAUUUCCGAUGAUGAAACUGCAGGUAGAGAGAAAAUUGAAAGAGGGGGACAGGGAAACGGUGUUAAUAAUGGGAAGGUGGUGAUGAAGAGGAAAAAAAUGGCUGCUAUAGGGAAGAAGAAAUUGAUGGGAAAAGGGAUUAGAGUUGUUGGGAACCAUAGUUUAUCAGCGGAGGGUGGUGAAGGAAUAGGAUUUAAAGCUGGAGGGAACGAAGCAAAUGCGAAUACAAGUCCAGGGAAUGAAGCAAAUGCAAAUACAAGUGGAGGGGUAACGGAAGGCUGUAAUGAGGAGGAAUUGGAGUUUUGUGCUGGAGAUGAUGAUAUUUUUGUUGCUGUGAAUCCUUGGGCUGAUUUAGGAUGUGAAAAGCUUAGGAAUUGAUGAGAGAUGAGUUGGGGAUUUUGAACUCUGUUUAUAUGCACUGUUUUGCUAGCUGGGAGCCUUGGACAUGAUGGUGUACUAAAUGGCCAGUAAAGUUUUGUAACUGGUAGAAUCAUGUUGAUAAUCAUUAGAACUGGUAGAAGUGAAGAAGUAAUCCUGAAUAUGGUUCUUGAUAUCUUUGUGUGGCUGUCAUGUGGAUUCUUUUGCCGGUAGUAUUUGAUGUUUUGAAACAGUUAUAUGGCCAAUAGUAUGCUUGGUUUUAUCCAAAAGUAAGUUGGAAAAAAAAACAGAGAAAUGGAUCAUAUGAUUGGUUAUCUUUUUGUUUAUAGUUUGUUAUUGGCAUACGAGUAUUAAGUCAUAAGCAAGGAAACAAGAUUAAAAUAUUCUAGGUGCUUUAAUUUGAUUGCUGGGUUUUGGAUCUGCUCUGCUUUGCCGUCCAACUUCCCUAACAUUUCCCGCCAAUAUUUCUUCAGCAAUCAAAUUGGAUCUGAAUCUGCUCUGUUUUAAAGUCCAAUUUUUCUUAUAUUUCCUGUCAAUUUUUAUACUAUUCUAGCUGCUUUAGUUAGAUUGCUGGGUUUUGAUCUGCUCUGCUUUAGUGUCUAAUUUUCUUACGUUUCCUGUCAAUAUUUUAGAUUUUCUUUACCUUUGCCUUUUUCUUUGCUGAAUUGCAUUGUUUAUGUUUCUGGUCAUCCUUUUAGUGCUGAUGCUGAGGAUCUUUAAUGUCUGAAAAUCUUAGCCUAAAUUUCUCUAAAUUGGACAAGUCUGAAUGUUGGUGUAGCUGUAUAUCUAGGAUGCUAAAUUGAUGGGGAUUUGACUUGUCAAGUUGAGAAAAGAGGACAUGAACUCUUAAAACUGUCGAGUAUUUACAUUAUACUUGAAUUUUGGUUCUGUCCUGAGGUUUGGUGCAUUCUCCUUGAUUCUAAUAAAUUGGUGGUGGCUUAUCUAUCUUCUUCUACUUCUUGUUGGAAGGUCCAUUGUAACUUUUUGGUUAUUUAGGUUUGGAUUGCAUCAAGGGAUAUCCUGCAAUAUGGGGUUAUCUUUUAAUGAGAUACUGGGAUAGUAUAAUGGACUAGUUCAGCUCUGACAAACUAGUUUUUGAAGACUCAGGUCAACAAUGGGAAAUUAUGUGUUAUGUUUAUUUGAUUAGGGUGACACACUAGUACUAGGAAGCAAUAAAGAAGUUAUUGCAUCUUUGAAAAUGUUUUGUGUGUAUAAAUCAAGAAGCGACUGCGUUAAUUUGAACCACUAAAAGUAUGCAGAAAUCUAGUAAUCAAGCAUCGUUAGUCCUGUCCUGUGGCCCCUUUCUUUUCUGUCUCUUUAGCAUUAAGUAGAAUAAGAGAAUUGGAAUGAUAUAUAAGUGGCAGAACAGGGGCAGACAUCCCUACAAGGGCCUGUCCGGACUAAUCUAGCAUGUCUACCUAAUUUUAUCUUCCAGUUUAGCCCCCUGUGACUGGAUGGUCUUUUACCUAUAUUGACUGCUAUUAACAAGUCUGAAGAGAGAUUGUGUUAUAUCAUGUGUGUGCGUUUGCAUAUUGAGCAUUUAGCUUCCCUGCGAAUGCUUUUUCUUUUUCUUUUAAUUGUGUUUUCAACGAGAAUAGAUUUUGCCUCUUCUUGAUUUGCUUGUGUCUUGCGUGUUCUGCUUUAUUCUGCUUAGAUGUCACAGUUGAACUGCAUACCUUCUGAUGCAUGUAGAUAGAGAUUCCUCCCUUUCAAGUCGUCAUGUCAUUCUUCGCCUAAAUUGUGCUGAGAAUAGGAAUGAGAAGAAAAAAAAUCUCUAAACUACCUAGGUGCAGAGAAACAGCUUCAUAGGCUUAAAGCCGCUCCCACAGGUUCUGGUUCUGCAUUUUCUUGCCUCACCAACUCUCUCCCUCUCUCUUGCUUAGUUGCUUUUGAUUUUUCUUAUGUUUCUUCCAUUUGAUAAUGUAUGAUCAGAUAGAGCGUGAUCUCUUUUAGGCCGCGUACGAGUUCAUACUUUGAGAUGGAUGAGGAACUAGCUUGUUGCAGGUUGAUUGAGUUUAUAUAUUAGAUUAAUUAAGACUGCUUAAGAAAAAGAUUGAUGUUAACUUCGAUCAGGCUCAACUAAAAACAGUUUUUCAGUGUGAAGAAAGAUGCUUCUUUCUUUAAGGUGUCAUCCAAUGGCUAUACUAACAACUUUUUGGAAGCAGAUUUUAACUUGAAAGUCGAGACCCCUAACUUUUAUCCAUCUGGGAUUCCUGAUGGGCCAAUUUUGCACAUGUUCGAUUGCUCUGUGCAUGUAUUAUUGUUUCCUAAGCUACAAGGAAGAAAACAGAACUUUUUGUUACAAGCAGCUUCAUGGGAUAUCUUUAACAGCAAAAGAAUUAGUCUUUUGGAAUGGUUUAUUCUGUCAUCUCCCUCUUUUUGUAGUGGGGAAAAUGUGGGGUUUUCUUUCUGGUUGCAUUAUUUAACAAAUCAAGUCAAGCUUGCGAAGUGGAGGGAAGAAGAUUUAAGUUGAUUUUUUGCACAAUUCGUUGAAGCAAAGAUGCAAAAUAGAACAUGGAGGAGACAUUUAAAUUUGGCCGAGAGCGGAAAAUCAAGAUAACAAAAAGAAACUUGAACGUGCCAGGGGAAAAAAAAAUCACACUACUGCCUUUUGUUCUGCUCUUUGGCUUACUUUUGAAUCAAAGUGAUCAUUUUUGUCAAAGCUGAGGACUAAAGAACUUCAAUUCUCUCAAGUUGGGUUUUCUUUUCACACCCACGUGGGCAAAGACACUCAAUUCCUUGCCUCUCCUCAGUCCUCCCCCAAUCCCACACGAAUACAAAAGAAUUUCACACCAAAUAUGCAUACAAGGAUAACUUCCAAAACCCAAAAAAAAAAAAAAAAAAAAACACACGCACACACACACACAAGGAUAGUUGCCUAUACAGGGGAUUUUUCACAUUUUGUCACUAAGUUGUUGGGCAUAGAAAUCCCUCCUUGGAAGUUUAUCCAUGGCAACCGACCAUCUCUGAGAGUUUACGGGCCUAUUUGGUAAAUAAGUUUUUGAUCAAGUUCGUCUGCCACAAGUUUUUUAACAACUUUAGCUAUAGUAAUCUCAAGAAAUUUCUUAAAAAUUUUAAACUAUAUAUUUCAAAAUAUCUAAAAAUUUAUACAUUUCAAAAAUUUUACAAAUAACUCCUAUCGUAAAUUACAGUAAAAUUUUAGACAAACACCCAAAAAAUUUAUUUGACAAACGGCUUGGUUUCAAAGUUGUUGCCAACCUUUGCAUCUUUUAAGUCGAAAAGUGAAAAAGGCAAAGCAAAGCAAAGAUCCAAACUGUAGAUGCUGGAUAAAGAGGACACCCUAUGUUUCUUCAUACCGUGAACUUAGUGAGGUGACCGUCCCAGCUGUAUUUGAUUGAAUUCAACUUUUCAUCCAUUGUGAAUGGGAUCUUUUUCCAUUCCAUUUCAAUCUGUCUGAAACCCAAAUGAUUUUGCAUUGUUUUGCUAAUACACGUAUUUCUUGGUCCUGUUUAUCCUAGGACUAUUUUGCAUAUGCUGAUUUUCACGGACACCUAUUUGACAUAGAAAAAGCAGUUUAAACUGGAGCAAUCUUGAUUUUCAUGCUUGCUUAAUUUAAGCCUUAAAGCUUCAAACGUCAUCAAUGAUAUAAAUGUGAUUGGAAUCUUUUAAGAGAAAGGGUAACUAUUUUUUUGUCUGUAACGAUACAUAUGUAUAACCUACUCUAUCCUAAUAUAGGAUAACUUGAUAUUGUGUUCUUUGUUACAAGGUACAAAAGCAUCCUACCACCAACCUCCAUACUUUUAGCACAAAGGGAACUGAUUAAAGCACAACUAAAAGAAAAGAAAUUAGAAACUUUUUUUAUCAAGAACAGAACAGUUUGCUGAUUGGUCUGUGUUAGAGGCUAACGGUUACAGGAAAAACAAGCCAGCGGUCCUUGUUGCGGAGAACAAGUUUGAGGUCAAAGAGGGGACUGUGGGGCUCUGAAGUUGCAGGUGUGUGGGAACAAAUGGACAAACAGCAAGGCUGCCUCUGCCUUUUCUUUCUUGGGACCCCAAAAAUAAAAUUCUUCUGCUGCAUGCCAAUGCCGUAAUCAACUGCGCCGGAAAAUCAUUGCUCUUUUGAACUUCUCCAUUAGAAUUCACUGGCCAAACCAAAAGCACAUCUUGUGAUAAAUAUUCUCCCUGCGCUUCUCACCUUUUUGUUCCUGUGUUUUGUUCAUAUCCCAAUAAUGUCAAACGCAGCGUUAUACGUUAUGAAUUCUAUACUUCAUGUAGGGGAAAAAAAAAUUGUACUAGUAUCACUUGGUUAUCAUACAUGCACCUUUUGAUUCUCUAUUGCUAGAACUCGUGCAGAAGCAGAUCUCCUCCAUUCGAUUUGUCAAUUUUGAUAAACGUAUUUUAAUUGAAAUAUAUUUUUGAUAAUUUUUCUAUCUAGUCUAGAAGUUUGCUAUUACAAUUUUCAAAGUUUCUUUGCAUGUAUUCCUGUCUGCCAUAAGAUCUAACAAGAAGUCAAGAACUCAAUGACGGGUGAAUGUUGUAAUGAUUAUUCCUUUUGUAUGACAAGCACACUACUGUAAUUUUUAGAGUUGUAGACAUUUAUAAAAUAUUAAUGGUGUUCUAACAUAAAUGAAUAUCUCAAUAAUAUUAUCCUAUUCUUAUUCCAAAAUUUUAGAUACAUUCACUCCUAAAAAGAGAAUACUCUCAUGAUUUUUCGUUUAUGUUGUGUAAGUGAAAUUGAAAUUCACAGCGCUGUGACUGUUUGUCCAAAUUAAGGGCAUAGCUACAACCAUUAAGAGGUCAAGGGAUCUUUUCAAAGAGGGAUCAUAGUUUGGGGGCUUAAGUGAAUAUACCGAAAAGUGAAAAGUACAAAUAGCUUGAUUUUAUUAGUGAACCUUUGCCUUAUAGUCACACCGCAUCCUUACUAACAAGUCCAACUAGACAUACUAAAAGCAUCACUCAUUUUCACUUCAAAUUGGCUGAUGUCCUGAUGAAGAUAGAGCAAUCUUGGCAUCCAACUCUUACGAAAACAAUCCUUUUGUCUUGGUAACAGGAGAAAUCAUCUCUGGGAUUUUUGUGCGAUAUUUCAGAUUUACAGAAUCUUCAAACUCAGAGGCGUACCAGAAGAAGCAGGUUGGAUUCUAACUAUAAAUGCUUCACCUUGAGUACGUUGCAAUUUUCCUCAAUCAUUUUCACUUCUACUAGUUCCCGUUGAAACAUAUGCCUUAAACGCCAAGAUUCUUCUUUUUUCUUGUGCUUCUUUGUUGUUUUUACCGAGAUGGAUUAUUCAUUUGUCUACUUUUGAUGCCUCACUUCUACUUGCUUUUGUCGACUCUUUUUAUAUCAAGUGAGAGGAGCAAAUGCAUACUUUGCCAAGUUUCUAUGAAGUUGGAAGCUGUUCAGAGUCUUACAACUUCCUUCACGAAAUUUUGAACUCAAGAGAGCAACUGCACCUUGACAAUUCAACCGUUAAUGCCAUUUCAAUGGCUGAGGCAAAAGCAGUUGCAGCAAACAAGAGCCACAGUGAAGCUGAAAGGAGAAGAAGAAAGCGUAUCAAUGGUCAUCUUGCUACACUUCGCAACCUUCUUCCCAAAACCAUCAAAGUAAGUUUUGUUCAUUCAUCUAGUUGCUCUUUUUAUUGCCCUAUUCAACUUUUCCAUGUUCAAAAGACGACCCUCCAUUCUUCUUUUCUUGGUUAAUAAGUUUGAAAUGUAAUGAACAUAGGCAGACAAGGCAUCAUUGUUAGCUGAGGUUGUCCGGUGCAUAAGAGAGCUAAAGAAGUCAACAGAAGAACUCUCAGCUACAGAAGGUGAUGAUCAGUCCAACACAGCAAUGAAACUCAUGUUUCCUAGUGAAACUGAUGAACUCAAGUUAUGUUAUGAUGAUGGAGAUUCAAGGACUAUAAAGGCAACAUUAUGCUGCGAGGACCGACCGGAGAUGAUGAUAGAGUUAAAGAGGGCAUUAAACGCAGUAAAAGCUAAGGUGGUGAAGGCAGAAAUGGCAACAGUUGGGGGAAGAACAAAAACUGUGCUUUGGCUGCAAGCUUCAGCAGCUGGAGAAGAAGGGCUGGCGACAAUAAGGAGAGCACUGAAAGUGGUUGUAGACAGGUCUAUCAUGUUGCCUACUCCUGGCCAGGCUUUGCCGGGUAACAAGCGGCCUCGUCUCUAUCACUGCUGAAUAUAUGAGUUUAGGGUUUUGUAUUUUUUGAAUCUUGACGGUGCCACCUGUUUAAAAUGGUCCAUACUAAUGUUGGGGAUGGGGACCAAUGACCCCAUGGAAAUUGAAAAGUGAGCUAAGGUGAUCAUGGAUGAGGUAGGAGAAUUUGAAGUGUCAAUUUGGUAGAAGAUUUAUCCUAGUUAUGUAUGAAUGUCAAACUCCCAGCUGGUGCUAUGAAUCUAAAAAGUAGUACUGCCUGCGCUGCGAGAUCUUCAUUCGUGUUUCCUUUUAAUUUUAAUUGAGAAGCAAAAUUGCGAGCUCUGAGUGAAUUAUGAAAGGGGUAAAAGUUUAAAUUAUUUUGGUAGAAUUCUUCGUUUUGCAGGUUGUUUCUAAUGAUUCCUUGAGUUACUAACAUGUUCCUUUUUUUGAAGGGAAAAAAAAAAUUGUAACAGGGUUGAGCUAGUAAUGAUUUUCCUUUUUCUAAUCAAAAGUUUGACUUCGACUUAGAGUAAGAGAAAAGUGGGGUUGGGGGAGCCUAAUCACUGAUUUCUUGUUUUUGGACUUUAGAAUCCAAGGUAAUCAUUAACAUUUGCUCCUAUCAGACUAGACUAUACUGUUUCAGGCACAUGUUUUUAGCCUUUAGUAGUUUAAUCAUAUGAAACACUAGCUUAUCUUUUUCUCAAUUUUGGAGCAAAUGUAUUACCAAUUUCUAACUCUUAUUUGACCCGCGACUGCAGUCACUCCCUCUCAUUUGUUUGUUUAAAUUACGUAAGACCCACUCCAUGUUUUUUCUCAACCAAGCCAUACACAUACCUUCAUCAAGAAUGUUGUCCUAUGUUUGAAAUCAAUUGAGAAGUUGAACUAACAAUAGAAAUCCUCCAUUUCUUCACAACUACAUUUUAUCCAACUCUUUGAACUUUCCAAACACGCAAAAUCUAUAAUUCACUAUAAAUAGCCAAUGCAGUUCCAAUCAAUUCAUUCAACUCAAAACAAAAGAAAGUACAAACCCUUUUAGCCGCACUCUUUUUGUGCUUUUGAUCAAACAAUGGCUGCCUUGAACCAUUGUCUCCUUUUCUCCUUCACGGUAGCAUUCUGCUUCUCAAGCUUCCAAAUGAGUUUCGCAGCCCGCCACCUGCUGCAGGCACCAUUGAUUCCAACAAUGCCUACGAUCCCAUCGCUGCCUAAACCCGCUGGGUUGCCUCCAUUGCCUUCAAUUCCAAGCAUUCCUAAGGCAACAUUGCCACCUUUGCCAAGCAUCACAUUGCCUAAAAUCCCAGCCGCUGCUGCACCACUGCCAAAGCCCACUUUGCCAAGCACACCUCCGCUCCCAUCCUUGCCAAAACCCACUCUACCAUCUUUCCCAUCUGUUCCCAAGUUCACUCUACCUCCACUGCCAUCCAUUCCAAAAAUCCCCGUCCAAGCACCACCACCAUCUCACUAGUGCUGGAGACUCGAGUUCUUGCAUUUGGUUUCAUUACGCCAUAUUGGUAGAUUCAUGAGCUGUUCGGUUUGAUCUUAUGUUCAUGGCUUGGUGUAGUAUUUCUGUCGUUUUUACGCAUUGGUUACAUGUAUUUGUCCUUUGGCGAUUUGUAAACCAUUUCCAUUUCUGUAUUCAUCCAUUGUAUUCUUGGAGCGUUCGUGUGUUGUAGAUCUAUUUUAGGGUAUUAGUAAAAAUAACUUUUAUCUUCGUUUAUAUCAUCUUCAUUCUGUGGUUAUAAACCUGUUUAUUUUUUUUUUCAAAUGAAUUGUGAAUGUAGAUUAAAGAAUUAGUCUAAAUAAAAUUUGGAGGGCAUAUUCUAGCCUGACACUCUUCAUCAAUCAUCAAUCAGAGGGUUGUAACAUACGUUGGAAAUCGCCUCCACAAUAGGGUGAAAAAGGAAUGUUGAAUAAAUUUGAAUGCAAAAUGGGGCAAAUGCCAAGCGUUACUUGGGUACCUUAGUUGGAUUUGGUGCUUGACAAUUCCAUGUAAAACCUGCCAAAAACCAUGACCGCAUGCAGUAAACGGAAUCCCUAAUGUAUUACAAUUCAAUAAUAAUAAAAAUGAAAACAUAUGAAUUAUUGCAUAAUAAGUACAUGAUAAUUGUACAAUAAUUCAUAUGAAUUAUUAUAAACUCAUAUAUAGUGAAAUUUGAAUUUAAGAAUUUAAAGUCUUGAACCCUAAACCUUAGGUUGAAGACUCAUUUUCAUGUUAAUGGACGUCCCUCAACAUGAAUUAUCUUUAGCGUUGUUUGUAAUUUCUAAUGAAAAUCAAAUUUACGAAUCAAUAUUUUUUGAUAAACAAUAAGCUUGCUUGUUCUAUGCUGACCAGCUGUGCAUGUACUUGUAAACAUCAUAGCUAGCACUCUUAUAAACUUAAAAGAGCUUACCUUGUUUCUUCCGGUGAUUUACAGUUCUUUAAAACCUUUAAAAAAAAAAAGUGAAGUAAAUUUAACUUUUUUUUUUUUUUUUUUGGUGGGGUUGCAUGUCAACCGAAAUCCAAAUUCAGAUGACCUUUAGGUUGCAAACUUUUUCAUUGAAGGGGGGGAAGAAAGGGACCAAAUCCGUCAAUUGUUCUUCCAAUUGGGUCCCUUAAUAAUUUUGGAGGCCCAAAACCAAAAUGCUACGAAUUUUCUCUUUCGUAACACCAUGUUGUUUCAAAGCCGAUGUUCUUCCCAUUCCAUCUUGUCUUCCACUUUCAAGACCAAUUUGGCCUGAUUACAAGAACAAUAGCUGAAGAUUUGCUAAGAUAGGAACAAAAAUAGAUUGACAUUAUAAUUGCGAUUACGAAACUGUUGAAACUGGUUAAGAACAACUACUGAAGCGUUUUGAUUUGCAAUGAUAGGAGCAGAAAAAGAUUGACACUGAAUUUCUAUCGGCUAUUGAAAUGAUAGCUUUUCUAGGAAUAGGUUUAUUAUUGCUUCUCGAUUUACUUAUUUAUCAGCAUGAGAUCAUUGGAGACUAUUUAAUAAAUGAUAAUCAUCAUAAAAUCUCACAUUAAAUGUGUACGAUGAUGAUGGGUCCUGGCUAAUUUUCUUUACAAUUAAUUCGUGGUUUUUUAAGGGAUACAAAAACUAAGUUAUUAUAAGGAAAUAUAUAUAUAUUUACAUUAGUAUUGAGGAAAGAGAAUCACCCAUGACACAAAAAGAUGGGUUUAAAAUGGUUCCAUGCAUGCUAUUACUGGAAAGAGGUGUUAUGACACUAGAAUCAGCUUGUCAAAGACAAGUUGGUCGUUAAUAGAGAUUCAAAAUUUUAAUUUGGGGUAUAAGUUUGUAGUUUUAAUCUCAAACCUUGCAAUUAAAGAGGAUUUAGCGUAUGCUCUUUCCUUUCCUUCUUCUUCCUUAUAAGGUCAGAGUCUCCUUUGAAUCAAAGUAAAAAAACCAAUAAUCCAAUAACAGUAGUCUAAUAAUAUCCGAAAUGGACUAAGAAUCUGAAAUAAGCUCAAUUAUGAAUGAUGUAACCGUCCUUUCGAACAAGAAUUUUAAAUGAUUUUAGAAGGGCAAUGUAAAAAUGCUUUUUGAUUUUUUUUAAUGCCUUGGGAAAACCCCCCACUGUUCUCAUGGACAAAAUGUCCACUUCUUUUUUAUCUUGUUCUCCCCACUUUUCCAGUCGAAACAAUCAGACCCUAAUUCAGUACCUUUUUCAGUCCCCAAAUUCCCGGGGAAGUUUCUAAUCUACGGAGUUCUUCUUAGUCAGGAGACUCAUUAGAAUGGCGACACAUACAUUCAAAUCUAAGCAUCCUCUGCAUUUUAGUACAAGUACGAUGAAUGUAACAUGAUUCUUCGUUAAUUAUUCUCCAUCUAAGCAUAAGCCAAAUACCGACUCCCAGUGGCGGAUUUAAGGUACCUCCACUGCUCCCUUAAAUUUCCUAUAGUAUCCAUAAAAUUUUGAUAUAAUUUCAAAUGUACGUCGAGAGUUUUCUUAUGAAAGAAUUAUAUGGUCUUCUAAGUUGAUUUAUAAACUACUAUUUUAAAAAGAUAUGUGGGUCACAAAGUUUCAUUUGAAAUAAGGUGAAUAAAGGCUUUUCAUUUCAAUUUGUUGGUGAAUUUUUUUACUUAAAAAAUUAGAAAAAGAGUAGGUAAAAAAAAUUUUAGUGUUGCUUUUACCCUCACUGAGAAUUUUUUCUGGCUUCGUCAUUGCCGACUCUACCAUUGUUGGAGACUUGGAGUAUACAGGUGCCAGAGAGAAGUGAUGUUUAGUUGUUAACCUUUGUGAUCUCAUCAUAAGUCGAGAGGUAGUUGAUCAAAAUUCCCCUGUAGUAGCUUUGUCCAUGCGACUAAAGAUCCAAAUUGUUUGUUCAUUUGCCAGUUGCCACUUUGAUGUUUAUGUCAUUCCGCUGCAACAUCUGUUCUUCAGUUGGUGGAUGCUGUUAGGAACUUAGGAUUUAAUUAUCUCAGUCAAAAUUUUUGCAACUAAAAUCUAGUUGAGAAGGCAUACCAACCUAUACAUCUUCAAACUGGUCCAGCUACAUUUGAACUUAACCUUGUAGUGCUUCCUUUAGAAAGCAUAGUCUUCCCCUUUAAGCUGAUCAAAAUACACAAAAAAAUCGUACUACCUUGGAAACUCAAAGCGGAGCUUCAAUCUUCUGCAUCAAUCAAUCAGCAUGGCUUCUUCUUCUUUUUCUAACCUUUGCAUCUUUCUAUCUCUGAUCAUUGCUUUGUCAUUUCCAAGCAUUCAAGUAACAGACGCGGCUCGCCAGCUUUUACAAACCUCACAACCAACAAUACCGACGUUGCCCACCCUGCCAAACUUGCCCACCGGAGCAGCAGCAUUGCCACCAUUGCCAACCACUCCUCUGCCAACAUUACCCACAAAUGUUCCAUCCUUGCCAAAGCCCGCGUUGCCAACAGUUCCCACAAUUCCUCAGGGGGCCCUCCCUCCCAUACCAGCUGCAACUUCAUUGCCAAACAUCCCAUUCACAAUCCCUUCAAUCCCAACUAAUCUCCCAACGUCAAUUCCUUCAAUUCCUUUCUUCUCACCUCCACCAUCCAACUAGACCAUUUUCUACCUGAACUUGUUUCAAUCAUUGAAUAUGCCGUAUCUGUUGCUUCGUUGUGAUAGCCUAAUGAUUUCCAUAUAAUUGGGAAAUUUUCACAGUUACAAUGGUCCUUGUAGGGAUCCUAUGAAACAGAUGGAGUUUGGAUUAUAUUGUGAGUCCCUGUAUUGCACACUGCAGGUUGUAUUCCCAUUUCUAAUGUUAUGAAUCCUUUUAUAUUUAUACUAUCUAAGAGCAACAUCUUAAAUUUUUCUCUUUUUUUUUUGUAUUUGAUUUUUCUGGAAUUACGUGCUCUGUUAUUCUGCUAAUUCCAUUCCAUUUGAUGAUAUGUCUCUUGAAUUAUGAGUUGUGUUUCAAUGAUGGGAACAACAUUCGCGCCGAGUUGGUCCCCAUGUGGUAUUUGCCAAAAAUGACACGGAAACUUUAACAAAAAAAAAGUCAGAUCUACCAUGUAAUUUUAAGAAGGAACAAUUUUGCAUCUGCUAUAAUCUUAAUAUUUGUUGCUUCACUUCUGAGUUUCUGAGGAAAAAUAAUAACAAUGAUGGCCAAAUUGAACAGCCACGACCUUUUUCAAGUUGCAUUGCUUGCGAUUGGGAAAGCAACAGUUUGUAUUUACUUUCAGUUUUAAGAAUAUGGUGUAAUGAAGUCACUUCGAACUCAAUUAGUGAACAAUUCGAGCUCGGCGUGAAUUAAAGCACUUGAACUCAAAUUUGACAAACUCUCAGGUUGGGUUUCAUCACAUACAAAUGUUCAAGUUUGAACUCGUCCAUUUUUUUUUUUUCUCGAAUUCAUGAAAUUGUUCAAGCUCCAUCGGAACAACAUCGAAUUCGAGUUUUAAUUGAACAACCUUAUGAGUAGUUCAAUUGUGACGUUUGCAACCCUACUUUAAUAUAUAGGAAUACUUGUUAAUUGAUACCAGGGUUUCCUUCAGUUAGUAUCGUUUUGGUGCUACGUACGUACUAUUUAGAUUCAGUUUUAAGAGUUAUUAAUGAAUAGCAGCCAAUAAUAUAAAAGCAGCAUAAAUUACAACAGUUAUAAUAGCCUCUCAAAUGAUCAUGAAAUCAAAACAAAACCGCAUGAAUGAAAUCAAUACUGAUGGGGUUUAUGUUCUUGAAUUUUCUGUUCAUUUAAUUCCCUUCGCAUGAUAAUACAAAUAUGAUGAUUCUUGGGGAUAAAGUUCCCUAAUGUUUGAGAGGUUGGUCCGCUCAAAUAAAUAUUCCACGUGUCUGACUUUCGGAGAAGAGAACACUUGGCGAAGCCUGGAUUAAACCUUAUUUGUCCAAGUCAUUCCCAUUUCCAUUUCAUCCCCUAUAAAUUCACCCCGCCAUACAGAUCAGUUUCAUGCAAUCAAAACGUAAUUUCUGCUGAUCAGUUUCAAAACUGUGGAUUGCCAGAUGAUGGAGAAGGCUUCAAUCAAGUCCACUCUCUCAGUUGCUCUCUUCAUUCUUCUUCCAAUUUGUUAGUCUCUCUCUCUUGAUCUCUCAUUUACACUUGCACAGGACUAGAAUGUGUAUUGGUGAAGGGAUUCUUGCUUCAUAACUUGAAUUCACCGGUUGAAAAUCAUCACUUUAUUUCUUCUAUUAAAAGAUUGUUUCUUGUUCACAAAAAAGGAAAAAAAAAAAGAUAAACAGGCCCUUUGAUUGCAGUAUUAUCAUUCCCAAUGAUGGAAGUGAAAAUGGCAACGAGCAUCUCAAGAAAAUUUCAGAUAUUUGAAUGUGGAAAUCCUUGUAGCUCUGAUGCGGAUUGCAAAUGCACUGAUUUCUAUUGUGCUCCGAUCCCGGAUGUGAUGAUAAUGGUUAUUAUAUUCAAAUCAAUUUUGGCAAUCUUAAUUAACCAAGGUGGCCAACAAUAAUGGUAUCCCACUUUAUAUUUUACAUAUAUAUAUAUAUAUAUAUUUUUCUUAAUUAACUUUUUACUUUUAAAAAAUAUGAACUCCUAAAUUCUAUCUUAAUGACAAUCCAUUCGGUACUAGUUAAAUAUACCCUAUAUUAUUUUACAAGCCCAAAACCCAAAGCGCUAAUUUUCUACCUUUUUAAAAAAAAAAAAAGCCCCCCAUCCACUCGUCCAGGUCUUUUCCCAACGAGUACUCAGGCUGCUGGCCCUAAAUUACUAACUUCAAACUCACAACAAACGUUGGCAAAUGAUGAGUUAGUUGUAUUUAAAAAUGCAUGUUUUCUUAGCUACGUAAUUAUGGUAAUAUGCGUACAACGACUAUAUAUUUUGUUGUAACAUAUUUUUAAGAUUAUGAGAUGGUUGCGUUCCUUGUUGAAAGUGGCUUUCGAAGUUAUUUUAUAAUCAAUCAUGUUACCAAUUUUAAAAAUUUUGAAGUUUUUUUAAAAAUUUUUUUUUUUAGUGUAAAUAGAAGGAUUCACGUCAUCAUCCUAGUCUGGAGUUAGUUCAUCGACAUUUUUCUAUGCUGGCUUCUCACAACCACGUCCUGUCCAUCAAAAUCCUCUCAUCUAUUUCAGUUGUCAAAAAUGAGCAACUGGCAGGUCAUUCCAUAUCAUCAUAUAUACACAUUAUUUAUUUAUUCGGUGGACUUUUGUUGAUGAGAAUUCUGAACUUCGAAAAAGUGAAAUUGGUUGAGGUAGCAAACCAACCUGCAGUAAUUCUUCCAACUUGUCCAACUGCAUCUAGCCAACCAUUGCUCCCUAUAAAAAGCAUUACCUCCCCCUUCAACUCAGACAACAUACUAACACAUAUAUUUGGGAAUUCCCCUACAAAUUCAGUUUCGAGCUUCUUCCUUCUGCGGUAUUCAAUCCAAUGGCUACUUCUUCCAAUGUCUGCUUCUUUCUGUCUUUGCUCAUUGCUUUAUCAUUUUCGAGCAUCCAAGAAAGCCAGGCCGCUCGCCGACUAUUGCAAACUUCCCCACCAGUGAUACCAGCAAUACCAACAUUGCCUGGUACAACCAUGCCAAAUUUGCCUACCACAUUGCCACCAUUGUCAAGUACUCCUUUCCCAACAUUACCAACAAAUCUUCCAUCUUUGCCAACUAUGCCCACAGUUCCGAAGGUGGCCCUCCCUCCCAUUCCAGCUGCAACUUCGUUGCCAAAUAUUCCAUCCACAAUUCCUCCAAUCCCAACUAAUAUCCCAACUUCAUUUCCUUCAAUUCCUUUCUUCUCACCACCGCCAUCCAACUAGACCAUUUUAGAUAUUUGAAUGUUUGAGUUUGUCAUAUCUGUUGUUCCUUCAGAUCGCUUAUCAUACGAUUUCAUGUACAAGUAAUUUUUACAGUUUCAUUAGUCCGUCUGUAUAGCUAGGGAUCUUAUGAAGUAGACGGAGUUUGGUUUGUUUUUGAGAUUGUAUUGCGAUUGUUUAUGUUAUAACUAGUUCUUAAUUGAUACCAUGUAGGAGUUUCUUGUUUGUUGUUUCUUGAUACUUUCGUUUAUUUAUCUAUCUUUCGUUGGCUUGAGGCCUUAUAUUACACCUCUCGUUACACUUUAUUAUUCAACUUUUUAAAAUGACAUGCAUCCCCACAACACAUUAAUCAAAAGAACUUGGAUUCUUAUCCAUGAUUAUAUGCAACACAUCUCAAUCUAACUGUUUGUCUAAUAAGAAUAUAACAUAAAUCAGACGAUCUUUUUUAUUUUGUAAAUUACAUUCUCACCACUCAGCUAUCAUUCAUCAAAUGUAAAAUUUUAAUUUAAGGUCAAUUUUAGAAACCUUCCUUAAAUUUUUUAACGAUUUCAGGCAGUACUCUCUUGUAAUUUGGAUAAUUAAACCCACCUACAUUGCUAACUUCAAUUGAGUAUCAUAACCCUUUUCUAAGAUACAGGCUGUUUACAGAAGAAAAAACCAGAAAAUUAUUCACCCAAAUUCCCCAACACUCCCCGUCUUCUUGUCAGCACUAUUGUACUUUUAUCCAUUUUUACCACCAUCACUACCAUCAUUGCCAGAAGCAUGGCAAACAGAUGCUUCUCAAAUUACCUGCCCAAAAAAAAAAAAAUUUCGAAUGAGAUGCUGCAACACCACCCAAGCCAUAAUCUACCAGCCCAAAAACCUAAAAAAAAAAAACACACACACACACACACGAUAUGCUCCCUCUUUGCCAUCAAGCAUGUCUGCCCAAAUCCUUUGCUACUUUGGUUUCCUCAACCAAUAUACCUCAAUCCCUCCCCUCUCUCAAAUAACAUCUGAAAAGUAAUGGAGUCAGCUCCAGUCCCAAAGGGGUAUACUUCUUUCUUUAGUUAUUCAUGGUGGAAAUAUGCUGCUAAUCAAUGUCCACAAUAGUUAUAGACGACAGACAACCAAGCUAUGCUGGUUUCAGCAAUUUGAUACAGACGUCCAAAAAAUAAAACCAAAAAGUAUUAACAUGGAUAUAAUAAUUGCAAACUCCAAAUAACUAAAAUGUCAGCGUUUAGCCAAAUGUAUGAUCCCACACUUGGAUUCAAUAUAUAUAUAUAUAAAUAUUUAUUUAUUUAUUAGGUCGCUUGGUUUCAAUUUCUUCAAGCUUAUAUGAUCAUACACUUUGUUUGAGUUUCUUUAAGCUCUAUCUGACUUUGUUAUACGGUUAAAGGCUUAAUGCUUUGUCAGGAGCCUUAAGUUUGCCUGUUUAGGUACGUGGUUAUUGGAACUUUAGUUACUGUAGCCUAAAUUCCUUUUAGUAAAGAUUAAAUUAAUGGUGGGAUCGUAGUAGAAGUAAAAAAAAAAAAAAAAAAAAAAAAAGUCGCUGGACCAGGAGUAUAUUUUGUGGUAAGCACUUUUUGAUAUGUUUGUGUAUCAUAAAGUAUCAUCAAAUGUGGAAAUCUUAAUUACUCAUAUUCUGAGACCGAACAAACAAAAAAGAUAAUCUGAAUCAGAAACUUGUGCUUGUGAUUCGUGAACAUCCGUCAUCUUACUCUAUUAUUUUGGUCUCUAGCGGUUGUAUUACUCUUUGGUUUUGAUUUUAUCUGGUUGUACUUUUGUUCAAGCAGUGACUUGUUGAAACUGGCCAAUGAAUUGGGAAAAAAAAAAAAAUCAAAAGCGAAGCGGUUUGUUCAAUUUUCGUGUGUUUUCUUUACAUUAAAUUUAUUGACAUAUUAACAUUAUAUGGUUUCUUGUGGAUUAAGUUCCUAACGGGAGAUUCUGCCCGCUAUGGAAACUUUUAUAUUGUACCGAAUUUGAAAGACCUAUUUGGCAUAUUCUCGAUCAAACCUCAUUUGUCGAAUCCAUUUCCAGUUUGAGUUUAUCCCCUAUAAAUUCACCUGAAAUAGACUAGUUUCAUGCAUACAAAAAUUAGUUUCUACUGCUCAUCAACAACAGUGGAUACUAGAUGGAGAAGGCUUCAAUCAAGCCCGCUCUCUUAUUUGCUCUCUUCAUUCUUCCAAUUUGUGAGUUUCUCUAGGAUUCUUACCUCAGAACUUGAAGUCACGGGUUAAAAAUCCACACUUUUAUUUCCCCUACUAAAACAUUGUUCCUUUUCCAUUUAAAGAAAAAAGUACAGGUAAAAAGACCCUUUUUCAUCUAACAAAACCUUUUUUCCCCUAAUGUGAUUUAAUUGUAGUAUUAUCUUUUCCAGUGAUGAAAGCCAUGGAAGUGAAAGUCACUGGCAACAAGCAUCUCAAGAAAACUUCAGCAGGAUUGUGCAAUUCCUUGUGGCUCUGAUGCGGAUUGCACAUGCAUAGGUUUUAGUUGUGCUCUGACUCCCAUAGAGGGAUGUGACGAUAAUGGUAAUUGUAUUCAAGUUAGUCGUUGCCUGGACGAAAUUCAAGCAUUGUGGCAAACAAUAAGAGGCGUGUAAUACAAUUAUUUUAAAGGUUUUGUCUACUGGUUAUUGGUUUCUUUGGUAGUAAGAGUUUGUUUGUAAUAAAGAUAGUAGGAUGAGAUUUUUUUUUUAACGUAAAAAGAGAUUUUAUUGAAUAGAACAUGAAUGUACACAAGUGCAGAGGUAUUUGCUACACAAAAGUACGACUAAAACCAAUUAAGCUAUACAAUAGUACUGCUACAAUGAACUAAACUCCGAUUAUGCUAUCAACAUUUAAGAAAAAUCUCUUGGGGAAAUCCCAACUAAAACAAAAUAACUAGUUGUCUCUUGUACUCAAUACAUUCCUCCAUUAUGCCACAUAAUAGCGAAUCUCCUUCCAUAUAUAAUAUACAACUGCCUCUAGUGCCAACUUUUUUACUGUGUUUAUAAAACAUUCUUUCUUCCAAUGACAACUGAGCCAUUUAACUUCAGUAUUCCAUUCAUAAGUUCCGCGUAUUGCAAGCAGCAUUGCUGUAUUCUUGACCAAAUAUAAGUUGCAUACUCACAUUAAAAAAAGAGAUGAUUACAAGAUUCAUUUCCAGUAUAGCAUAAUACAUAUCUCAUUUCAGACAUAAUGCCCCACUUAACCAACCUGUCCUUUGUGCUUAAUUUGUUCUUACACAACAACUACAAGAUAAAUGAAUGUUUCGGAUAUAUUUUUUGAAGCACACAAGAUGAUGCCAAUAGACCUCAGUAGCGAAAUGGUUCAACACUUCAUUUGCAGAUUUGACAGAGAACAAAUCUAAUUUACUGGGCAGCUAUUUCACUAUAUUUGACAUUCCCUCGCUUAGUAACUAUCCAGAAGGAAAAAAUUGUGCAAAAUCAUCAACUUCAACAGGUCUCCUCCUACCAGCAGGGAUCUUCCACUCUCUAUUUUCAAUGAUAGAAAAAACCUUAGCUUGUGGCGUACUUCCAAACUAUCGCACCAUAUUGGGUCCAUAAGCUGUGAAGCAUGGCCCUCUAUGGUGCCAAUUAUCAUACCAAAGAAGUAUUUUCUCCACUUUUGAUCACUGAGACAAUAAAAGGCUGUAUAAUAGAUCUGAUUUGAAGGAGUUUAUGCCAAACCCAAGAACAAAAUUGAGGCAAUGAAAUAGACCAGAAACAUUUAUUUUUGAGUUUCACAAUGUGAACCCAAGCAAUCCAAAGAGAAUCCUUUUCAAGUGUUAUGUGCCAGAUACAUUUAAACAAUAAAGCCUUAUUCCAAUUAGUCAAAUUAGGUAAUCCAUGUUCUCCUUGUUUGAUAGUAGGAUGAGAUUGUUGGUGUGUUAGUUACUCAUUGUCAAUGUUUGGAUUUACUUCUGGUCUAGAUUGAACCAGAAGAUGUUCUCUUUCUAUUUAAUCAGUAUAGGCCAAAUCUUGGUAAUUUCUAUAUUUCUUGGUUCACAUAAAUGUUGUAUUGAGUUCGAUACCCAUGAUACGAGACUGACCUGCUGGAGUAAUGAUGGAUUGUAGAUUAUUUGUGAUCCAAGAUCAUCCAAAAAGCAAACUGAAACAACCUUAGUGGCCCAAAAUUUUUUUAAAAAAUAAUAAAACGAGGUUGCAAAUUUUCAGAUAAUAAAACAGAAAUGCUGAAAUUUGCUACUUCUCAGUCGAACAAGAUUGUUAAUUAACCUUAGAAGCCCAUAAUGCAAAUUGCCAAUUUUUUGAAACCCAUUCUUUCUAUGAACUUUUCCUAACUUGUACUCGCUCUUCCAAACUUGGAUUACCAAUUCAAAUUUGCGGUCUAAAUUCCAUCCCAGGUAGAACACAUGUACUUAUUAUUUACUUGGUAGAUUUUUUGUUGAGGAAUCUGAGUUUCUAAGAAGUGAAUUUAGUUGAGAAGGCAAACCAACCAAUGCUUCUUCAAACUUGUCCAACUACAUCUGACGAUUCUGACCAACCAUUGCUUCCUAUAAAAAGCAUCAUCUACCCGCUCAUCCCCUACGGAAUCAAUACAAAACAAAUUAAUCCCCUACGGAUUCAAUUUGAAGCUUCUACCUUCUGCAUUAAUCAAACAAGUGCUCAAAAUGACUACUUCUUCCAAUGUCUGCUUCUUUCUGUCUUUGCUCAUUGCUUUAUCAUUUUCGAGCAUCCAAGAAAGCCAGGCGGCUCGCCAACUAUUGCAAACUUCCCCACCAGUGAUACCAGCAAUACCAACAUUGCCUCGUACAACCCUGCCAAAUUUGCCUACCACAUUGCCACCAUUAUCAAGUAUUCCUUUGCCAACAUUACCGACAAAUCUUCCACCUUUGCCAAAGCCCACAUUGCCAACUAUGCCCACAGUUCCUAAGGUGGCCCUCCCUCCCAUUCCAGCUGCAACUUCAUUGCCAAACAUUCCAUCCACAAUUCCUUCUAUCCCAACUAAUAUCCCAACGUCAUUUCCUUCAAUUCCUUUCUUCUCUCCACCGCCAUCCAACUAGACCAUUUUAGACAUGAACACGAUUCAGUGUUUGAAUUUGCAUAUUUGUCGUUCCUUCAGAUUGCUUAUCGAUACGAUUUCUUGUACUUGAAAUUUUUACAGUUUCAUUAGUCCGUCUAGCUAGGGAUCUUAUGAAGUAGACGGAGUUUGGAUUUCAUGUAUUGUGCCUUGGAGAUUGUAUUCGGAUUGUUUAUGUUAUGAAUUAUGAUGAGCUCUCUGACACUAUGAACGAGCACUUUUUUACGUAUGUUUGUUUCUUUUGCCAACUCUAAACAUAACUUUAAGUCAUAGAUAUGAAUGUGGGAGACAAAAGUUUUUAGUUUUGAGUUUUGGGAUCUAUAGCAACCGUUAUACCAGAAUACAUCUACGCUUAAAAUGGUGUACUCCCAAAAAAAAAAAAAAGAAAGAAGUUUUGGGAUGGGCAUAAUGAAGAGUUUCAAUAUGUAAGUUCUAUCAUCUGCACAAAUAAAUUGGAAGCUCAUGAUGUGUUAAUGUACAGACAUUUGGGAAAAUGUUGCGGAAUUUGUGUUUUUUUUUAUUUGAAAGAAUGAAAAUUCUAUCCAAUAAAGACUACAUUCACUUCACAAAAAAAAAAAAAAAAAAAAAAAAGAUUAGAUUCACCAGCUGUCUAAACUUUCAACUUAAAAAAAAAAUUAAAAGUCUUUGAUGAUUAAUUACCUUAUUAAGUCUCUCUUGCCAAUAAAAUCUUGAUUUAGUAGUGAAACAACACUACUAAACCACUUGCAUUAAGAGCUGAAUUCAUCCGAACAACCCAAAAGAUUCGUUUUAAAGAGAUAAAUAACAUAUUUUGCAAAAAAAAAAAAAAAAAGUGAUGCCAUAGCAAAAGUGUGAAAAAUAAAGGGGUUACACGAACACCCUCCAUCAGAAAAUUAUUACACGAAUGAAAUCUAGGUAUGAAUCAGUGAUUCAUAAGAAAUGUGAGAUAACUUUCAACAGUUAGAAUAUCCAAUUAAAAUUUCAUUAAUAGUUGAUAAAAGACUUGUUAAAAAGUCCUGGAAAAACCUAUUUAUAAACUAUAAAAGUUUAACCUAAAAAGAAAACAAAACACACGAAAAACUCUAAAACAACUAAAAGAUGCGUUGCAGCCGUGAUGACCCUUCAGAUAUAUUUAGUAACACUAGAUUUUUUGUUUUUUUUUUGGGGUAGGUUCGGGUAACAUGAUUUUGCUUCUUAGCUAGAAGUGACGGGUUCAAAUCUAUAUUCAAAAAAAAAAAAAAAAAAAGGACUGGUAAAAAGGCUUUUCAUCUGACGAUUUUUUAUGGGAUUUAAUUGCAGUAUUGUCAUCGCCAAUGGUUCAAGGGAUGGACGUGAAAAUGGCCACAAUUAUCUCAAGAAAAUUACUUCAGACUGAAUGCGAAGUUCCCCUGCAGACGAUUGAACAUGCAGUAAUCACUCUUGUUGUUGACAACCCAAUAUGCGAAGAUGAUGAUGAUUGUGAUGCAGUAUUCCAAAAAAAAAAAAAAAAGUAUGCCAGCAGGUGUAGCCUCAAACCCUGAAGUGAUUGUUCGAGAUAAUUCAUGGUUGGAACUUGGAAUCGAAACGCGAGAUCUGCUUUCUCUACAUGAAAAAUCUAAAUAAAAUCCUCAAUUUCGACAUAGUUCAGAUAAAUGUUUGAUAAGUCAAUUGUUGUACUUUGCAUCUUGUGACCAAGUCUGUAAUGCAAAUAAUAGGAAAUAAACCAAAGUGCAUUGCAGUACAAGGGCUGCUCAUGUCUGUUUGUAGUUUAAUUUGAAUAUUUCGUGCAAGUUAUAUGUACGUUCUCGACAUUAUUUGCAUGGAAUGUCGCUCAUGCUUUAAUUUGACCUUUAAUCCCUUUCAUUUUUAUUACUUGCAGUAGUAUUAAUACAAGGACUUUUACUUCGACUAAAUAAUAGGAGAUCGAUUAGUAUGAAAUGAGAAGCUCUCAAGAUACAGAGGGAUACUUAUGUUUUGAUGCCAUGAAAUGUACCCCUACCUCUUUUUAAAUUCCAACCUUCCCUUAUUAUUAAAAAAAAAAUUUAAAAAAAUAGAAAAGUAAGCUGUUUUUUUUUUAAGAGGACAACUUCACAUCACAAAUACAGUUGAACUACUCUUUCUUUUUUUUUUUUUUUUUCCUUCUCCUCGUCAAGUGUUGGCCUCAGUAUCGCUGCUGUUGGAUUGGAUUUUUCUCUCAAGUUUCUCUCCUGUAUUGACCUUACCCCAUUUCAGACUCUGUGGGGGAAUUCUUAAUAACCAAGUGUACACUUGCACACCAUAAACUGUUGGUAGUUCAUCAGCAUUCUAAUUCCAAACUAAUUCCAAGUUUAGUUGAGAAAGGCCAACUAAACCUAAUUCUACUAAUCCAACUACAUUCGAUCAAACACUUUCACCUCUAUGGCUAUCUAUAAAUAAGAGUCAAGAAACAAUAUGCGAGUCCCUCAACUCGAAACCAGAAAAAUACCCAUCUUGUACUUGCCGUAACACUUAAAAAAGUGUUUGCUAAUUUCUGAAUUUCAAUACAGGAUCAUUUACCAAUGGCUACAUCUUCCAAAGUUUGCUUUGUUCUGUCCUUGAUCCUAGCUCUAUCAUUUUCAAGCAUCAAGGUUUCUAACGCAGCUCGCUACCUUCUGCAGACGACGCCAGGAAUACCUACAAUGCCAUCGUUGCCCAAGUUGCCUCCAUUGCCUACCAUGCCAAGCUUCCCUACAGCCACAUUGCCACCAAUGCCAGCUACCCCUUUGCCCACAUUACCCACAAAUCUUCCAUCACUGCCAAAGCCCACAUUUCCGCCAUUGCCAAGCACUCAGCUUCCAACUUUGCCUACCAUCCCUUCCAUUCCCUCUAUUCCUACUACAAUUCCUACUUUACCUUUCCCCUCACCACCACCAUCAAGCUAGACAUUGAAAACGAAGCACUUGGAUUAUUUAUCAUCAUCUCUUUACUGGGAAGUCUGGAAAUCCAUGAAGAUUAUCGAUCAUUUCUUUUUUUUUUUUUUUUUGGUGGCUCCAGCCAUAUUCGUAUGUUACUCGUACUAUGAUUGCGGCGUUGUAUCUUUGUUACUCAUACUAUGAUUGUAUUAUUGGAUAUCUGUUACUCAUACUAUGAUCGUAUUAUUUGAAACCUUUCUUUCACGGGGUCUGAGUAUCUGGUUAAGAUUUGACCGACAGCCAUCAGAAAUCUAAUCUCAACAACAUAAAAGCGGUUCUUUGGUUACAUUCUUUGAAUUAAUUGCUUUUUUUUCUGAAAGACGAAAAUAAAAUGCAAAUCUAAGGCUGUGAACGAAAACACUAAGGACUACUAUCACCGACAACUGUGUACUGGGGCAGUAGCAAUUCAGUCCCUUUUACAAUCCAAGCAUUCAGGUGCAACAUACUUGUCUAGAUUGAAAUCAGGCUUCAUGUGAAAGUUGAUGGAACUUCAUCUUGGAGACCCCAAAAAAGAGAGAGAGAGAGAGAGAGAGAUAGACAAGCAAAACAUGAGAGGAAUAUUACUUUUCAUGCACUUUUGUAGUCUGGAUGUAAAUCUUGUCAUCACAUCUUUGAUAAAUAUGCUGUUUAUAUCACAAUAGUGAAUUGAAAUAGAUUAAAAUUUUUUAUGUUUUUUGGUUUAAAUGAGAAUUUUGUUCACCAGUUAAUAUACACAAGCUGUGUGUUCAAGCAAUGACGAGUUUGGGUCCUCUUAAUUGUUGUAACUUCUAGAGCUGUUUGGUCGUAGUUGUGCAAGCAACUCAUUAACAUAAAAUAACUAUGUUGACCACUUCAACGAUUUUUAUAUAAUUCAUUAGGAUAUGGUACAUGUAUGUAUUGUGUGAUUUGAUAUUAUUAUCACAGUCGAUUUUUGUACUUUUUACAUAAUAUGAUAUGGUAUGCAUUUACACAAGUUAUUGCACUGAAUUUCUUACGAGAUGGAGUGCAAAAGAACAAAACGUACAGAAAAAAUAAAAUAUGGCUCACAUGUACAAUCACAUGAUGUAAACUUGCAUCAAAAAAUUAUGUAACAAAUACAGUAGUAUAGAACUGCACCUACCGCAAUGGUACUUGCAUCAUUUCCAUUUUAUCUGCAUCAGAAAGGAGCUACAAAAAAAUGCUAAACUAUUAUUAGCAAGUUUCGCAACUCAUCCAAAGAAAUCCAAACGGAUGUACAUCAUCCUUUGAAUUUUUGGUCUUAACUUUCCCAUUAUGGUAUGUGUGUGUUUGAAAAGUAAAAGCCGAAAACAAGAGGGGACUUUGAAGCAGCUGACGAGUUCCACGCAUGCAGUUGCUAAGAAAACCCCCCCAAUGUAGUGUUACCAUUGCGAAAUCAGUUUCCAGGUGUACAGCACUUUUGCUACCUGUCACCAUUUCAGCCCCUUCGCCAUGAAAUUUUUCCAAAUCAUAUCUCAAAAACUCAUCUAAAACCUGAGAAACCAUAAGUCCAGAUUGAGAAAAUGCCAAGAACCCACCGCACUGCAAUUUUCUACUGAUAAUCUAGACACCAACGUCAUAUUCUAAUCAAUGUAUCAAGCUCUUCAAGCACAUAUCAUGAAAUCCUUCUGGUUUCCUUCACUAUAAAUAGAGCUUGAAUGAACUAGUAUUUUCCUAACAUCUUCAGUAUCUCUUUUGUAAGCCAGAAAGCACAGGAAAAAUGAAGUCCAGAGCGUUUAUUUUGGUUGCACUUCUAUGUGCUCUAUUUCUUCUCGUUUCUUCCACUAUGGCUGUUGAUACACCCAAGGAUGGAACAAAGGGUAAGAAAAUACUAGUACCAAGUAGCUAUGCUUAUGUUUUUGCAAGAUUUCCAUCGGUCAUUAACUUGAUUUUCUUAUUUUUCAAUAGAAAUAUCAUACGAUCUCCGUAAAUGAAUAGUAUGGAUUAUAGGAUGAAUUACAAAUGUUUGCCUGGUUGACAAUUAUUGUUUGCAGAGGACAAGGCAAAGGAACCCGAACAAUAUGGAGGUCGGUGUCGUUAUGGCUGCUGUGGUCGUCGGGGCCCCUAUGGUUGUAGUAAGUGCUGCAGAACAGGUAAUAGUUGCACCAUUCAAAGAAACAGGAUUUAAAUGCGUGAACAGUAUUUGUAACUUAAAAAGUUGUGUUGUCCAUGUAGCUAAUGAAGCUGAAGCAACCCAAGUAAACGCUGACAUCAAUGGCAAUGAAGGCGGUGGACAUGGUGGUGGCGGCGGCUAUGGAGGUGGUGGCGGCGGACAUGGUGGUGGCGGCGGCUAUGGAGGUGGUGGUGGUGGCAGCGGAGGUGGUCAUGGUGGGGGAGGUGGUCAUGGUGGUGGAGGUGGAUAUGGUGGGCACUGCAGGUACGGCUGUUGUGGUGGCUAUGGCAAAUAUUGCAGGUGCUGCUACAACCCUGAAGAAGCUCAAGCUUUUGUACAAAAUGAGAACUGAGCCAAGCCAUAAAUCAAGGAAACUUCCAUGUACAAGUUUGCGUGAAUAACUACAUGGUUGAAUGUUGAUCUUAUGACAAAAAUAAAAUACUUAGUACAUGUGCUUCUGUGCUUAGCACAUAUGUAAGGAAUAAAAAGUUUCAGUCAUCAUUUGAUGAUGUGAAUUUCAACAAGUGUCCUUCAAUCCCAUGCCUGGAUUUUUUUUUUUUUUUUUUUUUUUAAAUUUGACAUCUGCUACUUGUCAUGUUUGUCUUUGCUCUUAACAUUUGCACUUGAAUGCUCCAGUCAAAAUUUAAGUAAAUUUGUGAAAUAAAUAAAAAUAG
Molecule: long non-coding RNA, 89667 nt
Filed under: Coffea arabica (coffee)
Lineage: Eukaryota; Viridiplantae; Streptophyta; Magnoliopsida; Gentianales; Rubiaceae
Description: long non-coding RNA (CARA_LNC004944)
Source: RNAcentral